UAAGCUGUAAAUCCUCAGCAAACAUUUUCCCCCAAUAUUAAUUUUGAAAAGAAAUACCUCACAUACUUUUGGGGCAUUAUUCGCAGGGCCACCACCCAUGAUUUCUUUUGUGGACUUUCACCGCGGGAUAGAAAUCUGACAAAGGUCAAUCCAGCAUAGCGUACUUUUGGGGCAAUAUUCCCAGGGGCCAUCGCCCAUAAUUUCUUUUGCGGACUUCACCUCGGGACAGGAAUCUGCCUAUCACCUAUCAACCUUCUCAAACCUCAACUUAAAUAAAAGGAAUAAAAAUUAUUAUUUCAGUUUCCUUACAAUGACACACCAGACCCAUGAUACUUCUCAAUAACAAUAGUUAUAGAUAACAGAACCUCAUCACAUCCCCAGUUUAACAACACAUCCACAAACUUAAACCGCAAACAUAGCACCAUAUCAUUGCAGGAUACAUAAACACAAUUCAGCUACACUUCCUUAUGAACGGAUUUGUUCUUGGGACGCCCAUACACCCCAAAACGCGUCUUGCCAAUUAAGGUGUGGAUCACCCCUUAUAAACCCAGCAUCUCUCCCGUGCUUUGCCGAUGUGGGAUUCGCCUAGGGUGUUACAUACACCCCCCCUUGGGGACUCAGCGUCCUCGCUGAGGUUUGCCCCACCAUCGCUCAAGAGGACACGCGGAGCCGCUCUGAUACCACAAUGUCAUGACCCAACCCAGACCUGGCAAGAUAUUGUCCGCUUUGGGCCUUAACAAGGCCCGCACGGAUUUGUUCUUGGGGCGCCCAUACACCCCAAAACGCGUCUUGCUAAUUAAGGUGUGGAUCACCCCUUAUAAACCCAGCAUCUCUCCCGUGCUUUGCCGAUGUGGGAUUCGCCUAGGGUGUUACACCAACAAUUUCCAAAACUUUUUGUUGGACCUCACAUUUAUAAAUUCUCAAAACUUCCUCCACCAAUCUGACAACAUCACAGAAAACAAGCAACACCACAUUUAAUUCUCUUUAAGUUGAUGUGAGGAUAUAAUGAGAAACCAAUCAUAGAACAUGUCAUGAGCAAGGGCACAACCAGAGGAAAGAUCUUCAAUGCCUCAGUGUGAUGAUAAUCAUCAUGAAAAAACAUCAACAGAUGUGAUUUAGGGAUACAUCUCAUAUAACAACCUUCAAAUGAUCUUAAUAUACAGCGAUUGAUAUAAAAUAAAGAAAGAGUUUACAUUUUUUUUUUGGGGGGGGGAAGGGGGGGAAUUACUGAAGUAAAGGCUGAGCUUUGGUUACCGUUCUUUCAUUUGUAUGUAAAGUCUCUCAAAUUCUUUAGUCAUGGCGUAAUAGAUUCUCCUCUAUACAUAAUGAAUAAUGCUGUUAAAAGAAGCCCCUGAACUUAGAAUUACUUCCACCUCUUUAUAUUCUUACUUAUAAUAAGGCAUGAGUGAGUUUUGGUGUAUUUAACGGGAUUUUGAAUGGUAUUUACCCCCAUUUUAUUUUGCAAUUACAAAACCUCGAAAGCCUCUUGCAAAACCUGAAUUUAGAUGAAUGGACUUCAAAUGAAAGGAUUUUCAUGCAAAAGCUACAAAAUACAAUGGCAUAGUGAAAAUGGAAAAAAGAAAAUAUAAAGCAAAAGAAAAAGUUUCCAUCUGAUAAAACAAAUACAAAAAAUCCAAGUUUCUUAUUUGCCAUGCCAAUAUUAUUCAUGAAGAACUAAUCUAAUUUCUUUUCCAGAACUAAACCAACUUGGUUACUACGACAUUACUCUUUCGCUUCUACGACAUUAAUCUAAUCAUCUUUUCUGGUUAAGUGAUUUCGUCAGCAAAUAAGACAAAAUAGAAAUUCUGAAAUAAACCUAGGGUUUCUAGCUUUGGGAAUUUACCUAAUGAGAAAUCAGUCUCACUGUUUCUAGAUUUGUAACCUCAGUAUCAUGGCGGCGCGACCUCGAUCAGCUGAGAUAAUCAGAUUUCGUACCGGCGACGAUGCAAAUGUUUGGGUUUGGGUUUGACGAUGGACGAAGGAAUGUUGGGGUUUUGGGUGGUUUAAGGAUUUUAUUUUAUUCAAGCAAAGUGACCAAAUUAACCUUUCAAAAUAAUUAAAGUAUCUCUAGGUUGUUAUACACUGAGAGGGGUAAAGAGUCUUAACUGUGACUACACCCUGAAUUUAAAUUAAUCGAGACCAAUGCGGUCGUCGAAAAUCGGGUGGUUUAAAUAAAAAUAAAUAAAUAAAUUUCUGCUCGUGUAUUUAUGGUACACGUGAGUUCGUGUGGAGAAAAACGAAAACGGGAUAAAAGAAAAAUUCGACGCAAAUUUUUAUUAGUAUGCAUAUGUAAGUACAUUAUCGAAUAUGCCUUAAACAACUGCCUUUUUUCCUGGGACAAUAAAAAUAAAAGGGGCGGAUGCAGCACAUGACCAGUGGGGGCUUGAGCCCCCACUGGCCAAAAAAAUUUAAAAAAAUAAAGGAGAACAAAUUUUAAAAAAUAAAAUAAUUAAGCCCAUUAAAUUUAUUAAAAUAGUCACUAUCAAAUAUAAACCCAAUAAAAUUUAAGUUUUGACUUUUAAGAAAUAUAAAAAUUUAUAUUUUAAUUAAAAAUAAUGAUAAUCUACCAGUUAAAAUAUUUUAUAUUUUAAAAAAUAUGAUUAAUUCUUCCAGUUUAUAUAAUAAUAGUGAAAUGAAUAUUUUCAGUAACAAAACUCAUGAAGAAUCAUCUUUGCAAUCAGAUGAGAUAAGUGAUAGUUUAAUUAUUUAUAUAAGAAAUAAUAAAUUUAAUAAUAUUAAUAAUGAGUUUAUUACAUAACAUUUUUAAAAUAUAAAAAUGCAUAGAGACUAAUUAUAAAUGUAUUAAUAAAUAUUUUAUAUAUUCAAAUUUUUAAUUUUUUAUAUUUUACUAUUAUCUAAUUUAGUUCUCGAUAAAUUAUUUUUCUAGAUCCGCUUAUCAAAUUAUAUAUAACAAAUAAUACAACAAAAGAAUAGAAGUACAAGUAGAAAGGCAGUAUCUAGGUUGUCUGCUACUCGGCUUCUAGUUCCACCCAAGAUACAUCUUCGUUCCGGUAACCAAGCACAGACUCUGUUACUGCUAUAACUAAUUUAUCACAUGACUAUAAUUUCCAGAACACCUUGCGCUUGUCCAAUGGGUUGUUCAACUUGAGGAGGAGCUAGCAGAUGUGCGUUGACAGAGGUGACAAUGAAGACAGCGAGUCGUCGAAGCCAGUAGAAGAAGUGCUGAAACAGAGAAGCGAACAUUGCAUAACAGAGUGAUAAGACUAUGAGGCACAAAUACGCUACCAAGAACAGAGACGGAGCCAAAAUGACAGAGGCCACUGCCGAGACAGCCAACAGAACAGAGAGUUCUCCACAACUCACGGAAAUGGGUCGGCUCACUUUGAGAGGAACUCUGAUGGGUGUGAGGAGGAAGAGCAGUAAUGGGAUGACGACGACAGGAAUCAGGAACCAGAACUGAAGCUUUAAAAUUGGAUACAGAAGUAUCUUACUUGUACCAUCUUGGACGUUCCAAGAGUUGCCAUCCUGAGACUUGAGGAACAGAAAAAAGAUUAUAAGAUUCAGCAAUGGAAGAAAUAGAAACCUCAAAUCGAUUGAUAAGUCCAUGCCUGUGAAUCAGAUUUGGCAGAGAUGAUUGAGUUUAAUUAUUAUGAAUAAGAUUUGGCAAUGGCGGAGUUGAAUGAAUAUGCUGGAGUUGAAGCUCCAUGAUACUACGAGGAAAUACUUAUAGAGCUAAUUUGAGGGUAAGAAACAAAGCAAGUCAAAACGAUUUGGUGCCGCCCUCUGUAGAUCGUUAAGACAACGUGUCCUCUUUCCUCAGAGGAAUUUAUAAGUUUAGUAUCUUUCUCAUUUUACUAAGUUAAUAAUUUAAUUAUUUAUUCAUUUUACUAUUUCAGAAAUUAUAAAAUAAUAAAUUGGUGCGGGAAGUAUUAGGAUAUAACAUUUUACACCAUAUAAUACUUCAGGAAUUGUUGAAUAUCCUCAAGAAACCUCACAUUUUACUACAAUUCUGUUAAUUAAAAUUGACUUGUAAAAUACCAAUUUUUCAUGGUAAAAACUAUAAAUUAAUUAAAAUAUCUCGUUGUUUGUAUAUACCAAUAUAUGAAAUUAAUUUUGAGAAUCGGUUCUCUCUAGUUUUCAAUUAAUUACUGAGUUUAAAUUUUUCCACUUGCUUCUUGUUUAAUAAUGCAUGCAUGGAUAUGUAUAUUGAUAUAAUAAUGCACAUAACACGUAUAUCAUGAUCCGAUGGAUAUGAUUCAAAAUGAUUAAACUACCAAGCCCAUUGAAAUUGUUGAUGCGAAAAUAUGAGAUGAGUGGUGUGUAAUUGACAACUACUUGAGUUGGAUUGUAGCCUAUGCCUAUCAACAGUUGUUUUUUCAAUGGAAGUGUCUCUUUUACAAAAGUCAGAAGCAAUUGAACGAGGAAUAUAGGAGACAAUAAAUUAAUGUACGCAUCGACGGUCAUUUUUUAAUUUAUUGACUUGGCAAACUCGACAGUCCUUUUUCUUACAUUUAUAUAAGUUCAUCAGAUUAACUCGACUCAUAAGCUAGCUCAAAUACUAAGGAUUAUCUCGAACUUAUAUUAUUAACCUAAUAACUCGGCGAAUGUAUGAUAAUGUCUUCAAUAAUAAUCUCAUAAAACGGUGCCGUUAAGCGACGAUACAUGUAAUGGUAGGCAAUCUGUGUGGCUGAAUCCAGUACCGUCGCCUUAAGGUUGGCUCAAAUUAAAUGUUGAUGCUGCAAUGAAUCUGACGGCUGGGAUAGCCGGACUUAGGAGACAUCUCUCUUAUUAGGUUUCAGGCCUAUUCCCUUCUUGGGCUUCUCUCCGUCUUCAAACUAGGGUAAUGAUAUUGACACCCCUUCAUUAUCCUCAUUGCACCCUUUUCUUAGAAAUUACAAUUUUAGACAAUCAUACAAUUCUAAUUAAACUCAUUUAAUGUUUCUCUCUCUCUUCUAAGAAACCCACACAUUCUAUUACUUAUUUUAUCUGCAAAGUCCUUCAUUACAUCAACAUGUCAUUUUCUUUUCUUUUUAAUGUUUGUGACUCGUCAUCUAUCCGAUAUUUUAUCGAAAUAACCUUUGUUUCUUUUCUUUUAUUACAAUUUAUUAUUCUCAUGUUUUUUCAAAAAAUAAUUAUUCUCAUACUUAAAGAACACUUUUAAACUAAGGAAAAUUCAAAUAUAUUUAUUUUAGAUCAAAGUUAUCACCCAAAAAUAUUAUUUGUGUAGAGGUAGAGAAUAGGAUUGUAAGAGAAGAAAUACUCCAUUUUAUUUUAGGAGUGAGAAAACCCAAAAAAAAAAAAAACCAACAACAACAAACAAACAAACAAACGAAAUAGGGUUUAAGAAUAAAAGUGUAUUUUUAGUAUUAAAACUAGUAAAAUUGGAAAUGGUUUCAUCAGGAAUUUUAAAGGGCGGUAGAAGCUCCACUCUUAAAACUAGUUGUUUUUCAUUGGUUAUGGACCUUUUCGUCUUCUUCCGGGGCUGCUUGUAAUUUUCUUUCAUGCCGGGUUUAACCAAUUGUAAUAAAAUGAAAUGCCAUUCAAGAGAGUGAGAUUUCAAUACGAUCCCACAUCUACAAACAUGCAUCAAAAUUGAUUAACAUAUUAUUUAUUACAAGUAGACAAUGGAUUAGAUUAAGGUAUUUUUAAAUGAGUAGACACAUUCUAAAUUUUUUUAUCUCGAAAAAUUAUCUCAAAUGAUGUGACAUUUAUUAAUUAGUUAGUGAAACAAACAAUCAAUUCACUUAGAUCUUAUAAACAUUUACUAACCACUCAUAAAUGCUACAUCAUUAGAAUGAAAUUUUGUAUAAAAAAUUUGGGAUGCCCAUCAUUACUCUUUUUAAAUAUGACAAAAAAUACGAUUGUGUAUAAAAAUAUAUAUAAACCAGUGAUACACAAAAGAUAUACGAAUGAAUGAUUCAUUUUCCAACAAAAUGGAUGCAUAUAACAAAUGAGAACUAAUCAGGAGAUAAAACUCUCUAAUUAUCCUUCAUCUUCAGAUUUGUUCCAGUGGUACAUGAAUAGUAGUGUUGAGAAAGGAACAUACCAAAAAUAAACUUCAAUAAUGCGUAAUUAAGCUACAUUUUUUUCUCUAUCAGCGUGAUCAAAAUGAGAGUAUGUACAACAACAUAACUAUAGGAACUAAGUGGUAUUAUUAUUAUGCAAAUAUGCUUUCCAUGGCGAUAUAAAUAUACUCUCCAUGACAAUAUCACUAGUCGCAUGACCAAAAAUACCGUCAUUCACAAUAACCUCUCAGAGCCCGUUCAGAAGAAAUCAUUCAGUGUGGAGAUACGAGACAUGAAGCAAUCAAACGUCUCUAACAAUAUAAAUAUGCUUAGUCAUCAAUUUACCCCUUACUUACCCCCUUACUUACCAACUAACAUUUUUUCUUUUUUUAGUUUGGAGAUUAAUAAAGAAGAAAGAAUCUUGAAAACUCCUUCAUUUGCUACGAAACGCGAACUGUUUUCAACUAUACGAGAGAGACUUGAUCUUCUCUUUUAUCUCCAAAAUUACAACGAUUCAUUUCUUUAAUUUGCCUAGUAACAAAAAAAAAAGAGGUAGAACGUCAUCAUACUGCCCAGGAACCUUACUAGCUUUCUUUCCUUGCCCAAUAGGAAAAAUAUUAUUCUCCAUUAACAAACAGCUACAAAGCUUGGAACAUCCCGAAACAUUGUUCUCCAUUUCCCCAUCUUUUUAUUAUUCAUGGUAACAUUGCACUCUAAUUGAGAUAAAUGCAUGUAUCCGCAACUAUAUUAAUUGAGGAGACAAAUUAAAAUUUCCCAGGCAUGAUGAAUCAAUUAUCCACAGGUACAAUUAAAAUUUCAAAUGGACAUAUUUAUGUAAUUCCUAAAGCCUACCAAGCUUCUUAGUUAAUCUGCUCAAAAUAGAAUAUUCUAUAGCCACAUUUUGAUAAAUUGGGGUUGUUCAAGUCCUAUAUUCUUUGAAUGCUGAUUCUUGGAAUUGGUUGCUGAGUUUCCAAUUAUUAAUUGAACUAUAGUGAUUAACACACACACAUAUUUAUGAUUAAGGUACAGUCAGAUGUAAUCUUUCGUUUACUAAUAAACUACAACAUGUUUCUUUUGCUAGCUAGCUAGUUGGUUUUUAAACAUAUAUAUGAAUUAUCUAACAGUAUAUAACAAUACGCAUAAUCCAGGUUAAACUAGAUUAAAUUAAACCGAAGAAUUAUGAAGCUUAAAAGUCACAAAGUAGGCUUUUCUAUUACAGUACUGCAAAGAAUGCAAAUUCAAUUUACCUUCUCAGAUCUCGUAAAGCUAUAUCAUUAAUUGGACCUUAAUAAAUACCCGAAGAAGGAAGUAUAAGAACCCAUAGAUGUAUUAAGUACUUCUCCCCCGAAAGCUUAUAUUAAUGGAACAAAGCAACUUGAGACACUUCCCAAUAAGCCAAUAGAGGAACAAAUCCACAAGUCAACAAGAUUUUCCUUUUUCAGGAAUUAAUAGGUCUACCAUUACUCAACAUGCAUUAUAAAUCAUCCAAAAACUAGGAUAAGUAUGGAAAGAAAAAAGAGAGAGAGAGAGAGAGUGUGUGUGUGUGUGUGUGUGUGUGUGUGUGUGUGUGUGUGUGUGUGUGUGUGUGUGUGUGUGUGUGUGAGAGAGAGAGAGAGAGAGAGAGAGACACUACUAGAAAAAUGGGCUACCAUGACAGAGAAUAUCUGUCAUCCGACCCCUCCUAUGACAGAGUUUCCAUCUGUCAUUGUAGCCCGUCUCACAAAUCUGUGACAACAUUUUAUCUAUCACAUGUUCCCAUGACAGUGUAUAUUUAUCACACAUGUGUCACGAACCAAGCGACGUCAUUUCGAAAGACUUUCGAGAAUUAAUUGGAAAUUUUAGCGGGUUAUUUAAAUUAUUUUGAAUUUGAUGGGUUUCUUCAAAAGCUGUCAUAUAUCAAUGAUUCACAUUCUCUGUCAUGAGAUUUAAGGUUUAAAAAAGAAUAAAAUUAUUAUUUUUAAUUUUGAAAUUAUAAUAAUAUUAAUUAUUAUUAUUAUUUAAAUUCCAGAAUUUUGAAAUAAAAACCACAUUUAAAACUUGAAUUAAUUGAAAUAAAAAUUACAUUCAAAUUCAUAAAAACUAUCAAAUACCAAAUUGUGUGAUGCGCUAAAAAUUUCAAUCACUUGAAACUUCCAACAAAUAGCAUCACAAAAUAUAUGGUGAAUCAAAUCCGUAUACAAUAUCUAAUAAAUCCUUUACAAUAUCCAAUCACCAACACAUCACUAGAAAAACAAUUAAUCCAUAAAAAAAACACUCUUAGAAAAUUCCCGAAAGCCACCAACAUCACCUGAAACAUAGGUUACAAUAAAAUGAGUGCCAAAAAAAUACAUAUUAAUAUAUUGCCCACUUACAAUUAAUCAAAUUCAUAAUAAAAUUCAUCAGUGUCUAAUUGAUUUAAUCAGCUUUGAUACUAAAGGGAAAAUGAGAAUAAACAACCCAAGAGAAAAUAGAAAAUCACAUUCGACAAUUGACAUAAUGAAGCAGUAAGCUCACAAGCUGUAAAAGAGAAAAAGGGAAGAAAAUAAAAAUGAUGAUAAAGCAGUAUAACCUGAAUGCUUAUGUAGCAGUGACAGUUGACUAGGUCUUCCUAAGAGUUGCUGGAUUAUAAAAGAUUAAGUAUAAACAAAAUAUUUUGCAACAUAGUACAUAGUAAAGAGAAAUAUAAAACCAAGUGCAAUUAAUGCCAAAGACGAGAAGAGAACUUUUAGUCUAGCCUUCUACAGAUUUCAAUUCUAAAUUUCUAGAUGAAUUUUUUUAAAGAGUAGUUUUUCAAGACUACAAUUUAAUUAAUGCACAACAUCUAACCUUCCAUAUAUAAUUAAAUAAAAUCCAUCAAAAUCAAGCUAAUAAAAAGAAAGGAAAAAGUUCUAAAAAUACAAAAGAUAAAGAGAAAAUGUAGAAAAUUCUGGAAUCACCAGAAUCUCCUCAAUCUACCAACUUUAAUACCAUGAUUGUAGGCUUGCCAAUCUAAGCCCAAAGCGUAAAGCAUAAUCUAAAGUUUCCAGUGGGUGAAGAAAUGAUGAUCUCUCAAUCAAUUCAAAAGGCAAAGACAUUGUCGAGCGCAUAAAUUGUUAGCUUCUCUUCUACCACAUCAGAUCCUUGAUGCAAAAUUCAAUGGGCAAGUAAAGGGACACAUUGAGAUAAAUAUUGGUCAAUUUAAGAAUUGAAAAUGGUGGAAAGAAGUUUAAAUAUUAGGACAGUCCAGACCAGGGGUUAACAUGAUAAUGAAAAAUUAUAAAUCUCAUGAGUUAUAUAUAUACAAAAACCAAAAAAAGAUAGAUAGGCUGGAAUCUCUUGGUUCUUAGGAGCAAAAGUAUCAUUAUUUAUGGACCAGCUGUUUCAAUUUUUCCAAAAUUACAUCUUCAAUUUAGCUUUACAAGACCAUUCUUUGCUCUGCUAGUUUACCUAGUCACCAACUCUGAUUGUCCAUUUAGGAUUGAAUCUAUAUACUCUUAUAUAAUGUCUCUUCUGGAGGAAAUAAGCAGAAAAAAUAUUCUAACUAGAUGAGACCCUUUAGUGUGAUGAUGCUACGCAAUGGAUGCUUUAAAUGCAUCCAAUUUAAUUUAUGAUGCUAAAGGACCACCGAGUACUGAGGACUAGUAAGUGCAACAUGGACCACAAACCAAAACAUUUCCAAUUAACAUAGCACAAUAUGUGACAAAUCAAAUUGAAAAAAAAAAUCUUCCAAAAAGUUCAACAUGUCAAUUAAGAGAAAAAUAAUAGGAUGCACAUUAAUACAUCCAUAAACAGCCUAGUUUCUCUAUCAACAAGUUAGUCAUAAGCACGAGUCAAAAUAAAUCAUUUGACUGAAAUGGUAGAAGACCAAGCAAAUAAAUGCAAGUACCACCACACAAAGCAUUUGCAUUUCCAAAAGUGAAUUUCAUAAAUUUUUUGCAGAAGAUAUCUUUCUAAUAAAAAAAAUAAACACAAGUACCAGUCAAUUGUAAUGGGUUUGAGAACCACAUAUACCUCUAAAUUUGAUUAAAACCUUGAAGUCACAGAGGAAAUUUUUCAGUGUGUUAACAACAUUGAUAUUCAGCAAGGCUUUGUGUAUGAGAUUCAGCUUGUGCAGCUUGGGCAGUGACCUGUGCUAGGGCCUGCUAGUGCUUCAUUCUAAAGGCUCCCUAGGUUGCAUCCAAUGAAUCAGGGAAAUUAGUAAUAGAUGAACGCAAAAUUUGGAUACCCAAGUAACAUAAUGCCAGUGAGGCAUGACAUACAAAGCAAUAUAGACAAUACAAGUUAUCACUCACUCAUUCAAGCUCUGGUCAUCAAAUUAUAACCGGAAGCUAAUACUCUUUCAUUCUUGGUUGCUAAUAAAGUUGUGACUAGAUUGGAGAAUUUCUCACAUAUUUGGCUUAAAGCUACAUAAAGAUCUCUAUAUCUUAGAUAUGGGAGUUAAAAGUGUUCACUGUUUACAUGAAGACAAUUGGAUCUCCAACACUAGUAAUACCAAGAGCUUUUCUUUCAUUAAUUGUUUGCAUUAACCAUAUGCUUCAUCUAAAAAGGGAUGAAACUAAAAUCAGGAAAGAAAAAUGCCCGAUUACCAUUAAAACUUGACCUGGAUAGCCUACUAUCCAGUCCAUUUGGAUAUUUAGAAUACCAAAACAAGAUGAGAUUAUCUCAGCAAUGCACAAUCACAUUACAACAUUGCUCAAAAUGUUCUUCUUUCAGAUUAAUUAAGUCAAGAGUUUUUAUCCCAAUUACAGGGCACAUUUAUAAAUUCUAUAGUAAACGGUUCAGCAAGCUCUAAUUCAAAAUUCCAUAGUAAAUGCUUCAGCAAGCUCUAAUUCAAAAUUCCAACCGACUGCUAACAAAUCAAGGCAAUGAAGAAAAUUCUCCAUCCCUCCAAAAAAAAAAAUCAAAAUUCAAACCCAAGGAUUAUUAGAAUUUAAAUGCGAAACCCAAUAAAAAUGAAAGCUUUCCUAAACAAGCUAAAAUCUAAUGAAUAAAUGAAGAAACUUUAAGUCUGACAAAGUUAAAUUGAAUUACCUGUGUAGGCGAAAGCAAACUGAAAUUUAGCGAGUCAAGCAGAAUUGCGGGGCUCAACCUGGGCGGCACCUCAAAAAUCGACGGCGGUUGAGCAAUCACCAGACCAGCCGAUAUAUUCUGAUCAGAAAACCCCAAACCCUAGUGUACAAAUGAAGGAACCCAUCAGCUUACUUCUCACAAAAGAAGACAGUAACAGCAACUCGAACUCGAAGAAAAUCUAAAUUAAGAAGACAUUAGCUAUAGCUCGGAGUUGAAGAAGGUAGCAGGCUAACGGCAACAACCAUUAAGUUGCGAAACAAAAGGAAAUGGGAAUAGCCAGCAAGCUAGAGAUCGGGGAUGAGGACGAAGACGAAGACGAAGAGCAGCAAUUUGUUGUCGGCAAGCAGCACAGCAGAUGACCAAAUCUGUGUAGGCAGCGUGAUUGUGUGUUUGUGUGUGAUUAGGUUUGGAUUAAGAAAUUAGGGCUUGCCAUGUGAAGCCGAAGGGGAGUCCAACACUUAAAUUUUUUUUAUUGGUAUCAAGAUACGGUGUCGUUCCAUGCCCAAAUUGGCCCAUUAUAAAUUCAAUGUUUCAUUAAAUAUUAAUAUGCUAUCAUGUGUAUUUGAUAGAUAAAUAAACUAUCACAAAUCUAUCAUGUCUUUACGAUAUAUGAACAUUCUAUCACAUGUCUGUCAUAUUUUUAUGAUAAAUGAUUAAUUUUUUAAAAUCUAUCACAAAAAUUCUAUCAUAGUAGCCUAUUUUUCUAGUAGUGAGAGAGAGAGAGUUAAAAGGAAUCUGCAUUCAAAAAAGGAAAAAGGGAGAAAAUAUCGAUCAAACCUCUUCUUUAGGUGAUUUCAAACGGGGGCAUUGGUUUUUGAUCUAAAGAUGACUCCAUGGACAAUUAAUUUACUGAAACACCAACACACUAUUUGAAUAUUUAUUUAUUUAUUUAUUGGUUAUGUAAGAAUUAUUUUCAAUAAAAGAACUCGAAUUGGGGAAGAGAAAGCUAGGAGACGACACAGAUAAGAGAGUGACUUACAGUCCUUAUGUGCAAUAUGGUCCAAUUCUUCUCAAUGAAGAAAACGUACGACUCUUGUUAUCUUCAAGAAUUAUGGACCAACUUAAACGUGUUAACUGUCACAUGCAUGCGGAGCCCUUUUUUUUAUAUAACACUGUUAUGCCAAUGAUAUUAUAAAUUAAUAAUUUGCUAAAAUAUUAAUGUAAUUGUUAUGAUAAUUUAUUUAAUAAAAUAUGGUAAUAUUAUUAUUUUUUUCUUGAAACUUAAAUAUAGUUGAAUUCCUUAUUUAAUUUUCUUAUUGCAUCUAGAAGUUUUGGGAUUGAACUCUCAAAGUAAAAAUUUUGAAUUUAUUUUUUGAAUAAUUUAAUACAUAUUUAGUCGAUUAAUCCAUAUUUAAUGGAAUAGAUUGGUAAAUAUAAUAGAUUUCUAGUUAAUUAAAUACAUGUUUAUUGACUUGCAAAUACAUCAAUUAACUAUUACUUUUUUAAUUAAUAGAUUUUAUAUGUUUCAACACGUUUUACUGCGUUACUGACUGUCGCCGGGGUGCUGGAUAAAAAUGAAAAACAGAAAAAAUCUGAAGAAAAAUUUUAUUAAUAUACCGGUCUCCAUAUCAUAGCCAAUUGAAACAACCGCUGCUUUCUUGGAAAAUCAUAAACAUUGCAUUUUAAGAAAUAAGUGAAUAAUUAUUGAAAGAACUAAGAAGUACAUGAAAGCAGACAGUGUAUCAUCGUUUUGCUUAUAGAAAGGUGCUUUUCAACUCUUUUCUUCAAAUCAAGCCGAAAUAGUAACUGACAAAAACUGCGAAAUAGAAACCUUUCCUUUUUUUCUUUUUUCUUUUUUGUUGUUUGUAUUCCACGUUGUCGUUAUUAACUAUGAAAAGGAAAGAUAACAUGAAACUCACAAUUCAAUAUUUGGUUGCCCUAAUAGAUACUAGGAGCUUUGCAGUGGCACCAGCUAAACGGAAUAUUUAAUAUCAAAUGACGACCACAACUUCCAGAUUAUCUUCAGACUUUGAACUUGGCUGCAGGUAAUUUUGAAUCUUGUUAGUUUACUGCUAUUAAAAUGUUACACAAGAAAAUAAAAUAAGCAAACAGGUUGUGGUUACGUACCUUAUUUAUAAUUACACUCGAAUAAUGUUCACUUCAACUUGGGAAGGAGCUGGUUUGACAGUACAGGCGAUGAAGAUAGUUGGAAUGGAUGUUAUUACGGUGCUCGUGAGACGUAGAAACCAGUCGAAGCAGCGCUUUCACGGAGAGGCUAACACUGAAUAACAGAGUGAUAAGAUUAUGAGACACAAAUACGCCACCAAGAAAAGAGAUGGAGCCAAAAUGAGAGAGGCAAGUGUUGAUAUUGCCAAGAGAACGGAUAGUUUUCCACAGCGUACAGAAAGUUGGCGACGGAUCCUGAGGUGGAGUUUGACGGAUAUGAAGAGGUAGAUCAAUAGUAACAGCAGGACAAGAAUCUGAGAGAAGAAGGGGAGCUUCAAAAUGGGAUAUAAAAGAAUCUCACUGGUACCAUCCUGGACGGCCCAAGAAUUGCCAUCUUGAGAUUUCAGGAACGUAAAGAAGAUUAUAAGAUUUAGUAAUGGCAGAAAUAAAUACCUCAAAUCAAUAGAAAAUUUCAUGCUUAUGGUGAUGCUCAAGUUUUCUAGGGGAAGAUGUAUUUAAUUUACAAAAAUGCUAAAUGUUAAGAGAAGAAUGAGAGAAAGGUGAGAGAAGAAGGCAUGUGCUGAGAGAAGAGACAGAGAGAGAAGCAAAACGGCAGACUCACUUUUCUCUCAUUCUUCAAUUUAUAGUGAGCUUUUUAUGUCAUGAAAAAUUGGAAAUUGCGUGGCAAAUUCUUUUGACCAGUUGCACAUGCUGUCCUGUUGAUUGGCUGGUUUUUGGAAACUCGAUCAUCACCGUUUGUUCAAGCAAAGACCCAAAUGGUGAACUAACGGUGAUGAUCGAGUUCAAAAAGAGAAAAAGAAAAAGAAGUAAACAGUGAUGUCUUCAAACUUUUUUUCCCCCCUGAGAAAAAGGCUUUUAAUACAGUUCUUUUCUUUUUCCACAGAUUGGUAUUAUUUCUCAGUAUUUGCUUAAUUUACUGCAAUAAAUUUUCAAAAAGUGUUCAAUCAUAAUGAAUUUUCAACCAUUAUCCUAUACGAAUCAUUAAAUUAUAAAUACUGAUGUUAAUCAAAUAUCAAGUAGAAUUUGUUUUUAAUAGAUCAAUUAGUUAAAGUACAUUUGAUACACUAUUUAGAACUUAUUUUUAUCUAAAAAUUGAUAAUAGGACCAAAUUAAGUAAAUUGUAUUGUUCAUGUCACUGAUACAAUAAAUAAAUGAUGUAAUGCUAUUUGUUCAUGUAUUUUGAAAAAGUAACAUAUAAGUAGUAAUUAUAUUAAAUUAUAUUUCUCAUGUCACAUAUUCAAUAAUUUAUUAUAUUACCUCUAGAUUUUCUCAUUCUCAAUAUAUGCUUAAUUGUAAUAAUUUUUUAACAACUGUUCAAAGAUAGCUUUGCUCCGGCUGUGUGUGUGAUUGACAAAUAUAUUAUUAAAUUGUACAACAACGAAAAAGACGCGAGUUGAAAUUGUUUCAACGACGUCAAAUGUUGACCACAUCAUUUUUUGGGCUUUCUCUCAUGGGCUAUUUCUUUCUUCUUCUUUUUUGAAAAAUCUCAUGUGGUAUUCAUUAGUGCUUUUAUUUAUAUUUUUAGUUAGUCAAUCUACUUUUAUUGAACUGGGAAACAAAUUGUAGUGUAAGGAAUAAAUUUAUGUUUAAAAAAAUCAAAACAAAAAAAUGAUAAUAAGAAUAAAUUUAUAUUAAAAAAUCAAAAUUAAAAUAUGGAUGGAUAAGAUUUGGCAGAGAUGAUUGAGUUUAAUUAUUAUGAAUAAGAUUUGGCAAUGGCAGAGUUGAAUAAUUGUGGUGAAGUUUAAGCUCCAUGAUACCAUGACGAAAUAAAUAUUUACAGUACCCUUUACAAAAUUUUGGUUGCCUCUAUUUAAUUUAACCCAUGCUCAGUUAAUUUCACUCUUUUUUAUUUAACUCUUAUUAAAUCCUUCUUAUUUAAAUCAAAAGGAUUAAACCUCAACGAGUGUUUCCCCGUAGGCUGUAUCUCCUCAUAAGUGACUUAACAAGUGUUUUGUGAAUGAAAAACUAUGUAAUCAAAAAGAAAGGAGAAAAACUAACUACUAUACAAUACAAGUGACUUAAACAAAAACGUCAUACACAAAAUAGAAUCCCGAUCCAGGAUUACCUCUGAUGUCAAAGUUAAUUUAUGGCAAAGGUAUUCUGGAAUUUGUGCAUGAAGGUUGUGGUCACCUCUUAGCUUAUAUGUUAUGUGAAUUUUGUGUUCUAAUUACUAAUUUGUCUUGACUUUGUGUUCAAACGUCAUUUCACAGUUCACACGCUUGGGCAUGUCCAGUGCUAUCAUUUUUAAUUUCCCAAUGGCAGGGCCUUGAGUUUUGAUUUAUUUAUUUUCUCCCCUUUUUUUGUUUUCUUGACUUUCUUUCUCUCUGCCGGGACCGGGGAGCUUGAGCUUGAGUUUUGAGCUUUAAUUAGAUUUAUAGUCUAUAGUUUACGGCAUUCACAAAUGUGACACAUUGCAAAUGUUUGAAUUAACAUUUGAGAAUACAAUAUGUCACAUCUGUGAAAUGUCUGAAUUGACAUUGGAGAAUAUAACAAAAGCCGAGCCCCACAUUUGUGAAUUCAGACAUUUCAAUCGGGAUCGCCUUCUACCACGUGGCUGCCGAUGGAAGAAGUUUUAAUCAUUUUGUGAAAUCUUGGCCCUUGGGCGUCCUGCGUCCAUGUCCUGUCCAAGGGCCAAGAGUUAAUAAUCAGCUUAUAAUCAGCUGAUUCCUAUUAUAAAUUUGAAGUGCAAAAUAUGAAGUCUAAUGAAGGGCAAAAGAGACUUUAUUGAAAUGAAAGAAAGAGAUUUAAUCAUUUUGAGGUGGGAUUUGCAGGAAAGUACCUGGAAAUACCCUGAAGUGCAUAAUAUGAAGUCGUAUGAAGGGCAAGAGAGACUUUAUAUAAAAGAAAGAAAGAGAUUUAAUCAUUUUGUGAAAUCUUCUGGUCGUCAAGCAAAGAAAUAACCCGCGGAUUAGUACCCUUUAUUCGCACUAUCUUGGUAGACGUCAACAAGACGCAACCUAACACCGGCCAUUUUAUUUUACAACAUUAUAUGUAAUGUCGAAGUAAUUGUUACUAGUUGGGGCGCAUUUUUAUUGGAUAAAAUUGUGGCAUUUUCUUAUACAAUAAAACCCAAGGCGCACCACAUUUUGAAAUCAAAGUAAUUGUUAUUAUUAUUUUUUUAAUUUUUUUUUUUUACAAAAUUUUAUCCAACAUAUUAUUCUUGGUUAUUCAGAAUUACUUUUAAUAAGAUGUAGAACAGCAGAAGUUAGACCAAAUUAUCUUUAAUAAAUGUAUGAAACUAUGAUCUAAUUGUAAACCAUUUACUAAUAAAACCAAAAUAGGCAGGCGUUUUCAAAUUGAUAUUGUUUUAUUAGCAGGUUGCCCACACUUGUCUUCUUUGAUUCCAUUUCUUUACAUCCGUUGGAUUAAAGUUUUGAUAUAUAUUUUCCUUUUUCUUUCUUUCUUUUUCUCUGCUGAUAAAGUUGUAGGUUGAAGAUGCCAGGAGCUUUGAGUUUGAAGAGGAUUUAUAUAGCUUUGAGGUUGUGUAUGCAAUUAAAAUAAAGAUAGAUAGACAACGUUGUCUAUCUAUCUAUCUUUUUAUUUCUUAAUUGUCUAUCUAUUCAUCUUUUCAUUAAGGAAAUGCUUACCGGUAAAUUUCUUAUGUAAAUUAAAUAGACGAUUGGUUACGGAGAAAAAGAGGAUGGAAUCAUAUUAAAACGAGUGGUUAUGGAGAAAAAAGAGAAUGGAUGGAAUCACAUUCAUAUGCAUGAGAAGCGCAUAUAGCUAUUCCAAUCAACAUCACAUUAAUUUCCUUUGACUCUACGAAAGCCUUCCCAAUUAAAUAGAAAUCACUCAAAACUCAAUUAAACAGAAAUUACUUUGAUUUUUCAAACAAUUAUUUAGUCUCCUGUCCAAUUGAAAAGUCAAGAACACUAUGUAAGCUUAAUUAUAUGGAAACAAUCAUUCCACCAUAAUCAUAAUCCUUAAGCGCUCGUAGGGAAAAAAAACAAAUAUAUAUAUAUAUAUAUAUAUAUAUAUAUAUAUAUAUAUAUAUAUAUAUAUAUAUAUAUAUAUAUAUAUAUAUAUAUAUAUAUAUAUAUAUAUAUCUUUGAAACUAUGAAUAUAUUGUUUCUUUUUAUCAUUACAAACAUGAUUUUAAAGACUUCAAAUUUUUUCAUAAUCUCGGCAAAUGUAAUUUGGUGCAGACUUUUAUUAUUUAUAAUGUAUGAUUAAGAUAUAAUUAAUUUGUAUACUGUUAUCCACUGAUUUGUUAAAGCAAAUUUAUAUAAGAGAGAUUUUAAUAUUUCUUUGGAGAUUUAUUAAUUGAUGAUUGAUAAAAAUAAAAAUCAUAAAAUAAAAAUCUAAAUCAUGCAUGAUUAAUAACAUAUAAUAUCAAAAAAUUGUUAAAUGGCAAGUAAAAUCUAUAAACAAAGGUUGUAGAUUUUGUUUUUGUUGUUUUAUUUAAAAUCUAAAUGUUUCUUAAGUUUGAAUACCAAUAUUUGAAAAAUAAGUUUGUUUUUCUUUUUCUAACAUUUGAAUAUAAGUGACAUCUUAUUUAUUUUUAUAAAUAAAAAAAAAUUCUCAACAUUAUUUGACAAUUAUAUCCUUAUAAAUAAAAAAAAUGAUUAGGUUUUAUAAUUUAGAAAAUGAGUAUAUUUAAUAUGUAUAUUUUUAAAAUAUAUUAUUUACUUCUCAUUCGGAUAAAAAUUAUAAAAUUUUUUUUAUAAAAAUUAUAAUUUUUUUUUUAUUCAAAUGUAAAUGUCUAAAAAGAAUGAGGGCAAAGCAAAUAACCCAUUCUCAUUACAAUCGGGACACCUCAGGGCAGCAACCUUCCCAUGCAGUUGCAUAUUGACGAUCAAUUUACAGCUGCCAUUGCAGCGAAAACAGGGGAAAAACCUGACAUCAGCACAGCCUUGACACACACAUUUGAGCUUCCUGAUGGAUAUGCCUUCAAUCAAUUCAUCAUACCAACCCUAUUCAACAUCAAAUUAUCAGGAAAUAAAAAUGAAACUAAUAUGAUUUUUUUUCUUUUUUGAUAAAAAGGUCUCCCUUUUAAACAUUCAACUAGUGAAUAAUAUAUAAAAGGUGGGCUGGAUUGUUAUUCACCCAAAAUACAAUUUCAGAUUGCUCCAAGGCUACAUUCCUGGCUUUUGGAGUACAUCGAAUUGAUUAUGUUGUUGCCUUUUAAUACAAGAUUUCAAAUCAGAUAUAACCCAAAAAAUUUCAGCUCUUGUGCUUUUCUUGUUCAGAACCAGGUCUACAACCUCCCGUGAAUCAGUUUCUAUGAUUAGUGGCCAACAUCUCACCUUUUCUGCAAUUUUAACACCAAGUCUUGCAGCUUCUGCUUCUGCAUAACCUACCUCCAACUGAAAAGAAGAAGGUUUCGUAGCUGCUGCUAUCACUUUGCCUCUAGAAUCUCUAAUCACAGCACCCUAAUUACCAACUCUUUUCUGCUCAACCGCAACUAAUGCAUCCACAUUUACCUUAAAACAACCUGCUGGUGGGGGUCUCCACUUGUUAUCUACAUUAGACUUUUCCCUCAACGAUGUCUGCAAUUGUGACAGCUGGAUCUUUUUGUAUGAAUGCACAACUGCAUCUGCUUUAGCUGCUGAUAAUUGGGAAUCUAUGUAUGUAUGUAUGUAUGAUAUUGCUGGUGCCACUGUAAGGUCCUAGUACCUAUUAGAGUAACAAAGUGUAGAAUUAUAAAACAUAUGUCAUCUUUUCAUCUUUCCAUUUUGUAAUUAAAUAAGUCAUCUCUCCAUUUUGUACCUAUUAGUCUGUUGUUACCCGACCAAGUUUUAGUUGCUAUCUUCGGCUUUUUCUUAAAGUACUUUUAGCGGUAGCGGACGCAGCUAGAUUCUCUUUUUUUUUGGGCAUUACUGUCCACUUGAUCAACGGUAUAUUUGACAAAAUUCCGUGUCUAAAUUUUUAUGCUAAAGAAAAAUUAACCGUUUAACUACCCUGAGCAUUAAAUGUGUAACGACUUUUAUAGAUAUAUAUUAUUGCUUGCAACUUUUGCAUGGCUGCUGGUUAAAAAUUAUUAUAUAGCAGAUUUCUAAUUAAAUUAGAAAAAUACUAAAGCAAGCACAGCAGCUUGAAUCGAUCACUGCUAGGCUUCGAGUCUUUGAAACUGACCCCCGAAACUGCUAGCUGCUUGAACAUUCAUAGUGACGACAACAAUAUACAUACAUACAUACAUACAUACAUGUAAAUUAAUUGGUUUAUUAAAAAUAAUUAGCGAAUGAAACCAUGAUAGUGAAACGUCGAUAAAAGUUGAAGCAGAGCUUAAACAGAGAAGCUAACAUGGCAUAACAGAGUGUUAAGAUUUUGAACCACGAGUAGGCCACCAAGAAAAGUGAUGGAGCCAAAAUGAGAAUCAAAUGUUGAUAUUAUACAAAAGAAUCUGAUUAGUACCAUAACUUCCCAGGAUUACUAAUCGAAAACUAAUACACAAAUAUUUUGUCUGAAAAAGCCAAUUAAAGAGCAAUAUAAAAAAAGCCAAUAAUUAAUGCAAAUUAAAUUCUAGAAAAAUUGUUCAGCCAAAGACUGCAAAAUCUUCAUGCAUGUGACUAAUUGACUAUGCCAUUGUGCUGCAUUUGAGGAAGGAACCAAAGAAACACAUAACCGUUAAAUUCUACAUGAAAUUAUGUUGAAAUCUUACACGCAUAAAAAUUCAUUGGUCAUCUUCAACUACUAGAUCUUCAUUAUUAACUGGCACAUCUGUUUUCUCGAUAAUUUUGUCUUGCACAUCACGAAUGGUAUAUAUCCACCGGUGUCACCUCAGGAAAUUUCUCAGUUACUGGAGAUCAAUUUAUACAUCCACAAGCACUGAUUUACACAACAAUUAUCUCCCAAAACCUAAUGUAAAUUUCAAAAAGACUAAUUUGAUUGCCUAAACCAUAACAAAUUUCUCAACAAUCUGCUCCAAAUAGGAUCCAAAUGUUUCGAUAUGCGUGCACCGAAAAACGGUCUUAGAAAGAGUGAUUUUGAUUUUUCAUUCAACAAGAGUGAGAGUGAUACAAACAGAUUGUUUUUACUGAAACAUAGAACGAAAUGAGAAGGAAAUAGAAUAUAGAAGAGUGAAAAUAGAUCAAUUUGAGGGAGUUUAUGCCGUCAAAAUAAAUAUGCAGUGUUCUAGAAACCAAUAAACUUCCAAAUUCAACUUAAUUUGCACUAAAAUUAUAAUCAUUCCAUGCUGUAUCUUAAUCCAACUAUAUUUAAAAGUAAGGGACUUCAUAACUGAUAACUCCCUCAUCUCAAAUUUCCUAUAGACAAGUGGAACUUUUACUGUCUUUUGGCAUCUCAAAUUAAGAUUAGCUCUAUAUAAACAUGAGAAGUGUUUACAUUGGCUGAGGAAGCUCCUUCUUGUUUCCACAAAGGUAAAUAUAUUUGGAAUUCUUGACCUUCUGGAGGACUCUAUACCUUCAGGCUUAUGAGGGGAAGAUGCCAGCAGUCUUCAGCUAACCCAAUUGAACACACCCUCCUCUCCUCUAUUGACAAAAAAGAUUGCACUGCGGGGAUCUCGUAAUCAGGCUUUGGUGUGGGGCUGAAUCCAAUUAAGGCUUUAGAUUUAUAGAAACCCAUGGUCUAAUUCAACCCAAGAACUAGUUUACAAAUAGAAAAUUUCUCAAAUUCAUACAGUUAGCCUAGUUAUUAUUCUCUUCCAACGUGAGAUAAUAUCCUCAACAAGAUUCCCAUCUUACGGCGCUGUUCAGAUAUGGUACAUAUAAUGGUAGGCAAUCUGUGUGUGGGGCUGAAUCCAAUUUAGUGUAAAUCAUUUUUUGGCCACUCACCACAACACCAUCAAGGCAAAUUUUGAGGUAACUUGGGUCCUGCAUGUCUAUGGUGCAAGUCAUUUCUCUUAACAAAUUGUCUACCUAUACUAUUUACUUUGAAGUAAAUUGAAGUUUGAUUCAACAUAGAGAGAUUUGAGUACCAUCGUAUAUCUACUGCAAACACGCAUCAAAAUUGAUUAACAGAUUAUUUAUUACAAGUAGACAACGGAUGAAAUUAUUUUAUUUUCAAAUUACGAGAGGAAAAAAGACUAUUUAUGAAUGCAAUGUAUAUUCAUUCUUCUCUUAAUCCACAGGUAAUUAAAGUUUCAAAUAGAUGUGCACAUGUACUGGCCUAAAGUCUACCAAGCUUCUAAGUUAGUCUACUCAAAACAAACUUUUCAACAUUCACAUUUUGAUAAAUUGGUUACUGAGUUUCCAAUUAGUAAUUGACCUGUGGUCAUUAAUACACGCACCCGCUUAUAUGCUUGUGGUACAGUCACACCGAAUCUGUUAUAGACUAAUUAAAUACAAUAUGUUUCUUUUACUAGCUAAAUGAUUGGAUCUUCAUUAAUGACCGAAGAAGAAAUUAUAACAACCCAUGCAAGUAUUAGCACUUCUCCUAAAGCUAAUAUUAAUGAAACAAAACAACUUCAGGUAUUUCCCAAUAAGCCACUAGAUCAGGAUCACGUCCACAAUUCAAUAUUCCACAUGAUUUUUCCAUUUCAUGAAUUAGUAGGUCUGCAAUUACUAGAUUAAAAGGUAAUAAAAUUAAUUACUUAACAUGCAUUCUAAAUCAUCCUUAAAUUUGAUAUGUUGGGUUCCAGCUGUAGGCAAAACUUUGGAUAAGUACAGAAAAAUAAAAUAAAAAAGAGUAAAAACGAAAAAGGAAGAAAAUAUCGAUCAAACCUCUUGUUGAGGAGAAAUCAAACGGAGGGGCGGCGCUGGUUUUUUUAUCUAACCCUUGAAGCCCCGACGCGCUAUUUUUUUUUUUUGGGUUACGUAUGAAUUAUUUUCCACAAAGAACUUAAACUCGGGAAGAGAAAGACCAGGAGACAUACAUAGCCAAAGGCAUCGACUCAAAGUCCUGGUGCCGCAACGUGAUCCAAUCCUUGUCCCUGAUGAUAUAACGUAGUCACACUUGUCAUCUCAAGAAUCAUUGGACAAGGCAUACUAACCGUCAUAUACAUGUGGGGUCCAUUUUGAAAACAUUAGGUGGAGUAUGUUAUUUUUUUUUUAUUUUAAAUUUAUAAAUGUAAAAUCUUAAUUUAUAAAGCUGAAUGGGUAUUACAAAUGGGGAUCUGGAUACCUUGCCACAGUUGUAAGGGUGUGUUUGAAAUUAAGGUUGGGCAGCUGUAUUUUAAAAAUUAUAAUACUAAAGUGUUUGGUAAACACUAACUCAUGUAGUUUGGAAAAUACAUUAAAAUAUAAUAAUUUUGUCAAAAUUAUUAUUUUAAAUUUAUAUUUAUUACAUAUUAUUAACUUUUAUUUCAUAAUUACAGUUUUUUUCCUACAGCAGUUGUAAUUUAAAAGGUACAUCGCCUCAAUUCUAAACACAUCCUAAGGUGCCACUAAUUUUUUCUUUUGUGACAUUAAAUUUCAUUUGACCACUUAUAUUAUUUUUUAUUUAUAAGUUUUUGUUCUUUGGCUGGUGACCUUUUAAAUUGUAGUUUUAUUUAUUUAAGAUUAUUUAAUUUUUUAAAAGAAUAAUAUAAUAAUAAGCAAAUGACUAAAUAAUAUUUAUUUUUUUAAGACUCACUACUAAUUAAACAAUAUAAAUUUGAAACAAUCUGAGCUUAUGUGUUUACGAUUUUAACUCUUCAUUUUUUUUGAGUUUUUGAUAAAUAUUAGAGAGUAUAAUGUUAAUAAUCAAUUAGACAAAUCUUUACGGUUGAGACUAUUUUUUUCAUUAAAUCUGACGAUGAAUACCUGAAAUAAUUUAUAAAAAAAAAUUGGUGGUACCUUAUAACUAUUGUAAGGUAGCUAGAUCUAGGUAUAUGAAUAGAAAACAAUCAAUCUAGCUACUAAGAAAAAAGGGUGGGCAAACUCAAUCUAACCUAAUGGACCCAACCCAACCCAAUCGAACCCAACUUAAUUUUUACAGGUUGAGUGAGUUAUUAUGAGUUAAUUGGGUCAAUUUUUUUUAACCCAAUUAACAAUUGGGUCGGGUUCGGUUAAUUAGUGGGUUGUGUUAGUUAUGAUGAUCACAUUUAACCCAACCCAACCCAACCCAUAUAAAUAAUAAUAAUAAUAAUAAUUCUCAAUUUACAAAAUCCUAAAAAUCUAAAUGACUAAUCUAUUUUUAUCCUCUUUUUAUUCUUUUAUAAAAAAGACUAUUUUUUUCUUGAAUUUACUAUCGACUCUACUAUCAAAACUAAAAUCACUCUCUUAAAUCUUAAUUCUCAGUCAACUAAGGUAUUUCUCUGAUUUAUUCAUUCUAUAUUCUUUACUUUUUUCAAACAGUAGACCAUGAAUAGAAUUUUCAUGCGAUAAUAUAUUUAUAUUUGAUUUCAAUAAGUUUUAUUAAAAGUUUCAUAUCCUUUUCUUUAUUUAAUUUUUAAUUUUGAUUCAAUUUUCAAAUCUUCAACCCAACCCAACCCAGCUCGAUGAUUUAAGGGUUGGGUUGGUUGAGUUGAAUAUGUUUUAUUUAAUGAGUAGAGCUAUUGGCACCCCCUACAUUAUUCUUACAAAACUCCACUUCAAAUAAAAUUACAAUUAAGGACAAUUGAAAUUUAAACACAUAUAUAUUUUUUUUCUAGCAAAUUACUUAAUUCAUAAUCAAUCUUUUCAAAAAAAAAUUCUUUAUGUUACUUCCUAUUUAACUAAAAUAAAUUGUACAAAUUUAGAAUAAUAUAUUGUUUUCUUUUGAUUUCUUAUUGAUUAAAUAUUUUUAUACUUAAAAUUGCUUUGCAAUUAUAAUUUCAAAUAUGUGUUAUUUCAGUUAAUGAUUAAUACUAAAAAACUUAUCACCUAUAUAACUUUUUAAUUUGUGUGUAGAUUAAUAGUAAAAUUAAAAAUAAUUAAAAAUAGCACAGUAAUACUUUAAGUUUUAAUAAUCGAACAAAUGAAAUGAAAAUUGAGAACUUAAAAAAGUGUAUCUAAAAAAAAAGACAUUUUCGAAAAUAAAAUGAAUAUAACUAAAAAAGGAGUUUAUGAGGAGAUAAGAGGGGUGCCAAUAGUCCAACUCUUAGUUAAUUGGGUUGGAUUAUUUUUAUUUCAACUCAAUCAAUAAUGGGUUGGGUUGGGUUUUCAUAAACCAUAUCCAACUCAACCCAUGCCCACCCCUAGUACUAAGAAGUAAAGUGGGUCUACAUUUGGCUAUUAAUAAUUUGUUCAUUACUCUUGCCAUAAGCCAAUUCUCAAUAUUUAUAUAAAAUUUUAAUGGCUAUUAGUGAGUGUACGAUCCUGGAGUCCGAAUAUAUAAAAAUGAAAAGGCCAUGGCUAAUUUAAAUCAACUCCAACAUAGAGCACAAAUCACAACCACACACGCAAAGUGAUAAAUAUUUAAAAAAAUACAUUAUAACUUUAAUCAUGUGACUAUGAAAACAUGUUAUACCUUAAAACGGUUUCAACAUAACGAAACCCUAUAAAUUUAAUGCAAAUUUUUAUUUAAUAUACUGUUCUCAAAAUCAUAACUAAUUAAACCAUCGGUUCUUUUUUGGAAAAUCAUAAAUUACUACAAUGAAAAAGACAAAAAUAAACGAAUCUGGAAAUAAGUACAAGAAGCGCUAUAUAUCUAUCAUUGGUUUGCUCCCAGAAUCUGGGGAGUGCUUUUCAAGUCUUUUCUUCAAUAAAGCCGACAAUAGUUAGCAGCUAAACUAAAAGGACAUAGAUACCUGCCAUUUCAUGAUAUCCACGGACAUUAACCAUGCAGAACCAAACACUUUCCAAACGAAAAAGGCUUGGAUUCCACUUUAUCAAUAGCAAUUACAAUUAUUACAUGAAAAAUGCUUGGUGCAGAGAGAUGUGAAAAAAAAAUGAGAGAAAUAAAGAAGAAAAGGGAAGAGAGAGAGUGGGAGAUAGAGAGAAAGACAAACUUCUCUCAUUUUUCUCUCAUCUUUCCUUACACUAAUCACAACUCUUAAGAUAAAAUAAGUUUCUUUAAAACAUCACAAUUAGAAGCAUCUAUCCUUUGUUAUUUUAGAAGGGACAUAUACGUUGUCAUAUGCAUAAAUAAAACAACUCAUUUUUACGUUUUUUUUUUAAACAGAGGCACUUAAGCAUAUAUAUAUGCCCUAAGCAGUUGCAUGGAAUAUCAAGUCCCAAGUAAAAUCACACCAGAUCCUCCGUCGGACUUGGCUGCAGGUCUUGGAUGAGCCGAUCACCUUCAACUCCAACGUCAACUUCAACUUCAACUUGAUCAUCAGGAGGAGUUGCCACGGCAGUGCGUCGCUUGCAGCAGCGCUUAAACAGAGAAAUUAACAUUACGUGAAAAAGUGAUAGGAUUAUGAGACACAAAUAAACCACCAAGAAAAGGAAAGGAGCCAAAAUGAGAGAGGCGAUUGUGGAUAUUGCCAGCAGACAAGGGAGAUGGUCUCCACAACUCACGGACAGAGGGCUGCUUACACUGAGAGGAACUCUGAUGGCUGUGAGGAGAAAGAGCAGUAAUAUCAGGACGGCAAGACCUAGGAAGGGGAAUUGGAGCUUUAAAAUUGGGUACAAAAGUAUGUGGUUGGCUCCAUCCUGGAGGGACCAAGACUGACCAUCUUGAGAUUUCAGGAAGAAAAAGAAAACUACAAGAUUCAUUAAUGGUGGAAACAAAAAUCUCACAUCGACAGGACAAUUCAUUUCUGGAAGUUUAAUGUCGAAAGAAAAUUUCAUACUUUUGCAAUGGAAGAAGAUUUGAGUGCUCAGCUAACCGUUAGAAAGGGCUGCUAGUUGAGCUCUUGGGGGAUUUAUGGGAUGGCAACAUUCCUCACGGCCUCAUUUUCAUAAAACAAAGGGGAUAGUAAAAACAAGGAAAAGACAAAAGAGAUGAUCAAAUCUCUGAGACACACUCACACACACAAUUGCCUUUCAACCAAGUCAACUAAUUUCAAAUUGUCCCACAAGACCAAAACCCUUCUGAAACUGAAAUUCCAGAUCUACCCCUUUGAUUAAACUUUAGAAUUUACUUUUAAAAGACGCUUAGCAAAACGCAUGAUCAACUUUUUUAAAAAAAAGAAAAAGUUCAAUUGGUCAUGAACUUAUACAUAAGAGUGUUGAUACAAGUCUUUUUUUAAAAAAAAAGCACCAAAAAAAUUAAAAAAAGAAAAGUGGGAGUGCUGAUACAACACAAGGGAAUACAAAACCAUUAGAUGAUGGGGAAAAAAAAAUGUUUGUCCUCACGAGAUAGAGGGUAAUUCUGGCAUUUUGAAAAUUAACGAAGUUGCGCAGAAGUUUCUUGUAUCUCGGGGAUCGUUGCUCUCUUGCUUAAGCUUUGAAAAACAAAGAAGCAUUGUAAUUAGUAGUUUGUUAAUUUUUUUAUAUUGAGGCAAAGUUUUCCUUUUUGUUUGAAAAAAUUUCCAAUAGCCCCCACCAUCGUCCUUGUAAUUUUCUUGCAUGUUAUAAGCGCCAAAUUAAUGUUAUUAUUUUUGUGGAAAUAAAAUUAAUAUUCCAUUCAUUCGAUGGAAGCUUUGGCACUGGCGAGCAGUAAUAAAACAUAAUCUCGGAUUCUUAAUAAUUUUUUUUCUUUCAAUUUUUAAUUUCUUCUUCACUCUAAAAGAUUAAAUUUUCAAAAAAAAAUAUUAAAUUUUAAAAAUUUCAAAGAAACAUUACUUUAAGUGAGCUUUAAAAUUUUAAACUAUAUGAGAAAGGAAUUAGUUGUUGGUUAAGGCCUUUGCAAUGAGAUAUCUCAUUAGUUUAGAUCCAGCAUUGACGAGAGUUGUGUUGAUCAUUUUAAAGAUCUUUUAUUAUGUAUUUAUUUAUUAUAUUAGAUGGGUAUGAGUUAAUUACAAUAUAUGUCAUGAAAAUCAUUUUUACCCAUAAAGGGUCUUCCGCCAUAGUUCUUUCUUUCUUUGGCGUUAUAAACAUUCAGAAAUCCAUUUGUGAUAUUCAUGGAUAAAGAAAAUGCAUAUUAUUUGAUCCAAUUAAUUAAAAGAGCAUACUUUUCAUAUUCGUGCACUAAGGGGGAACGUUUGAUCUAAUUUGUUGAUCUAUAAAAAUUCACGGUCUAACUAAACCCAAAAACUAGCCUAAAAAUUAAAAAUUCUUCAAAUUACUAUUCUCUCUCAAUGUGAGAUAAUAUCCUCAACAAGAUUCCCUCUUAGGGUGUCGUUCGGAGAUGAUACACGUAGUGGUAGGCAAUUGUGGGGCUGAAUCCAAUUUUGUUACCGCCACUUUCAGGCUGGUUCAGAUUGGAUAUAUUGAUGCAGCAAUGAAUCCGACGGUUGGGAUAGCAGAGCUGAGGAGACAGCCAGAUGCUGGACCUAUUACCUUGCUGGGCUUCUCUCCCAUUUUAAACUAGUAGCUUCAUAGACAUAUUUGUAAUGGAAAUGUUGGUCUUCUUAAUUAAGCCAGACCUUGCUCCUAGUUUUUCUAGUCCAAGUUAUAGCAAGAAAUGACAGGAGUCGCUCUAACCCAUCCCAAUCCUACACAAGAGAAAAUAAAAGAUAAAUUAAUAAUAAAGGAGCGAUGAUAUGCUUACUUAGUUGAGAUAUUUAUUUUGUAUUCUAACUAAUGUGUCACCAAUAGAAAUGUAUUGUUUAGAUUAAAAAUAAUAAAAUUUAAUAAUUAUCUGUCACUUGAAUCAAUCAGACAGUGACAUAUCAUUUCCCAUAUCAGUUGAAAUAUAAAUUAAGUAUUUCAAUUAAAUAAGUGUAGUAUUGUUGAUAACAAAGUUGUCUCAAAUAUUGAAGGGUUCAUCGGUGGGGUGCAAAUCAUUUUUCAUAAUCAAUUGUCUACUUUACUAAUUACUUCAAAACAAGUUGAAAUUUUAUUCAUCAUAGAGAGAUUUGAGUACGAUCGUACAUGUACUAUAAACACACAUCAAAAUUGAUUAAUUGAUUAUGUAUUACAAGCAGAUUAUUGUAUUUUUAAAUUAUGAGAGGAAAAAAGAAAACCUAUGCACAAAAGAUAUAUAAAUGAAUGAUACAUCUUCCAAUAAAGAGAUGCAUGUAACGAAUUAGAACUACUUAUGAGACACAAAAUCUUUUUAAUUAUCCUUCACGGUUAGAUUUAUUCCACAUCUUCCUUUUUUUUCAUUGUACUUCUAUUUUUAUUUAUUUAAUGUAGAUUUUAAUUCUCCAAUGGUGGGGACAGAUACUCCAUAAGUGACUUGUUGAUACUUUUUUUCGUACAUGAGUCAAUCAAGCGCAAAAGAUAGAGAUGUACCUGCAUACACAAUAAUAAACAAAUAAAACAGUGAGAUAGGACUAGAAAAAUUGGCUUUCGAGGAUCCCACUUUGAUACUUAAGUCAAUGAGGUGUCUUUUUAAUUAAAAUCCGAGAGGUUUUUUUUAAUUUUCUCAAGUUCUCAUACCGUUUUUUAAUUCACUUCCUCCUUUGAGAUCCUAACCCCCUCAAGAUGGUAAAAGUAACUAAAUCCAUAUCAACACACGAGUCAACAAGCUUUUGGUAAAAAUAUAGACAAGACGCCCAAAAGCUGAGGUGUCAAAAAGAGAUAGGAAAAAGGUCUCGUCUUUCAAUUUUUCUCCUUGUAACUUCCUGUCUCUUUUUUUUUUAUUUGCCUCGAAAGGAAAAAACUGGUCAUGGUUAAAUGGUGAAUACACGAACGUUUUUUGAGGGACUCAGCUUGAUCUGAAUUCAUUCUUCUGUAAUUUUUACUUUUUAUUUGCAUAAUAGGAUCGCCUGAGUUCACGCUGGUUAAAUGUAGCAGCGUGGCAACAAAAUUUGGCACGGAUGCAUCCUGCUUUUAUGAAUAAAUGAUACUAUACUAAAAUUAAUGAACAAAAUAUUAAAAAUUUUUAUUUAAUAAUUUUUAAACAACAUUAAAAGAAAAGCAAAAAAAAAAAAAUUACUCUUUUUGUGGUAGUCGACUGUUGACGUGAAGGACCGAAAAUCUUGAUGUUUGCCGCCAGAAGAUGAUGCGAAAGUCCGUUAAUCUGACGUGACGUCAUCGUUUUUGUGAUGCCACGUAAUCACCCAUGUUGUUUUGUGCGGACCUCAGAGCUGAGCUUGUCUUUCAUCUCCUCAAUAAGGCAAACGUGAUCAACUGUCACGUGCAUGCGGGGUCCAUUAGAAGAAGAAGAAGAGCGUGGUUCUUCUUCCAGUUCUGAUUUUUGAUUAUGUACGACAAAUAUAAUUAUAUGGAACGAUGAAUUUUUUUCAGUUAUGAUAUUCUCACUUUAAUAAAAUAAAAAUAUUAUAAAAAAUAAAAACUUUAAUAUAUUAAAAAUUAUAUUUUUUAAUUUAUUAAAAUUUGUUUGAUUUUUUAAGUGACAAUAUUUUUAUUAAAAAAUAAUGAAUAAAACUAAUAUUUUGAUAUGACAAAUAUAAUAAUAAAUGCGAACCAUAUUAUAGGGAAAAAUUAUGUUAUAACAGUGGUACAAUAUUACUGUUACAACUAGCCAUUAAAUUUAUAAUUAUGUAGUUAUAUUAGUAAAAUUUAAUAAGCUAAAAACAACAGUGAUACUGUAUCACUGUUGCAAGGCACCAUAUUAUAUGUACAGGCUCUCCAAUGACAGCGUCGAUAAUGGCAUGACUGAGAACACCGGCCCACGUAAACUGACAAUCAAUAGUUAGUUCUUCAAUUGUCAAAAGUAAUUCACAUAUAGGGACCUGUCUAUGGUACAGAUUCUGUAACAAACAUCUCCCGUCAUCCCACCAUCCGAUUUUCUAUUGUUUAGUUUCUCACUCCACAUCCAACGGCUGAUGCUGCAGUCUGUAGCUUACAGAAGCUGUAAGCUAGUCGAGUCCCACAAAUAGGUUAUUGUAACGCGUGUCGUUCUAAUAUCCCUCGUCCCACUAGAGCUCUAUCGUUCAUCAAUUUCGAAAAAGUAUGUUGAUGCUCAAUUAGCGGAGACUUCAAAUGAUCGAAUUUUGAAAAUUUAAUAUUCACAAUCCACAGUAGGGACAUCAUCUUGCGAACAGGAGUCAAAAAUGGACGGCAAAAAUGAACAUUGAUUACAUGUCCCCCGGACUGACUUACAAGAUUUCGAGUACAUUAUGAAGAUUAAAAGAUUUGAUAUUGGGGAAAUAAAAAUCUCAAAUCAAAAAGGUUCAUAAUGAAUGUUGUUAAGUCAUCCUGGUUAAGGUCUUCUCGGGAUUGGGAAGCCCCAUACGACUUUUAUAUAAAGCCCAUUGGAGCCGCCUGCUAAACAAAGUAAUGCCCGUAUUCAAGCAAAAACACACACACACAAAAAAAAAAAAAAAAGGGGGGGUUAAGAGUACGAAAGCACCAUUAUGAUUUAUGCCUUUCCCCGCCCCUCACACCAUUCAUGUAGCAUUUGGAUCAUUUCACAUUUGAGCAUUGUUUAUGAUUAAUGGCUAAGAUUUGUCCCUCCUAUGUCUUUAAUUUGUUGACCAUUUUACCAAUAAGGUGCCCCACGUGAUGAGAGGAGAUAAAAGAGAUGAAUUGUAAAUUAAUUAAAGCUUGCGAAAUAAUUAAAACAAGUCUAAAGCAUAAAAUCAUGCACAAUCAAUUCUAACAUCGAGAAUAGAAAAUGCAACUUUGAUUCAACCCUUGUUUUUAAUUAUAUAAAUUAUGUACUGUCAAAAGGGCAAAACUAACGUGGGUUCUUUCUUUUUUUCUUUUUCAAGAUCAAUUACAAUGGAAUCUUAUUAUUUGUUAUAAAAACAAAAAAAUUAAAAAUUUUUAAAUUUUUACACAUUAGUCCUAUACCCAAAAAUUUUCAAAUGCAUUAAUGCUUUUGGAAGCCACGAUUUGUUUAGAAUUCAAACUCCUAUAAAUUCAAGCACUUACUCUCUUUAUACACGCAAACAUCAGUAAAUUAAAAGAAAAGGUUUUUGAGUUGUGUGAUUGAAUUUGAGGCGCAAUAACUUUAAUAGGAAAUAAAGGCAAUUGUUUGCUUUCUUUUCUGUUUUGUAAAACUCCUAAUUUAAUAACCCGGUUAUGACACAAUUAAUUAUUCUAAUUGACUUAUAUUUUAAUUCAUAGAUAUGUGCUGAAUUGGCAUCUCUAUUGUUUUGCAUGUACGAUAUUAGCCAGAGAGAAUAAAGAAUAGAAAAUAUUUAUUUUUUAGUUUAUUUUUUCUAAGAAAAUAUUUAAAUUAUUUUCAAAUAGAGUAAUUGUUUGGAAUUUUUUAGUUUUGUAAAACUCCUAAUUUAAUAACCCGGUUAUGACACAAUUAAUUAUACUAAUUGACUUAUAUUUUAAUUCAUAGAUAUGUGUUGAAUUGGCAUCUCUAUUGUUGUGCAUGUACGAUAUUAGCCAGAGAGAAUAAAAAAUAGAAAAUAUUUAUUUUUUAGUUUAUUUUUACUAAGAAAAUAUUUAAAUUAUUUUCAAAUAGAGUAACUGUUUAGAAUUUUUUUUUACCCUUCUCUUCAUUAAGUUAAUGAAAGAUCUCAAUCGUAUGGAUGUAUGCUAAUGACUAUUUAAACUACUGGGGUGAAGUAGCAAAUAUCAAUUUAUUUAAGUGUGCAAUUAAAUUGAUUAUUUUUAUUUAAAGACAAAAACUCAACCAAAAAUAAAAACCCUAUUUUUUUUCUUAAUUCAUGAAUGCUAUAAUCAAGAAGAGAUUGAAAGUGGUUUGGAAUGGGAGAAGGGGUAGAGAGAGCACUUAACAAUUUUUUUUUUUAAAGUAUCGAUGCAGGGGUUUAUUAAGAAAGUACAACAAAUUAGGAUUAUUUUAGGAAUUAAGAAGAGUAUGUAGAGAAAAGGGGUUUAAAAAGAAUGUUAGAGGUGUGCCAAUAGUCCAUGUUAAAUAAAUUUUAUGUUACGAAAAAAAAUUAACUACAUAGAAUAUCAAAUUAAAUUUAUUUUCUUAUUUUGUACAUUACAUUUACUUGAGAUAGUAAAAUCUCGUGUUGGAAUAAAAAAGGUUAUGAGAUUUGAACCUUAGUCACAUGGGUGAGAAGAAAAUUAGUUGUCGUUAUGUUAAAUUAAAAAAAAUUAUAUUAUAUUUAUCAUUAAUUAUGGUUCGUAAAUAAUAUACAUAGUUUAACUAUAUAAUAAAUUAGUUAAUUUUUUAAUUAAUAAGUAAAUUUAUUAAUUUAAAUAGAUAUUAAUAAAUGUAAGAAUAAGUCAUUUAAUUAGAAAUCUAGUUCAAUAAUGUAAAAAAAAUUAGAAUAUUAGGGAUUUAUAUAUCGUAAUUUUAAAACUCCUGAUAUUUCUUAUUUUUUUAUGAAAAAAAGAGCUUUUAAUGUUAAUAACUUAAAAUCACAUCUAAGCCUUUAUAAAACUCCUCGUUACAUCUAAAGGUGAAUUUGAAGAAGACAAUAAAUGGGGCACAAACCCAUGGGUGACGUAGCCGGACCCCUGUAAAAAAAAAAAAAACAGCCUGCUUUCAUCGCAAUUACGUCAAGGGAGCAGAUUAUCUUAUCCGCAAGAAAUUUUAGUCAAGAAUAAGUAAUAUUCUACAUUUCUACUAGGUAUAAGAGUGGGAUCUCUUUCAGAGGAACAGAACAGCACUUACUCAUUACAAAAUUCAAACCAAAUCAAUAUAUCUGUCACCAUUUCACGUAAUGUGUGCAAAUCAGUGCUUUCACUUUUGUAGACAUCAAUUCGGAUUAUCGGGGUCGACACUAUAUAUCACUUUUUCUAGGUUUAGAAUUAUUCGCUCAAUUUUGAAGGACCUUUAGAACAAAAAUGAUGUUAAAAUCAAAAAGAGAAAUGUAGAAUAGAAGUAUCCUUUUAUAUGACAUCGCGGACCCGCACGUGAGUUACUCUUUGAACUCUUUUGGAUGCGUGUCAGCUUUUGAUUAAUUUCUACAACGCAUCAGCUUUAAAUAAUAUUGGAAAUUGCCUUAUCAUCUUUGUAUUUUGUCGUGAGUUUGUGGCAAAAAUGUCAUAAACUAAGCUACGAGCAUGCGUAAGGCCUUAGGGGUACCCUUUUAUCCUAUCAAUGUGACCGCAAUAAUCUCUCGGAACCUUUAAAUCAGUGUGGGGACAAAUGAGAUACGAAGGAAUUAAGCAUCUUUGAAAGAAAAUAUAUAUAUAUAUAUAUUUGAUGUAUUAAUUCUUUUGGAUUUUUAGCAACUUGCAUUGCCCAAAUCAUUAUCUCAAUUUUCUCAUCAAUUUACCCCCCUCGUUAACAAUAUAAGCUUUCGCACACGGUCCAAGUUAUUGAUGAUUGACCAGCAUACAUAUCUGUUUUCUUGAAAACUUUUUCUGAAUGAUGGAUUUGAUCCUACAACGCAUCAGUUCAUUACCCUUCCCCAUAAGCUACAUGGUUUUAUCAUUUGAUGAUGACAUUUUAAUAUGUAAUUUCGUCCAAGACAUUCCUUUGCGACUGAUACUACACAAUCCCUAAUUGUAUUCCCAUCAUACAAGGGUCACCCACCCUUAAAAGAGAAAGAAAAAGGGAAAAAAAUAUUAUGAAACUUAUUAAGAAGUUUACUAGUAGAAAAUCUCGGGGAAAAUACUUCGAAAAGCAUGAAUUCUUUUGCAAGCGCAGCUCAUAUAACAACUUUAAAACAUUUUAAGGAGAACAAUUUCCUUGCAAAAAAUAUGAAUGACCGUACAGAAACAUGGAAAGUUCCACCAAACAGUGCAAUUUACUGAUGUUAGAAGAUGCAAUCAAUCAAUUUCCCUGACUUCCAAGUUAUUAAUGGAGGAGACAAAUUAAAAUUUCACAUGCAUAAUAAACCAAUUAUUCCACAGGAACAAUUAAAAUUUCAAAUAGAUGUAUUUAUGAAAAUGCAUAGAGCCUACCAAACUUCUUAAUUAAUCUGCUCAAAUUGGAACAUUUGACAGCCACUUUUUGAUAAAUUGGGUUAAUUCAAAUUCAAUUACAAUCCCUUUACUAUUAAAAAGAUUCUCCUACUUUCAACGCAUUUUUUUUCUCUUAGAAUUGAUACACACACACAUAUAUAUAUAAACACAUAUUAUCCUCACGGGAUGGAGGGAAAUCCUACGCUUAAUCCUAACUUCCAAACAUAAUCUUAAUGACUAAGAUUUGUCUUUGUUGACCUCUGAUUCAGUGUUAACCAAUAAGGCUUCCCACAUGAUGAAAGGGGAUAAAAGAGAUUAAUUGUAAAUAAAUAAAAGCUUGCAUAUUAAAAAGCUGUCCAAAACAUCCGAUAAAAGAGAUAAGGUUCAGAAUGUCUCAAUUAAAUAGAAAUGACUCAAAACUCAAUUAAAUAGAAAUGACUUUGAUUUGUCUAACAAUUAUUUAGCCUUCUGUCCAGUUGAAAAGUCAAGAACACUAUGUAAGCUUAAUUAUAUGGAGACAAUCAUCCCACCAUACUCAUAAUCCUUAAGCGCGUGUAGAGAAAAAAUAUAUAAAAAUCUUUGAAAUUAUGAAUGCAUUGUUUCUUUUUAUUAUUACAAACAUGAUUUUAAAGACUUAAAUUUUUUUUCAUAAUCUUGGCAAUCUUAAUUUGGUGCAGACUUUUAUUAUUUAUAAUGUAUGAUUAAGGUAUAAUUAUUUGUAUAUUGUUAUCUACUGAUUUGUUAAAAUUAACAAAUUUAUAUGAGAGAGAUUUUAAUAUUUCUUUGGAGAUUUAUCAAUUGAUGAUUGAUAAAAAUAAAAAUCAUAAAAUAAUAAUCUAAAUCAUGCAUGACUAAUAAUAUAUAAUAUCACAAAAUUGUUAAACGGCAAGUAAAAUCUAUAAACAAAGAUUGUAGAUUUUGAGGUAGCUNNNNNNNNNNNNNNNNNNNNNNNNNNNNNNNNNNNNNNNNNNNNNNNNNNNNNNNNNNNNNNNNNNNNNNNNNNNNNNNNNNNNNNNNNNNNNNNNNNNNNNNNNNNNNNNNNNNNNNNNNNNNNNNNNNNNNNNNNNACAUAGUUAUUUGAUAUUUAUAUCCCUAUAAAUAAAAAAAUGAUUAUGUUUUAUAAUUUAGAAAAUAAGUAUAUUUACUAUGGAUAUUUUUAAAAUAUCUUAUUUACUUCUCAUUCGGAUAAAAAUUAUAAAAUUUACUUUUCUAUUUAAAUAUAAAUGUCUAAAAUAAAGAGGGCAAAGCACUAAUCCAUGGAAAUACAAAACCAGUAGAUGGUGGGGAAAUAUAUAUAUAUAUAUAUAUAUAUAUAUAUAUAUAUAUAUAAUCCUCACGAGAUGGAGGGUAAUUCUGGCAUUUUGAAAAUUAAGGAAGUUGCACAGAAGUUUCAUGUCUCUCGAGGAUUGAGAAAGCAACUUAUAUUAUUAGCUAAUUAAUUUUAUGAGUCAGUUUAACAAUUUACGGCACAAAUAAAAUAGUUUUUUAAGCACUACAUAAAUAUAUAUGUUGUAAUUUCAUCUCAAAGCAACAUGCGCAUGAAGUGGUAACGAAAUACAACCAAAAAAGUUGUUAAGCGAUAAUUCUCAUGUUGAAAUUAGAAUUUGUUAAUUGGCCUAAGCACUGUUUAAUAUUUACUUUUAAAAAGGAUAUGGCAUUAAAUUCACUUGCUAAGAUAUUGGAGUAGUGUUGAUGCAAUUUUCUGUCAUGCCUGCAGAUUCAACUCGCUAAGAUUUCGGUUAUGCCUUCAGGUUCAAGUAUUGUUGCUGAUUUAUGCGAGCUGUUGGGAUAAUUGAGCAUGGCUUUAGAUUCAAUUUGAGCAAAUAUAUUUUACAGAUAAUCAUUUUUAUUUAACACAGGUGAACAUUUCAGUAACGCGUACGUGGCUUUCUAAUUCUACACGUCCCUUCUUAUAUUAUAAAUAAUUACAGUUAUAAACCAAAAAAAAAAAAAAUGCAUGUACAGCAACUACAAAUACGUAUUAGACGCCCGCAUUAUUAUUAAUAUUUUAAUGGGGGAAAAAAUGACAUGCAGAGAAGAGGCAGCCGCCUAAUACUUUUGACUUGAAAACAAAUCUCGUGCACACCGUGACAUAUCUGUUGCAUUUCAAUCUAAGGAAUAAUUCAAUAUGCACACCGUGAAUCAUCGCAAAAAUAAUUCAAUAAAUAUGCUUUCGAUGGCUAAAAAAUACCGACAUUCACAUUAAUCUCUGAGGGCCCAGCUUUAAGAAGAAAUCUGAUUAGUGUGGAAAUAUGAGACGUGAAGGAAUCAAACGUAUUUCAAAAUAAAACAUUUAAAGGGACACGUCAUGAGAGAGCCAAGUAACAUAGAAAAGAGCUAUAACAUCAAAUGUCCCCAAAACCUUAUUAACUUUCUUUCCUUGCCCAGAAGCAAAAACAUUAUUCUCCUUUAACAAACAGCUACAAGAACUUGGAACAUCCCAAAACAUUAUUCUCUAUUUCCUCAUCUUUUUAUUAUUCCUGGUAACAUUGCACUAUAAAUGAGAUAAAUGCAUUUAUCCGCACACAUAUUAAUGGAGGAGACAAAUUAAAAUUUCCCAUGCAUAAUAAACUAAUUACCCACAGGUACAAUUAAAGUUUCAAAUAGACAUAUUUAUGAAAAUGCCUAGAGCCUACCAAACUUCUUAGUUAAUCUGCUCACAAUAGAACAUUUGACAACCACUUUUUGAUCAAUUGGGUUAUUAAUCGCCUUUGUGUUCUUUGAAACCUCAUUCUUGGAUUUGGUUGCUGAGUUUCCAAUUAUUAAUUGAACUCUAGUCAUUGAUACAUAUGAAUGCUUAUGGUACCGUAAGAUGGAAUCUGUCAUAGACUGAUUAAUUAUUUCAUGUUUCUUUUACUGGCUAAUUGGUUUUUUAAACAUAUAUAUAUAUAUAUAAAUUAUCUAACACUAUGGAAGAAGAGUAUCACAAAAAAACUCUUUAGAUUUUAUUUUUUAAAUAUCUAUUUACUUACCUAUGCGGUAAAUAGAAAAGUGAAAAAAUAAACUCUCCCCUAAAAAACUCUUCAAAUAAUGCAAGAUAAUAUUAUUUUAAUUAAAUCUUUUUCUUUACCACAUUUAAUUACUCUUCAUUUUAUCACUCCAACUAUUUUAGUCAAAUCUUUACUGCUAAGUAAUUUUAUGUUGAUUUUAAAUGUCGUUGUCAUUGUUGUUGUUAUAUUUUAAAUAUGUUUAUCUUUUAGUAAUUCUAUUGAUAUGCCCUUAAUAUGUUUUUAGAUUUUAUGUUGAUUUCACACUCCUGUAAGGUCCAUUUUGAAAAUUUUUUACUACGUUUGUGACCAUUAUUAUUAGGUUGAAUAUGUCAUUUUUUUAAUCUUAAAUUUUAAAAAUAAACGCAAAAUCUGAAUGCACAAAGCUGAUGGAUUUGGCGCAUAUAGAAAUUAGUUUUUCGAUAUUUUGGCUGUGUUUUAUUCUUAUAGAUAAAUAAUCAAAUCCUACAUGUAUAUUGGUCAAUUUGGCUUUAGUUACAUGACAUAAUUUUUUUUUUUUAAUAUAUAUGGAGUUGAACUAAGAAGAAAGAAUCUAUUUGCGAAUAUUCAAAUGCCACGUGCUGGUUCAUUGGUCCAUUUAGCUUUAGUUCAUCGUCCGUGGGUAGGUGACAUACUUGUUACUUACCUGCAUGCACCCCAAAAUCGCUAAAUCGUACCAAUUUUUUUUCCAUGUAUCCAUUUGCGAGUAGGAAACAGUUAAUCUCACAACCGAUAAUUAAAGUGGGUCUGCAUUUAGCACACGCUUUAAGCUCUUUCUAUUAUUUUGUUAAUUUUUUUAUAAUUAAUACUUAGUUCAUUGGUCCUGCCAUAAGAUUUUUGCAUUGGUACAGCGCGCGAUUGACUUUAAGCUCUUUCUAGUUUGUUUUUUUUUUUUUUUUUGUUUUUUGUUUUAAUGAAACAAAAUCAAAAUCAAAAUAAUGAAAGAGGUAAAGGCCAUUGGACUCGUUGCCGAGAGCAAAUGGCGCAUUUCAACGUCAUUCACGCGUACAGCAACAUUAUUGAAGAGCUUUUGGAUAAAACUGCGCCCUUCUUGUACUUCAAAAAUCCUUUGAUCAAGUUAGCCUUGCUUUAAUUUGGCUAUUGAUUACAUAUUAUUUCCAAUUUCUUCUAGAAAACCGUUGGUUUUCGGCAUAGUUAAGAGAUUAGAAAACGAAAAUCAAAAUUUGGAUGGAUGGAUGAUAGGAGAUUUCUUGGCUCGUUCCCGAAAGUAAAGGGAAUGCUGUGAAAGUCAUAAGUAGUCACUUUCACUCGUUUAUCAAUUUGAUUCAAUUUCUCAAAAGUAAUCCACAAAGAGAUUGUAAUACGUUUUGUCAUAAUCUCUCGUCUCACUAAUUGUUCAUGGUUACUGAUGGAAUUUUCACAAUUCCACUCAUACAGACUUCCCGUGGAAGACAUCAACUUGCAAACAGGAAAUAAUAAUAAUAAUAAUAAGAAUAAUAAUGAAUUAGAGUAAGAACGCAUUGCAAACAUUAAAAUAAAAAUUAAUAAUAUGUGAUAAAUAUAAAUUUUAAAUAAUAAUUUUGACAAAAUUAUUAAAAAGAUAAUAGAUUUUCUAUCAUACAAAUGAAAAAUUGUAGCAACAUAUUUUCUUAACUACAGCAAUUAGUAUUUAUUAAACAUUUUAGUGUUGGGAAAAAUUUAAUUAGUAGAAAAUCUUGGGAAAAAUACUUCAAAAUCCAUCAAUUGUGCAUGAAAAGAAACAACCAUUUUUAAUCUUUUGCAAGCAUAGCUCGUAUAUCAACUUUAAACAUUUAAGGAAAACAUUUUCCUUGCAAAAAUAUAAGCGACUCUACAAAAGCCUGAAGAGUUCCCCUAAUCAGUGCAGCUUACUGAUGUUAAGAGACACAUUCAAUCAAUUUUCCUGACUUCCAACCUUCAAUUUAAUGCAAUCACGGUCAUUAGCCUCCUAUCCUUACCUUAGGGUAAGAAUUUCUAUUUAUUGUAUAUUUAACAGCAGAGCUAGACUCUAUCGUUAAAAAAUAAUUAUUUUCAUACUAAAGACUAGUUUUAAACUAAAGCUGAAAUCUGUUUAUUUUAAAUAUAUCUUUUAUGGACCUUUUGGUCUUCUUUAAGCGUGAGCUUUAUUUGCAACAGAAGUCCAUGAUUGAAAAAAACCAAACUGUAUGUGAUUUAUUUUUACUGUUCUUUCACUACCACAUGAUUUAUUUGCAUCUCAAUAUAGAUGCAAUGUUUUUCAGCAUUACCCAAGUCAUUCUCUCAAUUUUCUUGGUCCAUUUGGCUUUAGUUACAUGACAUAAUUUUUUAGAUAUGGAGUUUAAUUAAGAAGAAAGAAUCUAUUUGCGAAUAUUCAAAUGCUACGUGCUAGUUCAUUGCUCCAUUUGGCAAAUGGAUACAUGGAAAAAAAUUGGUACGAUUCAGCGAUUUGGAGAUCAGUGCUUUACUUUUGAAGACAUCAAAGUUAAAAGAAUAAAUAUAAUAAUAAGUCUAUGACUAAAUAAUAUUAAAUAAAAUAAAUAAAUAAUAUUUAUUUUUUAAGAUUCACUACUGAUUAUUUUAUUUUAUUUGAUAUUAUUUAAUUUUUUAAAAAAUAAUAUAAUAAUAAGUAAAUGACUAAAUAAUGCUAAAUAAUAUUUUUUUUAAGACUCAUUAUUGAUUAAACGAUAUAAAUUUGAAACAAAUCAAACUUAUAUGUUUAAGAUUUUAACUCUUUUAACUUUUUUGAGUUUUCAAUAAAUAUUAGGGAGUAUAAUCUUAAUAAUCAAUAAGACAAAUCUUUACCAUUGAAAUUAUUUUUCAUUAAAUCCAACGGUGAAUGUCUAAAAUAAUUAAAAAAAUUUGAUAGUAACUGACAUCUAUUGUAAGGUAGCUAGAUCCAGGUAUAUGAAUAUAAAACAGCCAAUCCGACUACCCAGAGGUAAAGUGAGUCUGCAUUUGGCUAUUAAUAAUUUGUUUAUUACUAUUGCCAUAUGCCAAUUCUCAAUAUUUAUAUAAAAUUUUAAUGGCUAUUAGUAAGAGUAAGGUACUAGAGACUAGAGCUGGCAAAAUUUAACACGACCCGAUUACCCAACACGGACACGACAUAAAUAAAUGGGUAUGAGUAGUCAAAUUUAAUACGAUUAUUAAAUGGGUCGGGUCCGGGUCAACACGAUUUUUUUCCGUGUCGGGUUUGGGUUAAAAUUCUUAACCCAUUUACCCGAUCAAUGACCCGAUUAUAUUUUCUAUUUUAAAAUAAUUUACAUAUUCUUAUAAUUAAAACUCAAAUAUUAGAGAUGAUUUUCUUUUUUUUUCUUUAAAAGGGUGAAUAUAAACACAGUGUUUUAUUUAUAAAAUUUUACAUACAUUUAGAGUUUCAAUAGUGUAAAUGUGUAAUAUAUUGGUAGAUAUGUAUAUUUUAUAAUAUUGAUAAAUUAUGUAUGUAUGUAUGUAAGUAUGUAGUUAUGUACAUACGUAUGUAUGAUAGUGUGUAAAUAUUUGAUGUAACUUUUGUUCAAUAUAUAUAUAUUAAACGGGUUAUUGGGUAACCCGAUUAUUUUUCCGUGUCGGGUUUGGGUCUCAAUAUUUUGACACGAUUAUUAAAUGGGUCGGGUUUGGGUCGAUCUAAAUUUAACACGACACGAAUACGACUCGAUGACCCGUUUUGUCAGCUCUACUAGAGACUGGAUAUAUAAAAAUGAAAAACAGAAUAAAUCUGACACAAAAUUUUAUUUAAUAUAAUAUACCCCUGUCCAUAUCAUAACCAAUUAAAUCACCGCUUCUUUUUUGGAAAAUUAUAAAUAUUAAAAUUAAAAAGACAAGAAUAAACAAAUCUAGAAAAAAGCACAAAGAAGCACUACGUAUCUAACAUUGGAUUGACCCCCGGAUUCAGAGAAGUGCUUUUCAAGUCUUUUCUGUGAUGAAGCCACCAAUAGUUGAGCAGCUAAACUAAAAGGACAAAAGAUACCUGCCAGUUCAUGAUAUCCACGGACAUUGGCCAUGCAAAACCAAUCUCUUUCCAGACGAAAAAGACUUAGAUUCCACUUUAUAAAUAGUAAUUAUAAAUAUUACAUUUAAUAUGAGGGUUUUGAUAGAUAUUUAUCAAAACAGCUUCAGGUUCCCAAUAAGCCACCAGAGGAACAAAUCCACAAGCCAAUAUUCCAAAAGAUUUUUGCUUUUCAUGAAUUAAUACUAUUAAUUUAAUGGGUCUGCCAUCGCUCCCUUAUCUAUGUCUUAAUUAUAAUUAUGUGACUAGAACUUGAACAAAGAUUGACUUGUCGAUGUGUUGUCCGGCCGAAUCCACUUGUUGGGCAGUGAGGGUAAUUGCUUCCGGUGGAAAAAGAAAAAAAAAGCUUAAAUUUAAUGUUAAUUUUGGGAUAAUUAAUUUCAGGAGUAAUUUUUUAAAGAGAUGAAUCAAUUUUAUAAAUUGUCUUUUUGCAGUGGGGAUAAAUUAAUAUUUUCUAUUAAUUAUUUUAAAUCAGAGUCAUCACCUAGAAAAAUUAUUCUGUAGAGGAUAAAGAAUAAGAACAAGAUUGCAAGAGAAGAAAGACUCCAUUUUAUUUUAGGAGUGAGAAAACUGAAAAAAAAAAACCAGAAAAACAAAACAAGACAACAGAGUAAGUGGGUUCAAGAAGCAUUUUUUUUUUCUAUACGACAUUGUCCACACGAACUUGAGGACCCUUUGAACUCUUUUAAUGCGUGCCAGCUUUUGCUUGAUUUGUAUACCGAAUUUCUAAAACGUCAUCAGCUUUAAAUAAUAUUAAAAAGAAGAAGGUACCAUUUGCCUUAUCGUCUUUGUAAUUAGUUGUGGGUUUGUAACAAAUUUAAACUACGAGUAUGCGUGAGGGCAAUAAUCUCCGCACCAUUUAAUCACUGUGGAGAUACAUGAGAUGUGAAGGAAGGAAUUAAGUAUCUUCAAGAGAAAAUAUUUACUGUUUUGAUUCUUUUGGAUUUUCAGCCACUUGCAUUACCAAAAUCAUUAUCUCAAUUUCUCAUCAAUUGACCCCUUUGUUAAGAAUAAGGUUAUUAAGAAUUAAAUUAGUAGAAAAAUCUUGGGAAAAAUACUUCAAAAUCCAUCAAUUGCGUAUGAAAAGAAACAACCAUGUUUAAUCUUUUGCAAGCAUAGCUCAUAUAACGAUUUUAAACAUUUAAGCAAAACAUUUUCCUUGCAAAAUAUAUGGAUGACUCUACAAAAACCUCAAAACCAUCAAGAUUUUCGCUGUUUCACUACCACAUGAGAAAAAAACAAAUGGUAUUUUCAAAUUAAUUAUGAAAAGAAAAAAAAGUUGUUCAGAAAAUAUAUGUGAAUAAAUUAUGCAUCUUCCAAUAAAUAGAUGCGUCUAACAAAUAUAAUUGAUAUAAUAAUGGAUACAAUCAUAUUAUAUGUAUAAGCUUUGUGUGCUAAUAUCACUAGUGUCAGUGACAAAAACGACCAACAUACACAAUAAUCUCUAUUAAAUUUAGAUGGAUCUAAAUUACCAAUUUUGUAACUUAAUUAGACCCAAUUAAUACACAUACAUACAUACAUACAUACAUAAAUAAAUAUGUAAGCUCAUAGUACAAUCGUUUUUGCGCUAUUCAUUAGUUGUUUUUAUUUAUAUUUUUAGUUAGUCAAUCUACCUUUUAUAGAACUGGGAAACAAAUUGUAGUUUAGGGAAUAAAUUUAUAUUUAAAAAAAAAUUAUUCUGUAGAGGAUAAAGAAUAAGAACAAGAUUGCAACUUGCAAGAGAAGAAAGAUUCCAUUUUAUUUUAGGAGUGAGAAAACUGAAAAAAGAAACAAAACAAGACAACAGAGUAAGUGGGUUCAAGAAGCUUUUUUUUUUCCUCUAAACGACAUGGGGCCUUUGUGAGGAUAUCCAAAAAGCAGUACGUAGGUUCUGGUGGGGGACAAAACAGGAGAAAAAGAGUAUCAUUGGGCGAGGUUGCUGCCUGCUCGUGUGGAGAUAUGAGACGUGAAGGAAUAUAACAUUAAAAAUAAAACAUUUAAGGGACACGUGAUGAAUCAUCUUGUGGCAGCAAUUCAUCAAGAUUUUCGAUCGUUCGUGCCAACUCCCACAUGAGCAAAAAAGCAAACGGUAUGUCAUUAACCAGGAGCUGGCUAGGUUACAGAUUCUGUAACAUACAGAUCCAACUUAGCCACCUCCUGAUUGGUUAGCUAGCUACCAAACAAACCAUCUCAAUAUAGAUGCAAUGAUUUUCAGCAACUUGCAUUAGCCAAGCCAUUCUCUCAAUUUUCUUUAUGCUUUUAGUGAUCAAUUUACACCUCACUUACCAACUAAGGUUUUUUUUUUCUAAUUUUCUUAAUUUGGAAUUUAAUAAAGCAGAAAGAAUCUUGAAAACUCCUUCAUUUGCAACAGAAGUCCAAAGGGGUCGGUGACACAGAAUGUGAACUAUUUUCACACGUACGAGAGAGCCAAGUUACCAAGCAAAAAGCUAUAACGUCACAGUUUAACUUUCUUUCCUUGCCCAGAAGCAAAAACAUUAUUCUCCAUUAACAAACCGCUACAAGAACUUGGAACAUCCCAAAACAUUAUUCUCUAUUUCCUCAUCCUUUUAUUAUUCAUGGUAACAUUGCACUAUAAAUGAGAUAAAUGCAUUUAUCUGCACCCAUAUCAAUUGAGGAGAGUCUGGUGGUGGGUAUGGGUUGGGUUUUAAGUCAAUUCAAACCAAACCAUAAAAAUUUAAGCUCAACUCAAACGAGUCAAACCAACCCAAAUAUUUUUAACCUGGCCCAAACUAACCUAUUUAGGUUUGGUUUGAAUUUUAUAAUAAAAAUAUUUUUAUUUUAAUAAAUUUAACUAUAUAAAAUUAUAAUUAUUAUUAAUUAUUAAAUUAAUAUUAAAAUAUGAAAAAAUAUAGCGGAUAAAAAUUAUGAAUAAUGGAUUUUACAAUAACUAUGUUCUUAAAUAUUAACCAUAUUACAACAUAAAUUCUAACAAUGUCAAUACAAAUUAAAGUAAGAUAAGAUAUCCCAACUCAAGUAUCAAAGCAAUCCAUCAAAAUUAAAUUAUUUAAUUUUAUAAAUUUAAAUCUUCUGAGAUAAAUCUAAAAUUUAAUGUAAUUAAAAAAAGCGCCAAAAUUUUAAAUGCAGUAAGAAAAAUUAAACAUGAAAUCUAAUUAGGUUUAAAUUUAAUUAAAAAAUAACAAUAGAAUCAUAUUUUAUUUGAUAAAAUCUUAUAAUCAAUUACAUUUUUAAUUUUAGUAAGUUACAAUACAAAUAGGACUAUAAAAUUAUAUUAGAGGAUUUCAUAAAAAUAUUGUUUGAGUAAUUUAUUAAAAUGUUAAUUUAGUCUUGUAACUCAAGUUGAGACUGUAAAAAAUUGUUAUAUAAUAGUGUAUAGUACAACCAAUUGCAUAUGUAUUUGCCAUGUGUAGCACUUCUAUUAUUAUUAUAUAAUAAUAAUUAGUAGUGGUAUAAUUACUAUAUAAUAAUAGUUAUUAGUAGUAUAAUUAUUAUAUAAUAAUAAUUUUAAUAAAAAAUAUUAUUAAAAUAUUGAUUUAACCUUUUAUUUUUUAAUUUAUUUUUCAUUGAUAUGUUACUUUGAAUUUGUUCAUGACCCAUGGGUAAACCAUACCCAAUCCAUUGUGAAAUGGUUUCUUGCAUAAAAACCCAAAUUUAACCCAUUACCUGAAUUAUCCAACCCAUACCAUUUUAUUUGGUUUGAGUUUAAGUAAGCCCAUGGGUUAUGGGUUGUGGGUUUAUACCCACCCCUAGAGGAGACAAAUUAAAAUUUCCCAUACAUAAUAAACCAAUUAUUCCACAGGCACAAUUAAAAUUUCAAAUAGAUGUAUUUAUGAAAAUGCCUAGAGCCUACCAAACUUCUUAAUUAAUCUGCUCAAAUUGGAACAUUUGACAGCCACUUUUUGAUAAAUUGGGUUAUUUAACGCCUAUUAUACUUUGAAACCUCACUCUUGGAAUUGGUUGCUGAGUUUCCAGUUACUAAUUGAACUAUAGUCAUUAACACACACGUAUAUUUACGCUUAUGGUACAGUCGGAUGGAAUCUGUCGUAGACUAAUUAAUUACGACAUGUUUCUUCUGCUAGCUAGUUGGUUUUUUAAACGUAUAUAUGAAUCAUCUAUAACACUAUGUAACAAUACAAAUAGGGGUGGCAAAAACGAGUAAACAAAUUGAAUUCGAAUCGAAUCGUAAACGAAUUGAACUAAAAUUCUAUUGAUUCGGAUUCGAUUCAUUUAAUAAAUGAAUCGAAAUAUCAGGAUUUGAAUUCGAUUCGUUUAUUAAAUGAACAUUCAGUUUGAUCUGUUUAAUAUAAUUAAUAAACGAAACGAAUCGAAUCUGAAUUCGUUUGCUAUUUGUUUAUUCUUAUGAAUCCAUAAUUAAUCGAAUCGGAUUUGGAUUCAUUUACAAUUCAUUUAUAAAAUACAAUAUUAACCUUCAAAUUUUUUUAAAAAAAUUAAAUAAAUUUAAAGACAAAAAGUAACUCAAUUAAACGAAUUUUAAACGAAUGGACCAUAUUCGAUUCCUUUAUGAUCCAUUUAUUAAAUGAAUCCUAAAUGAAUAAACAAAUUAAUAUUUUCAAACGAGAAUUUAAUUUAUUUAAUUAGCGAAUCAAAUCGAAUUUAUCCAUUUAUUAAAUAAAUUAAUUUUUUUAAAUCUAAAUCUAUUUAAUUUAAAUCGAAUCGAAUCGAAUAUACGAAUUCUAACCCAAAUUGCCACCCUUAAAUACAAAUAAUCGAGAUUAAACAAGAUUAAAUUAAACGGAAGACUUAUGAAGCUUGAAAGUCACAAAGCUUUUCUAUUAUAAUUAAUACUGCACAGAAGGCAAAUUCAAUUUAACUUCUUAGAUCUCCUAAAGCUGUAUGAUUGGAUUGGAUCUUAAUUAAUAAUAACUGCAGGAGGAAUUAUAAGAACCCACCCAAGACGUAUUAGAUACUUCUCACGAAGUAUUAACUAUUAAGUCUACCAACAUACAAAAGAAUAUUUCACGUGCCUGCAGCAGGGCCAUUUUUGGAAAGCUUUUAGUACGGUUAUCCGUUUGCGACCAUUAUUAUUAGGUUAAGUGUGUUAUUCUUUAUCUUAAAUUUUAAAGAUAAGAGUUAGAAUAUUGGCACCCUCCUGUUAUAGUCUUAAAACUCAUUUUUUAAAUAUACUCUAUUAAAUAAUUUGAAACAUCAGAUAACUUUUAUGGAGACCCUCUUUUAUUCCACAAAUAUCCUUAUUUCACUUUUUCUCUGAACAAACUCCAUUCAUGAUGUCUCUUUUCUUAAUUUCUUUAGGUACAUGAACAAAAAUUUAUAUAUUUAAUACUAAUUGUGCAUCUUAUAAAAAAGAUACUAGCUAAUUUCUGUUUGGGAUUGAUUAUUUUUAUGGCAGUUUGUCUAUUGUUUAACUUUACAUAGACUUAAAAUUCAAAAUAAGAAAAAAUUGAAAUUUGAAUGUCUUGAGUGCAUUUAAAUGCUUACAAUAAGUCAUGAGAUAUUUUCAUCUUCAUCUAUUUUUAUUCAAAAAAAAUUUCUAGGGUUGGACCAUUUCUUUACGCAUCAAAACAGGAUACAAUUGACAUUUUUUAAGAUAAUUAAAAAUAAUGAAUAGUCCAGUGAAAAUUAAUGGAUUUACUUUAGUUAGUGUAAAUUAGUUUUGCCAAGGGUAAAUAUAAUUCAAGCUCAUCAAACUCUUUAAAAGAGAAAGAAUAAAUCUGCAACUAUAAAUGUGGUCUUCAAAUUUCAUUUGCACUUUGGCAUUGGAUGAGGUACAUGGGGUUUUUUUUUCGAUUAGGGAUAAAUUUGCAAACAAAAAUAAGAGGGGUUUUAAGAGGAUAUUGGAGGUGUGCCAAUAGCACCACUCCAAAGAUAAAUGCAAAGUCUUCAUGCAACAGAAAUAGAAAUAAAUUUUUCGCUUUUUUUACUGUGUUUUAUUCUUAUCGAUAAAAUACCAAAUGAUUGAGUCCAAUCAUGAAUAUCCGACUAAGGUGGGCGUCAUUUUAUUCUUAUAGUGCGUGAUCGUUUUUAACCAUUUAAUGAUUAAACUACAGAGUUUUAUCAUUUAAUGCUGAAAUUUAAAUAUGUAAUUUUUUCCAUGACAUUUCUUUGCGAUUGAUAGUACACAAUCCAUAAUUGUUUUCCCAUCAUAUAAGGGUCAUCCACCCUUAUGAGAAGAAGAAAAAAAGAAAGAGUUCAGCUACGUUGGAGCAUCUCUAAAUGCAAAGCAACCCCCACAACCAUUCGAUGGAUAUUGUUACAAUUGGAAAUGCUCCAAUGUAGUCGCUGCCAAAAAGAAAUUAUGAAACUUAUUAGGAACUUAAUUAGUAGAAAAUCUUGGGGAAAAUGCUUCGAAAAGCAUAAAUUGUAUAUGAAAAGAAACAACCUUGUUUAAUCUUUUGCAAGCAUAGCUCAUAUAACGACUUUAAACAUUUAAGCAAAACAUGUUUCUUGCAAAAACAUGAAAAGUUCCACCAAACAGUGCAGUUUACUGAUGUUAAAAAACACAUUCAAUCAGUUUCCCUAACUUCCAACAUUCAAUUUAAUGAAAUCACAGUCAUUAGCCUCCUACUCUUACAAUAGGAUAAGAAUUUCUAUUUAUUGUAUAUUUAACUUCAGUGCUAGACUCUAGUGCUACAGAGAUUGUCCGCAAAAGUAAAACAGAUCAUUCUUGUUAAUUUCCCUGGAUGAUCAGUUUCUUUGGUAAAAUAACUCUAGCACUUGCAGCCCCUGGGACUUCUUAAAAGAGAAAAUACAUAAUGGUGAAGUUAGGACCAUAAAAAAUACUCUUGGAAUUGAGCAACAUCAUGACAACCACAUUGCUUUCCAUAACAAUGACUAGUGGCAUGAUCAAAACAAGAGCAUAGAAAACAAUCUCUCAGCCAUUUAUAAGUCAUCAAUCAGUGUGAAUAUAUGAGAUACGAAGGAAGCAUGCACCUUUAAGAUAACAAAAACACAUAUAUAUCUUAAUAAAUACAAUAGUUCAUUCUCAUUGGAGUUUCAGAAACUAGCAUUAUCGAGAUUAUGCUCUCAAUCUCUGUGCUUAGUCAUCGACAUACAACCAUGCCAAAAGCUAGCCCUUCCCAACUAAGUCCAAACGGAUGCCAAAAAGUGAACAUUGUCCCACAGACAAAAAGUGAAUUGCUACCAAAAGUAAUACACACCAAACAAUCAACACAUGAAAUACAGGACCUUUAGACAGGGUAAAUAGGGCUGAAGAAGAAACUAAAAACCCAUAGAAGCACUACGUUCUUCUCCUAAUACUAUUAAUGGACCAAAAAAACAUCAAAAAACACUUAAUAUACAAUUAGAGGAAGAAAUCCAUACCAAUGACAAGCUAAAUAUGACAUUUUUCUAGAAUUAAUAAUUCUGCAAACAAAAAAACACAUUAAUUAUCUGCAUUUUAAAUAAUCCUAAAAAGGAACAUAUCAUUUUCAUUUAUGUCAUAAAAAGAACAUACAAACACUGAUUUUUAAUCUAUUUUUAUUUCCAAGCAAAAACAACAUUCUUCUAUUCUUUCUCCAACAAGAAAACAAGUUAUGUUACAGUAGUCACUAGGCAGUAGGUAAAACACUUGGUAACUAAAUAUAUAGAAAUAAACCAAAAAGAGUUUUUAAAAACAAAAAAAAAUUGAAAAUAAAAAAUGAUUAAAAAAGAAAUGAAAAUAUCAAACCCCUUCUUCAGAACAAUUCAAACAGGGAGUUACUGGUUCUUAAUCCAACAGUAAGUAAUAUUCCACUGAAACCCCUCCACCAAUCUGAAAACAUCACAGAAAACGAGCAACGCCACAUUUAACUGUCUUUAAGUUGUAAAAAAGCUUCAAGCUUUGCAGAUGUGAGGAUAUAAUGAGAAACCAAUCAUAGAACAUGCCACGAGCAAGGGCACAAGCAGAGGAAAGAUCUUCAAUGCCUCAGUGUGAUGAUAAUCAUCAUGAAACAAUAUCAACAGAUGUGAUUUAGGGAUACAUCUCAUAUAACAACCUUCAAAUGAUAUUAAUAUACAGCGAUAGAUCGAUAUAAAAUAAAUAACUUCAUAAAGAAAGGGUUUACAAUAGGGGGAAUGAAAAGAAUAUUGAGGUAAAAGGCUGAGCUCUGGUUACCGUUCUUUCAUUUGUAUGUAAAGCCUCUCAAAUUCUUUAGUCACAUCGUAAUAGAUUCUCCUAUAUGCAUAAUGAAUAAUGAUGUCAAAAGAAACCCCUGAACUUAGAAUUACUUCCACCUCUUUAUCUUCUUAGUUAUAAUAAGGCAUGAGUGAGCUUUGGUAUAUUUAUCUCGCAACUCCAAAACCUGGUAAGUCUCUCGCAAAACCUGAAUUUAGAUGAAUGGACUUCAAACGAAAGGAUUUUCUUACAAAAGCUAAAAAAAUAUAACGGCAUGGUGAGAAUGGGAAAAUGAAAAUAGAAAGCAAAAGAAAAAGUUUCCAUCCGAUAAGACAAGUACAAAAUAAUCCAAGUUCUUAUUUGCCAUGCCAAUAUUAUUCAUGAAGAACUAAUCUGAUUUCUUUUCCAGAUAAGGUUAGUAACAAUUAAUCUGUAAAUAACUGAACCAACUUGGUUACUACGACAUUACUCUUUCGCUUCCGCACUCAUUUUCUGCACAGUUGCGGUUCAUCAACGGCCGCGUUCACCAAAACGAGUUCACUCUCCCCACUUCACUUAUUUCCCCACCGUUAUGUCUCUCCAAGUGCAGCAGCAAGACAUGAACUCCUAUCAUUAUAAGCAAUAUAAAAAGCCCUCCUAAAAAUCCACCACCUGUUUGGCCAGAGAAACUCCAUUACUCAUUUCCACACUCUCAAUUUUCAGCCCUUUCAUCAAACAAAAGCAUUACUUACCCAUGUUUAGACAUAACUGACUUCAGCACAUAAAUUACGACAAGCUGGUCAAUUCACGUAAACAAGGAAAAAUUAACUCAAUCAAGUGAAGUAGGCACAAAAUGACCUCAAUGAGACAUCAGAGACCUCUAAAAUCAAAUCAAAUUCAGUUAAACAAAGAAUCACUGAUCAAAGAUAAGCAAAAGAAAAAAAGCAAUGAAUAACAGAAAGAAAUUUCUUAUAAAAAUUCAAUAAAAUUAAAAAAAAAAGCUAAUCAUCUUUUCUGGUUAAGUGAUUUCGUCAGCAAAUAAGAGAAAAUAGAAAUUCUGGAAUAUACCUAGGGUUUCUAGCUUUGGGAAUUUACCUAAUGAGAAAUCAGUCUCUCUGUUUCUAGAUUUGUAACUAUCAUGGCCGAGCGACCACGAUCAGGUGAGAUAAUCGGAUUUUGCACCGGCGACGAUGCAAAUGUUUGGGUUUGGGGUUGGGUUUCGGUUUGACGAUAGACCAAGGAAUGUUAGGGCUUUGGGUGAUUUAAGGAUUUUAUUUAAUUCAAGUAAAGUGAAAAUAAUUGAAGUACCCCUAAGUUGGUUACGCAUUUAAUGUCCAGAAUAGUUAAUUAAAUUUCUGCUCGUGUAUUGAUGGUAUGCAUGAGUUCCUAUCUCAACCGUUAGUGCAGAGACAAACAAAAAACAGGAUAAAGUUCGACGCAAAAUUUUAUUAGUAUACAAACGUAAGUACACUAUUGAAUAUGAAUAUGCUUUAAACAACUGCCUUUUUUCCUGGGAUAAUCACAUUAUAUAUAAAAUAAUACAACAAAAGAAUAGAAGUACAAGUAGAAAGGCAGUAUCUAGGUUGUCUCUGCUACUCGGCUUCCAGUUCCACCCAAAAACUGCUCAAACAUCUUCGUUCAGGUAACCAAUCGCAGACUCUGUUAUUGCUUUAACUAAUUUAUGGCAUUACCAUAAUUUCCAGAACACCUUGCGCUUGUUCAAUGGGUUGUUCAACUUGAGGAGGAGCCAGCAGAUGUGCGUUGACAGAGGUGACAAUGACGACAGUGAGACGUCGAAGCCCGUAGAAGAAGUGCUGAAACAGGGAAGCUAACAUUGCAUAACAGAGUGAUAAGAUUAUGAGGCACAAAUAGGCUACCAAGAACAGAGACGGAGCCAAAAUGACAGAGGCGACUGCUGAGACAGCCAACAGAACGGAGAGUUCUCCACAACUCACGGAAAUGGGUCGGCUCACUUUGAGAGGGACUCUGAUGGGUGUGAGGAGGAAGACCAGUAAUGGGACGACGACGGCAGGAAUCAGGAACCACAACUGAAGCUUUAACAUUGGGUACAAAAGUAUCUUACUCGUACCAUCUUGGACGUCCCAAGAGUUGCCAUCCUGAGCCUUGAGGAACAGAAAAAAGAUUAUAAGAUUCAGCAAUGGAAGAACUAGAAACCUCAAAUCGAUUGAAAAAUUCAUGCUUGUGAGUAUAAGACUUGGCCGAGAUGAUUGAGUUUAAUUAUUAUGAAUAAGAUUUGGCAAUUUAUAGGGUGUUGAAUGAAGCUGCUGGUGUUGAAAUUGACUCAAAAAAUUGUUCAAAGCCUGCACGUUGAUUGGGAGAGACAUAAAUUCUUAAUUUUUGUUCUUUUUUAUGCUUGUCGAUUGUGUCCGCUGAAGUUUGCCAAAUGACAUCUGCAAGGUGAACAGUAAUAUCCAAUUGAUGCCGCUCUAUUUUCUUCUACAGUAAAGUUAAAAAGUGCAUUUGCUUCUCCUAUUGGGAGUGUCGUGUUUAUAUUUUCUUCUACAAAAACAUUAAGUGAAUUUUUUGAGUCAAUUUCACCAGAACAAUUUUUUGAAAUUGACUCAAAAAAUUUUGAUUAAUAGUAAGACGCAGGUUGUCUUACAUAUGUGGUGAAAUUGACUCAAAAUUUUUUGAAAUUGACUCAAAAAAUUUUGAGUCAAUAUUAAUAUUUCGAUUCAUACAAGUUUUAAUUAAGUGAUCUUAAUAUUAUAUAUUUUUGUAGUAAAAUACUGUGAUUCUUGGAUUUGCCUAAGCGGACCUAAUUGUGAUUCUUACAAUACAACAGUAUUUUUUGUACUUGUCUUAUCUGGAAAAGAAAUCAGAUUAGUUCUUCAUGAAUAAUAUUGGCAUGGCAAAUAAGAACUUGGAUUAUUUUGUACUUGUCUUAUCGGAUGGAAACUUUUUCUUUUGCUUUCUAUUUUCAUUUUCCCAUUCUCACCAUGCCGUUAUAUUUUUUUAGCUUUUGUAAGAAAAUCCUUUCGUUUGAAGUCCAUUCAUCUAAAUUCAGGUUUUGCGAGAGACUUACCAGGUUUUGGAGUUGCGAGAUAACAUGGGGGUAAAUACCUUUCUAUAUCUCAUUAAAUAUACCAGCUCACUCAUGCCUUAUUAUAACUAAGAAUUUAAAGAAGUGGAAGUAAUUCUAAGUUCAGGGGUUUCUUUUGACAUCAUUAUUCAUUAUGCAUAUAGGAGAAUCUAUUAUGCCAUGACUAAAGAAUUUGAGAGACUUUACAUACAAAUGAAAGAAUGGUAACCAGAGCUCAGUCUUUUACCUCAAUAUUCUUUUCAUUCCCCCUAUUGUAAACCCUUUCUUUAUGAAGUUAUUUAUUUUAUAUCGAUCUAUCGCUGUAUAUUAAUAUCAUUUGAAGGUUGUUAUAUGAGAAGUAUCACUAAAUCACAUCUGUUGAUAUUGUUUCAUGAUGAUUAUCAUCACACUGAAGCAUUGAAGAUCUUUCCUCUGCUUGUGCCCUUGCUCGUUGCAUGUUCUAUGAUUGGUUUCUCAUUAUAUCCUCACAUCUGCAAAGCUUGAAGCUUUUUUAUAACUUAAAGACAGUUAAAUGUGGUGUUGCUCGUUUUCUGUGAUGUUUUCAGAUUGGUGGAGGAAGUUUUGAGAAUUUACAAACGCGAGGUCCAACAAAAAAUUUUGGAAACUGUUGACAUCUCCGCUGAACGAGUCAGAAAACUUUUAAUUUAACUAUUUUGCAGGUGUACUGGUUGCUUUUAUGUGAAAUUUUCAUUGUUGGCCUUUAGUUCGUUCGAAGAAGUAAGAUCUGACGUUUGACCACAAGGUUCAUUAUAUCAGCUUUUUUAACUCUGUUUUUUUAUUUCAUUCUUGUCUAUUGGUUAUAAUACAGUGGUGGCUUGGGGAGUUACUGCAACACCCCAAAUUUAUCCUUGGUUGAAUUUAUCUAUUUAUUUUAUAACUGCGUAUGUUUAUUUUAUUAUUAUUGUCGUUGUUUUAAUUGCUCUAAGCUUCCCCUGUUGUUUUUUUUUUUAAUCUAUAAAUAUUAUAAGGUGUCUUUAUUCUUUGGUUAAGUUCUGUAACAAACAAAAUCAACGUUCGGUAAUAAUAAUAAAAAAAAAGAAGAGGGAGAAAGUAAUUCCUUUUGUGAAGAACCCAUUUUGGUACUAAAGGUAGGUUGAUAACCCACAGCGAAAGGCAUUCUACUCAAUAAGGCGGAUACCUCGGAAUAGCAGAGAGAGAACGAGAAAAAUAAAAAAAUAAAAAAAGAGAGGAGAGGAAGAUAAAGAAAUGGAGGGAAAGAGAGCAAUUGGGUUUUAGAGAGAAUAGUUGUGCAUUUAAGGGAGCUGAGAACAACAGCAAGUAUGAAAUUUCUGGGAAACCAACAUGAGUUUGGCUGGAUUUUCUCAUAACUCUAAUCCUUUAGACCUGGUUUGGGUAAAUUUCUGUGCAUGCAUGGUUCAAUUUUCAAGUCUUGUUACUUUUAUUAAUGUUUUUUUUUCACUUACUUUUCUUAAUUGUUUCCUUUCUGCUGCUGCAACUCACAGCAAGUUUAGGAUUAUGUUAAAUUUGGGAUUCUUAAAUUAUUGGCAGUAUGGUUGGUUAAUUUUUGUAUUACCAAUAGGAAGUGGAGUUAGAGAAGAAGAGAAGUCUUUGGAGAACUAGGAGCUGUUGUUGCAGGAUUAAAGGAGGUGUUUAUAUGCAAUUGAGUGCUUUUGUUACUCAAAACUGAAAAAUCAGGUUGUUUUUCUUGCUUGAUCAUGUAAAUAUUUUUUUUUUUUGGGUCCUUAUAAGUUGUUUUGCUGAGAUUUAAUGUGCUAAUGGCUUAAUUGCUUCCUUUAAUAAUUAAUGCAGUGGGUGUAUGGGUAGCCAUUUAAUUACAUGACUAUGUGGCUAAAAUAAACAAUUGACAUGUUAGAAUUAUCAACAGGAUUGCGAGUUUUAAUUGAAGACCGUGUAUUGUUAUUACUUGAAUCAGUUAUGAUAGUUAAUUUGGUUGAUACAUUCAUGAAUGAGAAUUAAACUUUAACGGUGAUAUAGCCAAGUUUGGAAUAGGAAGUGUAGCUGAAUUGUGUUUAUGUAUCCUGCAAUGGUAUGGUGUUUUUUUUGCAGUUUUAAGUUUGUGGAUGUGUUGUUAAACUGGGGAUGUGCUGAGGCUCUGUUAUCUAUAACUAUUGUUAUUGAGAAGCAUCAUGUGUCUGAUGUGUCAUUGUAAGGAAACUUACAUUGAUGCUAUUGAAUGAAUUAAUAAUUUUUAUUCCUGAAGUUGAGGUUUGAGAAGGUUGAUUGGUGAUAGACGGAUUUCCUGUCCCGCGGUGAAGCCCGCAAAAGAAAUUAUGGGCGAUGGCCCCUGGGAAUAAUGCCCCAAAAGUUCGCUAUGCUGGAUUGACCUAUGUCAGAUUUCUAUCCCGCGGUGAAAGUCUACAAAAGAAAUCAUGGGCGGUGGCCCUGGGAAUAAUGCCCCAAAAAUAUGUAGGGUAUUUCUUUUCAAGGCCAGUGCUACGUUACGUUAAUCGUAACGUACGCCACACACAACAACAGUAGCGGAUCCCACCAUAAGUACUGUUGUUGUGUGUGGAUGUACGUUACGAUAAUCGUAACAUAGCGGGAUCCUCUUUUCAAAAUUAAUGUUGGGGGAAAAAGUUUGAUGAGGAUUUACGGCUUACUGACUUGUCAGGCAUGUUUUUAUUUUGUAUUAUUGAAAGAGUAAUUUUAGGAUUUCUUUAGACGUAACUACGGAAAGCAUGAGCGCCACUAUAUUUGUACGUGUGUAUGUUGUUAUGAUCUUGUCCUAUGACAUUUAUGUUGAAUACCAACUUUCAAACUUAAAAAGUUUAAGAAAUAAAUAGGGUCUGGCUACGGUGCAACUAUUGUAUCGUGUCGCAGUUGCAUUCAGCCAUUCGAUGUACUUGAAUGGAUGGGGUCUACUGGCAUUUAACGACUGGAUGCAACUAUGAUACGGUACCACAGUUGUACCACAGGCUUUCCCAAAUAAAUAUUAUAUAUAUACAUAUAAAUGGUUUAUGUUAGAAAUGCACCGAAGUUGUCCGAAGUAUUUGGGUUUUAAAAAAAAUAAAUAUAUAAUAUUAAAAAAAUACAAAAUUUGGGUACUCGGAUUAAAACCCAGCCUAGUGUUGGGCUUAAAAAACCCAACCCGGAUAUUUAAAAAUUGCAUCCGGCUCGGAUUCAAGCAUUGCAAUACUCAAACUCGGACUGGGUUUUGCCAACCCUAUAUGCCGGUGUUUUUGGUCACGCCACUAGUGAUAUUGACACGAAAAGCUUGUACAUAAAAUAUGGUUGACAUUUAUUAUUAUAUCACUUUGUUUCAUAUGGUUAUACUUGUUGUGCAUAAUCCCAUUUUGAUCACACUAACAUGAAAACAAAGGUAGGUUAAUUACACGUAAUUAUAGUUUAGUCUUGGUGUAUUUCUUUCUAACACUAGUUUAAUUUGUAUCUUGUGAGUAAUUCUAAUUUGUUACAUGCAUCUAUUUAUUGGAACAUAUAUCAUUCGUUCAUAUAUAUUUUGUGCGCAGUGUACACAAUAUAUAUAAACUUUGAAAAGGUAAGUUUGAAAAUACCUUUAUAGGAAAAAAAAAGUAUCAAAUCUUUUAGCAAGGGAAAAUGAUAAAGGUACCGAGGUUUUUAAAACCCGAGAAGACCGAAACGACAACGUUAAUUGUGUUUUAAAAUUUUAAUGAGUCUCACGUGUUUUUCACGUGAUAUACAGUAAAAGCAAAAUAAAAAAUAGAAAAAUUCAGCCCAAAAUCCUCAACUCCAUUAUCUUCCAAAUUGGUUCCGCAAAUAUUAUUGAUGACGUGUAUCGAACCGAUAACAUUUCAUCGUCAAGGACCUCAACCACUAUGAAAAGCCCCCGACUCACCGCGUUUAAAAAUCACUCUAAUUCGUGCAUACUUCACUUUAUUGAGUUAAUAGUUAAUUUUCCUUGUUUAUAUGAAUUGGAAAAAUUCUACGGUACAUUAGAGGGUCCGUGUCAUAAUCUAAUGUGGAACCAUCAACUAAUAAUAAUUAGACAUGUGGCUAUUAAUUUGAAUCCUAAAAAUUUUCCUUUUUUUCCAUCCUCUUUCCUCCAUUUUUAAGAAUUUUUGUUUUCCUUCUUCUCUCUCAUCCCUCUUGAAUUUCCUAAUUUAAUAAAAUAGAAGACAAAGCAUCAAUAAUCAUUAAACCUUGCUCAAGUCUAUUUAGAAAUUGGAAUGAGGACCAGAAUUGCGUGCAAGCAAAAGGAAUUAGACAUACUCUACAAAGAAGAGAUUUUUAGAAAAGAGCCAUCUUCAGAUCUUCUUAUCAAAUCGUGUUUAUAAGAACACAUUGACUUUGAUUUACAAAAAAAAAAAUCCCCUUUUAUCCUCUUUCCUUAAUUUUGAAUACUUUGUUUCCCUUCUUCUCUUUCCCUUCUCCCGAAUUUCCAAAACUGAAAUUAUUUAGUUUCUCUCACAUUCGAUCAGACUUGGUUUCUCGUCAUGUGGUGUAUAAUCUAUCUUCAACAGCUGCCAUAUUUUUUUUUUCCUAUUUGUCUAUAAUCUUGAAAUUUUGUUUUUUUGCUUUUUAAACUAUCAUUUUAAAAUGUUGACAUUUUGCAGAAGUUGGAUCUCUUUUUCCAGACAAUCUAAGUUGUCAUGCGUCAUUCUACUUCAUCAAAGUAACAAUAAACAAAACAUCAGUGGACGCUAGAAAAUAUGGUGAAAUCUCUCAAAAUUCUAAUAAUAAAAAACAAGUGUUGAAAGUAUUGAUAACCCCAAAAUAUACACAAAUUAUGUGAAUUAAAAUGACUGAAUUUUCAGAGAGCAUAUCCUUACAAUUAACAAAUCUAAUGGAACAAAAAAAAAAUUAAAAUUUAUAUUUUAAUCCCUUCUUCUUCUUUGCUGCCAAAAUCAGGCCAUAAAUAUUUUCCUGGCCAGUGGCCAAGGAGAGAUUUAAACACUUUCAAGCUUCACGCAUCUAUUUUCCUUCUCAAUCUGGUUUGAGCACUCUGUUUCAAUGUGGCAGAUUUGCACAUUUCUCAUAGACAUAUAACCAGUUAUAAUGUGGCGCAUGGGCCACAUAUAUGAGUCCCAUAUUUUCACCUCAAAAUAUAGUUUCUUCCCAAGCUCGCCUUCCAAUAGCUUCAAGCACUCUGUGAACUCUGUCCUUUGUUCAUCCAGAUACUUGCACAAAUUUUUACCAUGAAAAUUAGACCAAAACUUGGCUCGGAUGAUUGCUGGUAAGGAUCAGAAGGCGACAAUUAAUGGAAACUUAGUUCCAAAUUGUAUCAAUAAACUUAGUAUAGUGAGAGAUUCACUACUACUAAUGGGUUUGUUUUUUGUGAAUUAGAUCCCGUAUGUUCUAAUAAACAGGAUCUGAUUGAAGAAGAUGUUUUUUUAUUUAUGGAAAUCUCUUCUUUGUAGAGUAUAUUUAAUUCUUUUUGCUUGCAUGCAAUUCUCACCCACAUCAUAAUUUCCAAACGGACUUGGCCAUGCAUUAAUGAUUAUUAAUGUUUUGUGUUCUAUUUUGUUAAAUUGGGAAAUUCGAGACGGAUGAAAGAGAAGAAUGAAAAUAAAUACUUUUAAAAGUGGAGGAAAGAUGAUGGAAAGAUUAAAAUUAAUAGCCACAUAUCCAAUUAUUGGUUGGUGGUUACAAUUUAACUUAUUUGACAAUGGAACAUCUGAUGUGCUGUAUGUGAAUUGGGUAAAACUUGUCUUACAAAUAAUGUAACAAACAUCCAAUAAAUAUAAAUCAUUGAUUUUGAUAUUUCUUAAAUUUAAUGGAUGAAAAUAAUUUUAACAUGAAAUGAGGGAUGGGUGUAAAAAUAAUUUGUAAAAAAAUUUAUUUUUAAUCACAUAUUUACUUUUUUUUUUCAAAUAAGUCCUCGAUAAUUUUGUAUAACUAAAUAGUUUUGUAGUUCAUCUCUCUUACAUCUAUUUUAAAAUUUCAUAAAACUUUUACUGUAUUUUUAUAAAAGUCUAAAUGAUUAUUGUAUUAAUAAAUAUUUACAACUUUUGAAUAUAUUUUUCUGCCUUUAUAAUUUCUUGUCUCUAUUGAGACAUAUACUAAAUUUUUCUUCUAACACACACACACACACACAAACACUCACUCACACACAUUGAUGCUGCGUUUACUUUUUGGAUUGGAGCGGGAAUCCUGAGGAGUGGGAAUCCUUAGAUUAGGAGUGUGGAGUGGGAGUGGGAGUAGGGUGUUUACUUAGACUAAAUGAAAGUAUGGAUUGUUAAUCAGAAUCCUAAUUAUUUGUUUACUUUGUCUUGGAUUGGGAGUAAAUUAUUUUAAAUUACAAUUUUAUCCUUAUGUACAGAAUUAUAAUUUGUAAUUAAAAAAUUAAUAAAAAAUAUAUUUGGAAAAUAAAAUAAAUAUUUUAUUAUAUUUAUAAAUUAAUAAUAAUUACUAAUAUUCUUAAUUAUGUAAAUCAUAAUUUUUUAUUAAUUUUAAUUUAAAUUAUGUGAAUAAAAAUUAUUAAUAAUAGCAACACAAAUGAAAUAUUAUUAUUGAUAAUAUAGUACAAAAUUAAUAUUUUUUAGAAUAAAAUUUUAUUAUUACUAAUUAAAUAAAUAAUUAAUAUUUAUUAAAAUUAAUGUUUAAUAUUAUUAAUUUAAAUAUAAUAUUUAUUUAUUUUUAUUUUAUUAAAUUUAAUAAAAUAAAUAUGAUAUAAUUAUUAUUUUUAAUAAAUAUGAUAUUAUUUAUUUUAUUAAAUAUGAUAUUAUUUAUUUUAUUAAAUAUUAUUUAUUUAUUUAUUUUUAUAAGGAUAAAAUGGGAAGAGGGGGGAGUGGAUUCCCACUCCCACCUCCCCCCAUGGGAGUGGGAAUCCCACUCCCCACUCCAAAAUUGGGUGGGACCCACGAAUUCUCACUCUCACUCCUUCCUUUUUUAAGGUAAGUAAACACUAGAGUGGGAGGAAUCCACACUCCACACUCCCACUCCAGAAAGUAAACACUACCUCAAUCUACUUUCCCAUCCUAAUAUAUACCAUCAAUGUUGCCACAUAGAUUUUGUAAUUUAAAUUUAUUAUCCUAAAUUAUGAGAGAUAUUACAUAAGUUAAAUAUCUCAUGAAUCUAACGAAUUAUUAGAAACAUGAAAUAAUGAAUAAAUUAUCAGAACCUCUAAUAAUUUCAUAAAACAUAGAAACCAAUAAAUUACCAACUUCUAACUAUAGGUAAAGAGAAUUUUUUUUUUUUUAUGAAAGAUUUCAACCUUUUUGAUCUGAUCAAUGAUUUAGAAAUGUGGAGAAAUAAUAAAUUAAAUUGAAUGUCAUUAUAUUUAUUAAAUAAAUUAAGAAACCCAAAUUUAUCUAUAAAUGAUAUAGAAGGUGUAAAUAAACUAUUAGAAAUUAAUAAUUUCAUUGAAGAAAAUAUAAAAUAAAUUAAAAAGUUAAGAUAUUAACUGAGUAAAGAAUUUAAUAAAGGUAAACAAUUAAUAAAAGGCUUCAAUAUUGAAAAUCAUGAUAUAUUAAAGUAAGAGAUCAUUAAUAUAAUUAAUAAAAACUCAAUAGAUAUAAGAUUAAACAAGUUAAAGAUUCAAUUAAAUAAAUAAAAAAUUAUUGAGCAAUUUAGUACUAAAUUUGCUAUAAAUAUAAAUAGAAAAUUUAAAAAAAAAUUAAAGUUCUAACCGUAUUGUUGCCUGGCUGCAGCCUGAACUCUAAAGCAAAACUUAACAUCUUAUUGAUGUUUUUAAUAAUUAUUAUCUUUUCUAAGGAUUUAAAAACUUAUAGCUGUAACGUACAAUUGAUGUAAGAUUAGCUUCGCCCAUAAUUAAAUAUCAUUAUGUUAAAUGAAAUUACAAUUUUACCAUAGACCGACAUAGAAAUGUUCCAUGUUUCCUUUACUUUCUAUUUUUGCUUUUUCACCCAUUAGAGGGUUGAAAUUAAAGUCAGCUUAAUUAAUCGAACCAUUAUUGAUUAUUAUAUCCAGUAAAGUUGCAUGAUACGAUAUUGAUUCUACAUGACUUAAUUCUCAUGAUACAAUUGUACGUUCUAAAUAGUAUCGGAUUGGAUUCAGCACUUACAGAUACAGAUGAAUCUCUUCGUGGCGGGGCUUUGAUGUUGUAAUAUGCAAUGAAAGAAACAAAUCAAAAGUAACUCAACCAAGUUUUAAAAAGACUUAUCAAAAGAAUGAGCAAUAAUUUCUGGUUUGAUGCAAGUGUUCUUAAUUAUUCAGUAAAUAAUGGAGGAACUUUUGUCAACUCUCAUAAAUUUAUGUUCUAUUGAACAAGUUUCUGCAAGUUAAAGGAAUUCUAAUUGUUGUUGUUGUUGUUGUUGUUUUUUGGGUUUAUGUGUUAUUCACCCAAUUUUGAAGGACUAUUAGUGUUGAAACUUCCUUGUGUCAAUAAGGUGCUUUUGUGGUUCUAGUCUUUAGGAAGUUUGUUGGUAAUGAUAUUAAGAUUGUGUUUACCUAGUCUUUAGGUUGUAGUUACUGGAAAUGGUUGCAGUAUUUGCUGGAUAAUGGCUGCUAUUAUUUUGUUAAGUUUGUUCAUGUAACGCCUAUAAAAGGCAACUUAUUGUGAAUAAAAUAUGCAGUACUUUCAUCCAUUUAUCCUUGCUUUGAGUGUACUAUUUCAUAUUCACUUAUAACAGUGGUAUCAAAGCUUGAAUUAGAAAAGUGGGAUUGACAGAGUUAGUAACAACAGUUUACUUUUUCACUUGUGUUGGAGCAGCAUAAAUUCAUGGCUUUUGAGAAUUUUGUUCAACUUGCAAUUCCCCGCUUUGAUGGUCACUAUGACCAUUGGAGCAUGUUGAUGGAGAAUUUUUUAAGGUCCAGGGAGUAUUGGCAGGUUGUUUCAACUAAAAUAACUGAACCACCAACCAGUGUUGUUUUGACAGAUGCUCAGAAAAUAGAGCUUGAAGGGCAACGAUUAAAGGAUCUCAAGGAAAAGAAUUACUUGUUCCAAGCUAUUAAUCACUCAAUCUUAGAAACAAUUCUUAACAAAGUACCAAGGGACAGCAAGGGCGAAGCGGGUACACCUUCAGACACUUCAAGCUGAAUUUGAAUCUUUAUGAAUGAAGAUAGGAGAGUCAGUCUCAGCAUAUUUUGCAAGGACAAUGGCAAUCGCAAAUAAGAGAUGAAUUUAUGGCGAACAACUCGAAGAUGUUAUCAUAAUUGAGAAGAUUCUUCGAUCUUUGACGGAAAAAUUUAACUAUAUUGUUUGUGCAAUUGAGGAAUCAAGGGAUAUUGACACACUUUUGAUUGAUGAAUUGGAAAGCACUUUGCUAGUCCAUGAGCAGAAAGUAAUCCGGUAGGAUAAGGAAGAACAUGCAUUACAGGCAGCAGAAAAUCCCAAACCAACUGCAAGCACGGGCAGAACAUAUUAGAAGAAAAUGUUGAUGAUUCUCAAGGAAAAGGAAAGGAUUGUGAUAGUCAGGAUUCGACAGGACAUAAACCAAAGUCUAAAGACAAAUUGAAUGUUAAAUGCUUCCGUUGUCAGAAGUAUGGUCAUUACCGCUCCGAGUGCCGUACUAAUUUAAAUAAGAAUCGUGGUCAGAAAUCUAACUUUGCAGAAAAGGAGGAAGAAGAAAUUUUCCUUCUUAUGACAUGUCAUACAAAGGAGAAAAGACACCAAAAUCUAUGGUACUUAGAUACCGGUUGCAGCAAUCAUAUGUGUGGGGAUAAAUAUGCUUUUUCUGACUUGGAUGAGACUUUUCAAAAUACUGUAAAAUUUAGUGGUCAUCUCCACCGUUUCUGUCAUGGGGAAAUGAAAUGUUGCAAUCCAAACCAAAUGUAAUUGUUGAGCAAAUGUAAUUGUUGAGAUUAUUGAGCAUGGCUUUAGAUUCAAUUUGAGCAAAUGUAAUUGUUCCUUUUAAGGUGAUGUAAUUGGUGUAGGGAGAGGAUUUAAUUCGAAUGAUUUAUGGUUCUAGAAAAAAACGAAUUUUCUUUAUGUUAACUUGAAACAAUAUGUGUGUAAAUUUUUACGAUGUUAGCAAUAUUUAAUAACAGAAUAGUUGAAAUAUUUUUAAAUUGCAUUGUAGUUUUUAAAAAUAUAAAAUGGAUAUACGAUUUUUUUUAUUGCAAUCUUACUACAAAAAUAAGGGUUUUUGGUAAUUGAAAAAAAAAACAAAUUAAUUAUUUUAAAAUAAAUAAUAAUAUUGACCCAAAUUUUUGACAUAAAUUAAGUUCAAAAAAUUUAUUUAGCAUAAAAUGUCACAAGCUAUUGAUUAGUAUCUAUCAUUGAUUUGUGAUCGAAUUAUGUUGUUAUGUAAGCAUAAAAUUUAUUUGCCAUGUCUGCAAAAUAUGAUAACAUGUCAUCUACCAUGUCUAAUGCCAUGUUUUCAAAAUGAGAUGUCAUGUCAUUUGCUACAUCAGAUUCCAUGUAAAUAGAGAAUUGUAACACAAUUCCUUGACUGAAAUAUUUUGUCACUAAUUAUUGAAUUUUCUGUCACUAUAUUAUUACAAGGGCUUUUUUGACAGAAUAAAAUUAUGCCAGUAGCAUGAUUUGUGACAAUUAUUCUGUCAAAAAAUCCCAAUUUUUUAGUUGUGUAUGAGAAAGGAAUUAGUUGAUGGUUAAAGCCUGUGCAAUGAGAUAUCUCACUAGUUCAGAUUCAAUAUUGACGAGAGUUGUGUUGAUUAUUUUAAAGAUCUUGUAUUGUGUAUUUAUUUAUUAUAUUAUAUGGGUAUGAGUUAAUUACAAUAUGUAUCAUGAAAACGAUAUUUACUCAUAAAGGGUCCUCGGCCAUAGUUCUUUCAUCUUUGUUUAUGUGGCAUUAUAGACAUUCGAAAAUCCAUUUAUGGUAUUCAUGAAUAAAGAAAAUGCUUCUAAUUUGAUCCAAUUAAUAAAAAGAGCGUACUUUUCAUAUUCGUGGACUAGGGAGACAUUUGAUUCAAUUCGUCGAUUUAUAGAAAUCUAUGGUCUAACUCAACUCAAAAACUAGUUCGAAAAUUAAAAUUUAUUACCCCAUUAGUCCCCACGUAAUUUUUAAAUACCUCUCUUGAGGUUUGAGGUAUUCAUUUAGAUGACGGGUUUACUUGUAUUCUCACAAGGUUUGAGGUAUUCAUUUAGAUGACGGGUUUACUUGUAUUCUCACAUACUUCCCUCUCUACUGUCUAUAUAAAUGCAUGUACGGUAUUAGUAUAUAAGGGUGAAUUCAGUAAGAGUGUUGGCUUGUGUGGGGAUCUCGUAAUCAAGCUUUUUUUCCCAAAGGAGAGAAUUUGACUGUGUUGCCAGCUUUCCCAAUAUACAAAAGGUGAGCACAGUUAAAAUUAGGUUGCGGAUUACGGCAGUAACUACUUAGAGAAACUUUUCCGUUUUAGUUGCUAAUUAGUCACUUAAAUUUAAAAAAAUUAGGGUCUCGUUAAUCGAUAACGAUAACAAACACCGGACCUAACUUAGGAGGCCACUCAACUUUUGAGGGAGUGGUUAAAACAGCUGCUCCAUGUUUAAAAGUAUGCCCUUGACGCCUAUAUUCUUUGAAAAGCUCAUUCUAGGAAUUGCCAUUUUUUUUUUUGAAAAGCUUAUUCCAAUUAUUAGUUGAACAAUUAAUAGUCAUUAAUACACACGCACGCAUACUUAUGGUACGGUUAGAUAAAACCUGUUAUAAAUUAAUUAAUUCCAACAUGUUUCUUUUACUAGCUAGUUGGUUUUUUAAACAUAUGUAUGAAUUAUCUAACGCUAAGUAACACGUAAUCCAGGUAAAACAAGAUUGAAUUAAACAGAAGACUUAUGAAGCUUGAGAGUCACAAAGCAGGCUUUUUCUCUAUUAUAAUACUGCACAGCAUGCAUGCAAAUUCAAUUUAACUUCUCAGAUCUCCUAAAGCUAUAUGAUUGGACCUUUAUUAAUAACCGAAGAAGGAAGCUUAAGAGCCCAUAGAUGUAUUAAGUACUUCUCCCCCAAUGCUUAUUUUAGUGGGAACAAAACAACUUCAGAUUCCCAAUAAGCCACCAGAGGAACAAAAUCCACAAGCCAAUAUUCCGAAAGAUUUUUGCUUUUCAUGAAUUAAUACUAUUAAUUUAAUGGGUCUGCCAUUACUCCCUUAUCUAUGUCUUAAUUAUAAUUAUAUGACUAGAACUUGAACAAAGAUUGACUUGUGGAUGUGUUGUCCGGCCGAAUCCACUUGUUGGGCAGUGAGGGUAAUUGCUUCCGGUGGAAAAAGAAAAAAAAGAGCUUAAAUUUAAUGUUAAUUUUGGGAUAAUUAUUUUCAGGAGUAAUUUUUUAAAGAGAUGAAUCAAUUUUAUAAAUUAUCUUUUUGCAGUGGGGACAAGUUAAUAUUUUCCAUUUUAUUUUAAAUCAGAGUCAUCACCUAGAAAAAUUAUUCUGCAGGGGAUAAAAAAAUAAGAACAAGGUUGCAAGAGAAAAAAAAGACUCCAUUUUAUUUUAGGAGUGAGAGAACUGAAAAAAAAGGAGCAAUGAUAUAGGCACAAACUCUUGUACAAAUUUAUUUUGUACAAACUGACGUGGCAUUAAUUCAUUAAUUGAAUGAAAAUAUAAAUUAAUAAAAAUAAAUCAUGUAGGUCAACUGAUAUUUAAUUUAAUUAAUUUUAUCACGCCAUAUCAAUUUAUAUAAAAUAAAUUUGUACAAGAAUUUAUAAGAAUUUGUGGUUGUAUUAUUAUAAAAAAAAAACAAAACAACAGAGUAAGUGGGUCCUUAUUACGACAUUGACGACACGAACUUGGGAUCGCUGUAAGUUACGUUUUAGCGUAACAGAGUAAGCGGUUGAAGUCCGUCUCAAAAAAUAGUCAACGAAAGAGAAUCUCUUCUACAGCCGGUCGUGACAAACAUAACGGCGUCGUUUACACCAUCAAAUUACGAGAGGAAUUCCAUCUCUUCCAACACAAGUACACAACCCCACCCCCCCCCCCCCCCCCCCAAAAAAAAUUCAGACCUCCACCACCGAAUUCCAGCCAAAAGCAUCAGUUAGCCGUUAAAGGAACCACACUUUAAACUCAAUUCAUCACAAAACUUCACGAAAAUUACAGUCGCAAUUAGCAACGCUAAUAAUGGCGGAUUUUGGAAACUUCCCGGACACAGACGAGGAGUCAGCAGUCGGGCAAACCCUAAGUUAAAUUUAUAUUUUCUAAUUCGAUGUUGCCUUUCGCCCCUCAUUUCCUUCGUAAACAGUUUUUCUCGCUUCCCUCCAACCAAACAGGCCUUUUGAGUUAGGGUUCAGGGUUUUUUUCCCCCUUUUCGUAAACUAUAUUCGUUUAUUUUGGUGUUAACCGAAAUGAGAAACUUACAGUUAUCGUUCAAUCAAACGCAAAAUGUGAGACUUGAAAAAGCUCUCGAAAAGCUUGAGUCUUUAUCCUCAAAUUCAAACCCUAACUCCAGUGUCACCGUCGGCGACACCAUCCCUGUUUACGAAGAUGGCGUCCUCAAGUAAUCACGCAUUCGGACUGAAUCUAUUUAUUUUCGCUUUAUUAUUUUUAUUUUUCUAAAUUAUGGAUUUAAUGAAAUACUGGGGACACGGAACCUCGGACUGUAAGGGCGAGCUUGUUGCUGCGACUGCUAUGGUGUUGUCGAACGCAUCAACAAGUUGAUCUACGUACGCGCUUUACGCUCCAGGUAAUUGGAAUUUGCUAGGCUUUAGUCUCUGUUUUAAAUCUUAUGCAUUUGUGUUGUUUGGUUCGGAAAAAUCGUUGCUUUUGUUUUAGUUCUAUUGUUUGUUCAUAGAUACAAGCCGGAGACGGGAGAUAUUGUCAUAGGACGUGUCAUAGCGGUAAAUUCAAAUUACUUAAUUAACUUCAUUAUUUGGAAGUUGAUUCAUAUCACAUUCUUGUACUGUAUUGUAUCUUCUACUUCUUCAAUUUUAAUAUCUAGAACCUUAAAAAUGUUCAUUGUUCAGGUUGCUCCAAAGAGAUGGAAAUUGGAAGUAAACUUCACCCAAGAUGCUAUUUUGAUGCUUUCUUCAAUGAACUUUCUGAUGGAUUUAAGGUAUCAUACUUUUUCUUGAAGGUUGGUCUAGUUACCCUAUUGGGUGACAUAUGCUAUAACUGGGAGGUAUCAAAAAAAUAAUUUUGUUCGUAAAUAGGGCACCAUAUGAGGCAUGGGGCUUGUCUUAUAUUUUUAUGUUUAAGAUCUGCCUAAAUGUGGAUAGUUUGGUAUUGAAUUUUCUCUUUUGCUUGCUAGAAGCGGCGAACGGCUGUGGAUGAACUCAAUAUGCGCAGUGUUUUUACAGAAAAUGACUUAGUCUGCGUAAGUGAAUUGCUAUGUAUUCUUAAUUUCUUUUAUGGUGAUUGUGCCAUCUGAGGGAGAAAACAAGUUACUUAUUUGAUGUUACCAAAAUCUGUUCUCUUUUACAGGCUGAAGUUGGUAGUUCAUAGGGUGAUGACAGUUUACAAUUUCAAGCAAGAAAUCAGAAGUAUGGCAAGGUGUGUCAUGUUUGAAAAGUUUUCAGGUGCAUCUUCUGCACUUUUUUAUCUUUACACUCACUCUUUUAUAAGGAAGAACAAUGUAGAUGUGAAGGAAUGGCCAAUACCAUCAGUACAAGAAAAAUAAUAAUAAUAAUAUUAGUAGGUAAAUUUAAUGUCCAACUAUCAAUUUCCCUUUUCCUUUUUGGCUUAGAAUUAAGCUGCCAAUUUGACUAACCUUGAGGAAUGGCAAGUUGUACUUUAAAAUUAUGCCUUGGCAUGGGCAAAUCAAUAUUUGCUUGCAGCUAACUAACUGUUGAGGAUGGGAACUUAAGAAUUCCAAAGAAGACUAGGAGUAACUUAGUGUAUUGAUAAUAACAAUGUUUAUGAUUCAUUUCUUCAUGUAGGAAACAGAAAAUUUUCAUUGUUAAAUUGUUUCUCUUUUUUACUUUAAGACCUAGCAUCAUUGCCAUCAACAUUAUUUCAUUAGCAUCAGUUUUUCAUCCUAUUCGUACCUGUAAUGUAUUGAUAUGGACAUGUACCAAUACGCCUUCAGCUCGAGAGGGGUCAACUGCUCAGAGUCGAUCCUUAUCUAGUCAAGAGACGGAAACAACAUUUUCACCACCUAGAACAGUAUGGAAUUGACUUGAUAAUUGGAUGUAAUGGAUACAUCUGGAUUGGUGAGCAUGUUGAAGCCAGAGACAAGACGGCGGUGGAUCAAGGAAGCGAUUCUGAACAACCAAUCACCAAAUAUGAUAAAAUUUCCAUGGAUCUUGAUGAACAAGAUGGAACUUGCACUCCACGAGAAGCGAGACAGAACGUUUGCAGAAUUGCAAUUUUUUUAUUUGGGAUUAGGUCUUUGGUGGUUUGGCAUUGUUUGCUUUUCCAUGUUGUACAUGUUUCUGGGAUUUGCUUCAUUCGUUCGCAGGGAGCACGGUUUAUUUCUUGUUAUCUCCAUAGGCGUGAAUGCUUAUAUUACAUGUUAUUGUUAAGAUGCAUGUACUACUUCAGUUCUGGUAACUUAUGUCCAUCAGGAUUAGGCAGUGCAUGUUUGUGUCAUCAUUCAAAGUAUCACUGCUAUUCGUUUAUAAUUCUGUUCAAUGUUGUAGCCCUUAACUCAUGUUUGUUCCUUCCUUCUGGCGAUUGAUCCUUGAAGUCUCUUUGUUGGUUCAAUUUUAGUGGUUAUGUUUGCACAGAAGAAUGUGGUCUGCAUAUUCAGUAUCAUUAAUUUGCAGUAAUGAUCAUUGUGUCCCUCUUCCUCUUAAAGCUUUUGGAAAUUCACAAUAAGCCCCGUGAGUCUGGGUCUUUCUAUAUGCAUGUGCCUCUAUUCGGGUGCAUGCUUGUCUGUGGUGUGUGAGCAUGCUUGUGAUACAAUUAUCUAAUGUCUACUAUUUCAUUGAUUGUGGAGAGGACUAGGGUGUAUGCACAUGGGUUAAUUGGCAGAAUGGUAUGUCUGACAUUGUUAUAUCCAUUCCUUCUCGAUAACAGUUGCAAAAUUUUUGUUACAAAGUUCACGGCCUUGCUAAAUCUUUCCCUACAAACGUGUACAGGUGGUCACUCACUCAAUCAUUUCCGUUAGUUACUGAUAUGGAUUCUCAACGAAGAUCAGACGCUGGUGUCACUAUCAAAUUCAAUAACACAUAGAUCCAUAAAUUAUGUUCUUGACAACAUAAUGAGUAAUUUCUGCUUCUUCAAUGCUUGUAAUGAUGAAGUUGGUGGAGCUAGUCUUUUCUUUUCAAAUGUACUAGUUCUGCUUUCCGAUUUUUCAUCUUCAUCAUUCUCACCAUGUCCAUCUCUAGUAGAGGGGGUGGACGACUCAGCAUUUUUGGCAGCAUUUCUUUUUCCAACAUUCAACCUGAUCUGCAACUUUCUUUCAGCAGGGUCGUUUGAGGCUCCAAUUUUUUAUUGGCAUGAAACUUUUGCGCCAAGUCCAAGCCUACAACAACAUGAGGAAUGUUAUUACCAGCAUCCUAUGAUGAACAAAAAAAUAAAAAAUCUAUGGUCGGGUUAGGAUGAAUACACUGACCUAGACGGCCUGGCCUCUUAUGCACAUACAUAGGCAACUGACACACAUACGUAGGCAUACAAAACUCAAUGCAUAUACAUAAAAACUGCACCAACAUCAGAUAAAUUAGACUCAAAUAACUUAAAUUAAAUUACAGUCAGUAAAAAAACAAAAUAAGUAUUACAUCCAUUAUCCAGAAAAUGAAAUGAUAAUCCUAGUGUUUUCUAAAGAAUUUUCAUGUCAUCUAUCCACUUGCUGUUUAUUACUAUUAAAAAAUUUACCAUGAACCUUCUAAUAUGAAAAUGACUCCAAAGACCAAAACACCAGAUUUUUAUACUCAAGAAUUAACCAUGCACCUAAUAAUACUUAUGGAUGCCACUGUUGCAAAAAAUAAUCCAUCAUCUUACUAUUUAAAGAUCAAACAUAUUAGAAAAAGGAAAAAUAAAACAAAACAAACAAAAACAGUUUGCCAAGUACACUGAGCAAGUAGAUAUUCCAACUUCACCAGACAUCCUAUUGUGCCCUUUUGCACUUGUUUUGGAGCUAUUAAUGUGAGGUAGUCAUGACGAAACAAUUACAACACUGACUUGGCAAAUUAUUAUAAUGAAAAUCAAUCGAUGUGAUCAAUCAAAAAAGAAAUUAAAUCUUACCCAGAUACAUCUCUAUGAAAGCGAUCUGCGACCCAUGCCAGCAGCUUGAGGAUGCAGUCAAUAGAUCCUCCUCUAGCUGCCAAGUGAAGAGGAGUGCUUCUUCUGCAAACAAACAGAAAAAGAAAUAAAUAUAGAAUAAAAAUGAAAAAGAGAAACGGACAUCAACAGGUGAAGAAUUACCAGAAUGAAUGUGAUCCCAAAGCUUCUCAAAGAUCUUGUGCCUUCUAUACGGUGAGAUUAUGGCCACAACGCCAGGAUUUGCACUUUCGGCUUAGGGUUGUUGUGUGUUGAUUGAAAGUUGUGACGGCAUAGUCAUCCAUAUACAACCAUGUCAAAAGCUAGCCCUGCCCAACUAAGUCCAAAUGGAUGACAAAAAGUGAACAUUAUCCCACAGACAAGAAACUUGGUCUUCCCUCUUAUAUUCAAAAAUGCAAUCUUGCCAAAUAACCCAAAAAGGAGCUAGAACAUCACACUGCCCGAGAACCUUAGGUUCUAUCCUUGCCCUAAAGCAAAAAAUAUUUUCCAUUAGCAAAUAGCUACAAGAAUUUGGAGCAUCCCAAAAUCAAUAACAUAAUUGAGAAUCAAUGCAUGUAUCCGCAAGCAUUUAUUUAGUAGACAACUGAUUCCCAAAACAAUUUUAAAUUUCUGACAGAAUUACUUCAUUGCCUAAAUUCUACCAAGCUUUUCAGUUAAUACGCUCAAAAUACAAUCCACGGGUGCAUUUAAAUAAAUUGGGUUAUUUAACGCCUACAAUCUUUGGAACCUCAUCGAAUUGCUACCAAAAGUAAUCCACACCAAACAAUCAACACGUGAAAUACAGGACCUUUUGACAGAGAAAAUACGGCUGACGAAGAAAUUGGAAACCCAUAGAGGCACUAUACUUCUCCUAAUACUAAUAAUGGAACAAAAUGACAUCAUAAAACACUCAAUAUGCCAUUAGAGGAAUAAAUCCAUACCAAUGACGAGCUAAAUAUGACAUUUUUCUAGAAUUAAUAAUUCUUGAAACAAAAAGCACAGUAAUUAUCUGCAUUUUAAAUAAUCCUAAAACCAGGAUAAUGACUUAUUUAUGUCAUGAAAAGAACCUACAAACGCUUAUUUUUUAAUCUUUUUUAUUUCCAAGCAAAAACAACAUUCUUCUAUUCUUUUGUCAACAACAAAACAGGUUAUGUUACAAUAAUUAUUUUCAACAUAGAACUUGAACCCUGGGAGAGAUAGAAGGAAAAGACAUAGAUGUCUGACUGAGAGAGAGUUAAGACAGUGUGAGAGGUAAAAGAACAACACGGCUUAGAAGUUAGAAUCAUCAUCCACUUAUCUCACUUAAUCGUUGGUGUAAAAGUCCUCAUAGAAGAAAGAAAUAUUAUUUUGAAGGGUAAAAUGUAAACAAAUUAAAAUUUUAGAUAAAAUUGUGACACGUUUAUAUUAAGCGUGUAUAUUAAGAUUUAAGAGAGAGUCACCAUUAUACCGCACAGGUCAGCUCCCAGUUGAACUUGCGAGUUUGGGUUUGAGUUCCAGUCCCACAGUUAGUGAAAGUAGGUAUUAGGUAAUCAUCUUUACCAGCUGAAAUAUCAAAACCUGUCUGUAUAAGCCUGCACAUUACAAUUUAAUCAUCAGCAAAGGAGGUGGCUGCAGCGAGAAACAAGACAUUAUGUAGUAAUUACAAAACAUUGAAAAUCAUCAUAUUUUAUCAGUCACAAAACCUAAGAUAGUCUCCCCAUAGCAACUAUAAAUAUUGGGGGGCAAAAAAAAGGACCACAAAGUAGAACACUCCCCUCUUUUUCCUCCAAACAUAUACAAAAUUUCAGUUCACUCCUAAGCUGAGAACCAUUCUACUUUCAAGAUUCAACCAAUGAAAUAACCAUAAUAUUCUUAUUAAAAAAAAUGAAAUAACCAUAGUACAAAAUAAUUAUCCUCUAAUUCAAAUAUUGCUUCAGAAUUUACAAUUUAUGCUAGAAUCAAUUGGUGAAACCUAGGGAAUCGGAAUGAUACAUUUAUUUAACCCAAAAGGUGAAUAUCAAGCUUAAGGUUCUUACAUAUUGAGACGAUCAAAUUUCAUUCAUUCUGAACAUGAGAUGCAACUUGAACUAUUUCAAGUUAUUCCAAAAGAAAGCAUUGAAAGAAAUUUGUUCAUCCUACGUGGUAUAAGUAGUCUCAGUUAGUAUUCUGCAUCAUCAGUUAAAUCAUUUGGAUUAUUAACAAUGAUCUUUUUUAUUAGCUGAAUUGAUAACUCUCUAAGCCACCACUGUAAAGCUAGCAUUUGGAUUAUAACUGAUAGAGAAGAAUAAAAUGAAAAAAAAACAGAGCUAAAUAGGUUGAUAUAAUGAAACUUGUCGUCAAAUGUCAGAUCCGACUUCUUCAAACGAACUAAAGUCCAGCAAUGAAAAUUUCACAUACAAGCAACUAGAAUACCUGCAAGAUAGCUUAAAUUAAAAGUUUUCUGACUCCUUCAGCAGAGAUGCCAACAAUUUCCAAAACCUUUUGUUGGACCUCACGUUUAUAAAUUCUCAAACCUUCCUCCACCAAUCUGACAACAUCAUGGAAAACAAGCAACACCACAUUUAAUUGUCUUUAAUUUAUAAAAAGCUUCAAGCACUACAGAUGCCAGGAUAUAAUGAGAAACCAAUCAUAGAACAUGUCAUGAGCAAGGGCACAAAGAGAGGAAAUAUCUCCAUUGCUUCAGUGUGAUGACAAUCAUCAUGAAACAAUAUCAACAUAUAUGAUUUAGGGAUACAUGAAAUAUAACAACCUUCGAAAUGAAAUUAAUAUACAGUGAUAGAACAAUAUAAAACAAAUAACUACAUAAAGAAAGAGCUUACACUGUUGUUUGUGUUUGUGUGUGUGUGCUUUUUUGUGUUGGGGGGGGGGGGGGGGGAGAGCUGAAGUUAAAAGCUGAACUCUGGUUACCGUUCUUCCAUUUGUAUGUAAAGUCGCUCAAAUUCCUUAGUCAUGGCAUAAUAGAUUCUCUAAUAUAUAUAAUGAAUAAUUCUUUUAAAAGAAGCCCCUGAACUUAGAAUUACUUCCACUUCUUCCAAUUCUUAGUUAUAACAAGGCAUGAAUGAGUUUUGCUAUUUUUAGUGAGAUAUAGAAAGGUAUGUACCCUCUUUUUAUCUUGCAACUUCAAAACCUGGUAAGCCUCUCUCAAAACCUGAAUUUAGACGAAUGGACUCCAAAUGAAAGGAUUUUCUUACAAAAGCUAAAAGAUUGAAUGGCAUGGUGAAAAUGGGAAAAUGAAAAUAUAAAGCAGAAGAAAAAGUUUCAAUCUGAUAAGACAAAUACAGAAAAGCCAAGUUCUUAUUUGCCAUUCCAAUAUUAUUAAUGCAGAAUUACUCUAAUUUAUUUUUCAGUUAAGGUUAGUAACAAUUUAUCUGAAAAUAACUGAACCAACUCGGUUACUACGACAUUACUCUUUCUCUUCUACUUCUGGUUCAUCAAUAGCCACGUUCACCAACACGAGUCCACUCUUCCCCCCUUGACUUAUUUCCCCAACCUUUAGGUCUCUCAAAGUGCAGCAGCAAGAAAUGAUCUUUGCAUCAGUAUAAGCAGUGUGAAGCCCUCCUAAGAAAUCGACCACCUGUUUGGCUAGAAAAACUCCAUUACUCAUUGCCACACCUUAUACUUUCACCCCUUUCAUUAAAACACAAGCAUUACUUACCCAUUUUUAGACAUAAUUUAUUUUUCUGAUAUCACAUCAUUCAGGGAGGGGGAAAAAAAAAAAAAACACACACACACACACACACAAUUAACUGACUUCAGCACAUAAAUUACAACAAGCUGUCAAUUCACAAAAAUAAGGAAAAUUAACUCAAUCAAGUGAAGUAGGCCACAAAAUGACCUCAAUAAAAUAUCAGGGACCACUAAAAUCGAACCAAAUUCAGUUAAACAAAGAAUCACUCAUCAAAGAUAGGCAAAAGGAAAAAAGAAAUGAAUAACAGAGAAAAUUGCUUAUAAAAAUUCAAUAAAAAAAUAAAAAAAGCUAAUCAUCUAUUUUUGAUUUAGUGAUUUCGUCCGCAUAUAAGACAAAAUAGAAAUUCUGAAAUAUACCUAGGGUUUCUAGCUUUGGAAAUUUACCUUACGAGAAACCAGGCUCUCUGUUGCUAGCGUUCUAACUUUACCACUAUGGCCAAGCGACGCCGAUCAGCUGGGAUGAUCGGAUUUCGCAGCGGCGACGAUGCAAAUGUUUUAUGUUUGGGUUUGACGGUAGACGAAGGAACGUUUAGUGUCUUGGGGGUAAUUUUGGGAUUCUAUUUUUUAUUUUUUUAAUUGAAGUAAAAUGACCACAAGGACCUUGCUAUGUUACAGCUUCUGCAAGUAACAUAGCCAAUGAGAAUCCUCCACUCGUGUUGGUGCUGAUGCAACCAGGGCAAGGCAACUGUUCAGAGAAUCCUCCACUCGUGUUGGUGCUGAUGCAACCAGGGCAAGGCAGCUGUUCAUGCAAAGUGAAAAUGCCGAGGCCGUUAGUUGCAGCUUCUGCAACGUAGCCUUGUCCCAAUAAUUUUAAGUAUCCCCAAGUUGUAACACAUUUAAUGUUCAGAGUAGUUAAACAAUUAAUUUUUCUUUUGCAUAAAAACAGAAUAUAAAUUUGGACACAGAAUUUUAUUAAUAAUAUAACGCUGUUCAAUUGGGCCACAUAAUACAAAGACAAUAAACAAUAAAAAAAAAAAUUUAAAAAGAAGUAAAAAUCUAGUCUGCUUUGCGCUUAUUUCCUUCGAGCAAAAGCACUUUCAGACCUUCAAAACUUCUAACUAAUUAGAAAAUGGAAAGAUGACAACAUAUUUACGAGGACCCUACAGUGGCACCAGAAAUAUAUACAUACAUAUAUAUAUAUAUAUAUAUAUAGACACACACACAGACAUCAAAUGGCCACAACUUCCAGGUUACUCUCAUGAUCGUCAGUUGAACUUGGCUGCAGGUUUUGGAUGUGGUUCGUUUCUGCUUCAAUAAUGUUCUCUUCGUCAACGUUUUCCGCAAUUUCUUGAUUCCGGUCCACACGAGUGAUCAUGAUACGUCGAAUCCAGUUGAAGCAGCGCUUAAACAGGGAAGCUAACGUUGCAUAACAGAGUGAUAAGAUUAUGAGGCAAAAAUAGGGCACCAGGAAGAGAAAUGGAGCCAAAAUGACAGACGCAACCACCGAGAUAGCCAACAGGACAGAGGGUUCUCCACAACUCACGGAAAUGGAGCGGCUCACACUGACAGUGAGUCUGAUAGGUGUGAGGAGGAAGAGCAGUAAUGGCAUGAUGACGGCAGGAAUCAAGAGCCAGAAUUCUAGCUUGAAAAUUGGAUUCAAAAGUAUCUUACUGGUACCAUCCUGGACGUCCCAUGAGUUGCCAUCCUGAUACCUGAGGAACAGGAAAAAGAUGAUAAGGUUUAGCAAAGGCGGAAACAAAUACCUCAAAUCAAUUAACAGAUCCAUGCUUAUGAGGAAGAUCAAUUUGGCAAUGGCAGGGGCUUGAAUUUUGAUUUUAUUUAUUUUCUUUUUUUUUUUUUUUCCUUUCUUUCUCUCUGCUGCUAAAGAUGCCGAGAGCUUGUGUGUGCAAAGGGUAACUGGAGGAUUUAUAGCUCCGGGGAUGUCUACGAAAGUACCCGGAAGGGUUACUAGCUCGAAAUGCUGUGUGUGUACAAAGGCUUGUCUUUUUCUUCAGAUAAAAACAAAAUAGUGCCAUGGUGGACAUGCAAGAUGACAUCACAUCUUGUUUUUCAAAUAAAAAACAAGAUUGCGCCAAGAAUCGUGUUAAGGAUUGUUGCUAGUUAUAAAUAAUCUUGUUAUGUUGUGUCACUAAAAUUAAUAAUUAAAUGGACACAAGUAAUUAGGUGUUUGAUAAAUCAUCUUAAAAAUAAGUGUGUAUCGAUGAUGGCAUUAUAAACUCAUUCUAACCCAGUUUAAGUUAAAAUAAUUUUUCAUUAAACAUUAUUUUUUUAGACUACUAUGACUUUUUUUAUUUCAGCUAAGUAUAUGAAUUUUUGUUAGGGACUAAUACUUUAUUAAGAUUAUAAAGAAUCGUGUUAAGGACCACUAUGACUAUUGAUUAUUUUAUUAAGACUUGUAUGAGAUUUUUCAAAGAUCACUAGGCUCAUAGCUUUCCAUUAGGUGUGAAUGUGAUUGACAAAUUUAUUAUUAAAGUGUUUUCUUGUAUGACAACCAAAAAGAUAUAAGGUCAAAUUGUUUUAACUAGUGCCGACCGUCAACGUGCCAACGUCACGUGUUGGCCAAGUCCUAUUAUCCUGUCCAAAAUUUGGAGAAAUUUUUUAAUUUUAUAAAAUUUUUGGGCUUUCCCUCAUCGGCUAUUUCUUUUCUUCUUUUCUGAUAAAUCUUAUGUGCUAUUCAUUAAUUGCUUUUAUUUAUAUUUUUAAACACUAUUCAACACAAGUUACUUAACAACAAAGGCAUACGCAAAAUUAAAACUUAUUCAGGAUUUAUAGCUUUUGACAAAUCACAAUUUGUCUUUGAGUCUGUGAUGCCGAUGCGGGACUACCCCUGACGAGAUAUGGCUGGAUAUAAAUAUAAAAAUUGCAUUCAGUCUUCUAGUAGGUAGGCAACGAUAUUCUGGAAGGAAAUGUUAUGCGAAUUUUGUGAUCCAAUUUGCCCUGACUUUGGGUCCCUCACCAUUUCAAUUUCAACAAACUACCAACAUACAGAUUUUGUAACUUAAUUAGACCCAAUUAAUACACAUACAUACAUACAUAAAAAUGUAUGCUCAUAGUACAAAUAAAGGCCAUUGGACUUGUUACCAACAGCAAAUGGUGCAUUUCGAUGCCAUUCACGUGUGAAGCAACAUUAUUAUUGUGUCAGUGUUUUCACUUCUGUAGACGAGGGAAGGACAUCUAAGUUUCUUGAUGAUUGACCCGCAUAGCUUUGCUUCAAUUUGGCUAUUGACUACAUAUUAAUCACUUACCUGCUUGCUAAAUCAAGGACUCUAAAUCAUACCAAUCUUUUUCCAUGUAUCUAUUUGCGAAUCUUUGACCAUAGUUAGCGAUGUUAUUUACUUUUUAUCAUAAAUUUACAAAUGCAAAAACUUAAUGCAUUUUAUUUUUUAUUUUUUCCUAAAUGGAACGAUAAUGAAUUUCCAAACCAUGCUUCCAUGCAACUUAGGGAAUCAAGGAGACAAGGACUCGGAGUGGUUUGUUCUGCACUUCCACAAAAGAAGAAGCACUGGAUUUUGCUGACAAAAAACGUCCUUGUUUAUGAUAUCUUUUGGUCUAUCUCAAUUUGGUGUUCUCUCCCUUUUUUCUCUUAAAUGUUUCUAUUCAAGUGAUGCGAUAAAAAUGGCAAACGAGUCCAAGUGUUGAUUCUUUGAUCCAAUAUUGUCAAUCUGUCCGGUUCAAGGAAGCAUAAUUGAACAUAACACGAAAUCACUUAAACUCGAAUUGUUAUAUAUCAAAGGGUAGAUUAUCAGUUAAUAUAUUGUCAAUACUCCUCCUAGAAUAAUUUUUUCAUUAUUUUUAAAUGUACUUUUGCUCAUAUUUAUUAUAAAUUAAAAUAAACCAUAUAAUAGAAAUUAAAAUAAAAAAUUUCAAAAUUAAAAAUAAGAAAUAUAAGUUUCGGUGUGAAUAAAAAUUAAUAAUAAGAUAAUUUUUCUUAUAUUUUUUUUAUUAUUUUUUAAAUAUUUUUCUUAUAAUAUAUAUACAAACACAUACAUGCAUGCAUGCAUGCACACACACACAUAUAUAAGAUAAAUUACCAAACAAAUGACUGAUUUUCUUUUAAAUUUUUGGUGCCGUGGGAGUUUUCGAAUUGUAUGAAAGCAACUUGCGAUAAGUUAUAUAUAUUAAUUUUAAUAGGGCAUGGGAGAUUGACAAUCCUCCCAUAUCAAAUCUAUUUGCAGUUCUUUUUAAUUCUUAUAUUUAUAUGCAUGAUUUUCUUUUCUUUUAUUAACAAAUCUGCGUUAAGGAGGAAAUUUUUUUUCCCCUUACAACGAUACCCUUAAGAUGCCUGCUGCAUGCAUAUUUAGUUAGCUGUUAAUGAUUUACUGUUAAAAUUUAUUUUUUGUUUUUAUUUUUUAAAUUCACUCUAGGUUUUGCAGUGGCAGGAGCAUGGAAAAGUUUGUCGGUUAAGUGAUUCGAAAUUUUUUCUCCUAUUGAUAAAUAACUAAUUAAGUUUUCUCUUUCCUUUUUUUUAAAAAAUUUUUUAAUCCGACCGAUGACUAUUUAAUUGAGUUUCACCAGUUGAAAAGGACUUAUUGGAGUGUAAUAGAUUCAAAGAAAACUUCAAAGGAUAAGUCUAUUAUUGGCAGAUUGACGAUUGGGUUGGAAUAAUCAAAGUAGAAGGAUAAACCAAUUAUCCACGGGCACAAUUAAAAUUUCAAAUAGAUAUAUAUUUAAUUAUGUAAUUGCCUAAAACCUCCCAAGCGUCUUACUUAAUCUGCUCAAAAUAGAAUAUUCUACAGCCACUUUUUUGAUAAAUUGGGUUAUUUAACGCCUAAAAAUAAGCUUCAAUAGAAUUUUCUUACCUAACCACUUAACUCAUAGAUGUAUUAGGUAGGUACUUUCUCCUAAAGCUUAUUUUAAUUGAACAAAACAACUUCACAUCAAAUUUGCAAAGUCAAUAUUCCACAAAAUUUUUCCUUCUCAUGAAUUAAUAACUCUACCAAUAUAAAAAAACAUAUUUCACCUACACGUAUGGAAAAUUUUUUUUAUUGUGUCUGUUUGUGACCAUCAUUAUUAGGUUGAGUUGAGUAUACACGUAUGGAAAAUUUUUUCUAUUGUGUCCGUUUGUGACCAUUAUUAUUAGGUUGACCAUUAUUUUUUCUAUGGUUAUUUUUUUAAUCUUAAAUUUUAAAAAUAAAUGCAAAAUCGUAGUGUAUAAAGCCGAUUUUUUUUUCCCCAUAAUGAAUUUUCAACCAUGCUUCCUUACAACUUAGGGAAUUAAGGAGUUGGGAGUGGUGUGUUCCGCACUUCCACGUCCUUGUUUAUGAGAUCUUUUGGUCCAAUAUGUCAAUUUCAUAUUGUCUCCCUCUCUCUUUUUCUUUUUUUCUUUUUUUUUUUGUCUAUUUAAGGUUUCUAUUCAAGUAAUGCGGUGACAAUAGCAAACAAGUCCGAGUGUUGAUUGUUUGAUCCAAUAUUGUCAAUCUGUCCGGUUGGAAGCAUAAUCUACUCCUCGAAAAUAUAAUUUUACAUUUUUCAGAUAAUCACGAGAUUCCUCUCUCCAUAAAUCUUAUGUUAAUUUGCACACCACAUUACCUUUUCUCAUACCCAAUAUAAUGCACAAAUAAAUCAAUCUCUUUUGAUAUGAAUAUGCAUAGCGACGUUGUUAUGAUCAAGUUAAAAGUUCUAUGAUAAAGAAGAGUUCGCUCUAAUUUCACGUAAAAAAUUGAAUUCAUAAUAAAACUGUUCCAAAUUUUAAAUUAAUGACGAACUUGCUCCAAAAAUUUAGUUUGCUAUAGGGUGAACAUGAUUUUUCUUGCUCAUAAUAUGGCAGCACAAGAGCUAUUCAUCUAUUGCUAUACGUACUAUAAGUGGGCCAGCGGAGGUUCGGAGUGCACACACGUGGCGCACCAACGAGCGGCGUUGCAAAGCACUGAUAUCAUAUCACUCGUGGCCCAUCAGCUACACGAGGGAAUUGUAAGAGAGAUUGUAACAUCUUUCAAGUUUUUUUUUUUUUUUGGUUUGAUAUUCUGGACGAAAACGGUUUACCGUUUAUUGAGAAAACGGCUAACCGUUUAAGUCCAGAGAGCAUGUUUUCUGUUCUGGGUAAAACAGCGUACCGUUUAUGGAGAAAACAGCUAACCGUUUAACUCCAGAGAGCAUGUUUUAUGGUCUAGAGAAAACGGCUCACCGAUUAUUGAGAAAACGGUUAACCAUUUAUGUACAAAGAGCAACGUAUUUGACAUUCUGGAAUAAAACGGCUCACCGUUUAUUGAGAAAACGGUGAACCGUUUAUUUCCAGAAAGGCGUCAACUAGAAACGGUUGACAAGCUUGAAAAUUUCAAGUGUUGAUCGUUGCAAAUUCAAACCAAAAGAGUUUUUUGAAGAAGUACCAUUUCGAAUGGUUGCAUUCUUUUGAAUUAACAUCUUCUUCAUAAAGGAAACAUAUACAAUAAGAUUAAAAUCAGAUUUGUGCAGGUUUAAUAAAUGUUCUGGAAAUACAAUCUUAUUUGCUAAAGAUUGUAUUCAGGAUUUGAUAUAUCUUGGGGGUAAUUUGCCAUUAAAACUCUAUAGCAAACCAAGAUUGGUGAGGGCAAAUAAAACCUUAAAGGAAAGUGUGUAAACACGUCUCAAAUCCUAAGAAAUUUCAUUGUUCUUUGCCUCCAUAUUCUCAUAAUUCACCAACAAUCUUUAAGGUUUUAUUUUGUGCAAAUGGAGGUUGAGAAGAGUUUGACAUCAUUUCUGAAUCCUAGUGUCCAUCUCGAUCGUUUUGAUGGAACUAAUUUCACUCGUUGGAAGGGAAAAUUGUUCUUUCUCCUUACUGUUCUUAAAGUGGCAUAUGUUCUUGAUCCGAAAUUGGAACCAUUUCCAGAACCAAGAGAAGAUGAUACCGAAGUUGUUAAGGCUGCAAGGAAACGUCGUGAAGAUGAUGAAUUGAUAUGCCGGGGUCACAUACUCAAUACGCUUUCUGACAGAUUAUAUGAUCUCUACAAUUCUAUGACUUCUCCGGUGGAAAUUUGGAAUGCUCUUGAAUACAAAUACAAAACGGAGAAAGAAGGUACUGACAAAUUCCUUGUAUCUAAAUAUUUUGAAUUUAUUAUGGUAGACACAAAAUCCAUUCUUGAUCAAAUACAUGAGUUACAAAUUAUUGUUGCUAAGCUUCGAGAGUUAAAAGUUGAAAUUUCUGAAUCAUUUCAAGUUGGGGCUAUUAUUGCUAAAUUGCCUCAAAGUUGGAAUGAUUAUAGAAAGAAACUCCUUCAUAGUAAAGAGAACAUAACUUUAGAAGAAUUGCAAAAACACUUGGUAAUUGAAGAAGAGACUAGGUCUCGUGAAUCCAAGGAUAAGCAUGAUUCUACUAAAGUUAAUGUUGUUGAAGCUAGUAAAUUCUCAAAGAAUUUUAAAGUCAAGAAUGACAAGAAAUUCAAGAAGUCCAGCACACAAAAGUUUUCUGGAAAUUGUUUCUUUUGUGGUAAGAAAGGCCAUCGCCAAAGUGAUUGUAGAUUCAAGAAGAAAAAGGAAGAAGUGAAUUCCCAUAAAGCUAAUGUUAUUGAAAACAAAUCUGAAGAGAUUUGUGCUAUGGUUUCUGAAAUGCAAAUUGGCAUGAUUACCGAAACCAAUAUGGCUGAAACUAAGUCCUAUGAUUGGUGGCUUGAUUCGGGUGCAACAAUUCAUGUUUGUAAUGAUAAGAAAUUUUUCUUAUCAUACAAAGAAGAAACGGAAGGACAAAUGGUUCUCAUGGGGAACAAUAAUGCAGCCAUAGUAGCAGGGAAAGGAGUAGUUGAGAUCAACUUCACUUCUGGAAAGAAAGUCACAUUGUAUAAUGUCUUUCAUGUACCUUCCGUUAGGAAGAAUCUUAUUUCUGCUAGUUGUAUGUGUAAGCAUGGGCUUAAGAUUGUGCUUGAGGGUAAUACUUGUAUUGUGUCAAAGAAUGGAUUAUUUGUUGGGAAAAGGGUAUUCUUGUGAUGGAAUGUACAAACUCAGCAUUAAUAAUAAUAAUAUCAACUUAGCUUAUAUUGUUGAGUCUUGUGAUGUUUGGCAUGCUAGAUUAGCACAUUUGAACUUUAGAUCUUUGAAAUACAUGUCUAAGCAUGGUUUGAUUAAUUGCAAUGAUGUUAAAGGUCAUAAGUGUGAAAUCUGCAUCCAAGCUAAAAUAACUAAGAAACCUUUUCCUAAAGCUGAACGAAAUACUCAAAUAUUGGAUUUGAUACAUACUGAUAUUUGUGAGUAUAAUGGCAUUUUAACAAGAGGAGGUAAGAGAUACUUCAUCACUUUUAUUGAUGAUUGUUCUAGAUACACUUAUGUGUAUUUACUUAGAACAAAAAGUGAAGCUUUUGAUAAAUUUAAAAUUUUCAAAGCUGAAGUUGAGAACCAAAAAGAUAAGAAAAUCAAAAUGGUUCCUAGUGAUAGAGGUGGUGAAUAUUUCUCAAUUGAAUUUAAUAAAUAUUGUGAAGAAGUUGGAAUUAUUCACCAAAGAUCAGCUCCAUUUACUCCUCAACAAAAUGGUUUGGCUGAGAGGAAGAAUAGGAUCUUCACGGAUAUGAUAAAUUCCAUGAUCCUUAAUGCAAAACUACCAAAUAAUUUGUGGGGGGAAGCAUUACUCACUGCAUGUCAUAUUCAUAACAGAAUUACAUCUUUGAAAACACAUAUAUCUCCUUAUGAAAUUUGGAAAGGAAGAAAACCAAACUUGAUGUAUUUAAGGGUCUGGGGUUGUUUAGCUUUUUAUAAAAUACAUGACCCUAAGUCAUCAAAGUUGAGUGCUAGAGGUAUAAAAAGUGUUUUCGUAGGAUAUGCUGAAAAUUCCAAGGCUUAUAGGUUGUUAGAUUUAGAUUCUAAUGUGAUUGUGGAAUCUAGAGAUGUUGAAUUUAUUGAGAAUAAAUUUCAACAUGAUUCUAAUAUUGAAUCAGAAUCAAUUAUUGAUCAACCAUGUGUUAAUACUCUUGUUACCUCCACUAAUAAUAAUAAAAGGAAAGAGUCUACGACAUCUUUCGAACCAAGGAGGAGUCAACGUGAAAAGAAAGAUAAGAGUUUAGCUCCGGAUUUUAUUUCAUCACAAGCACUACUCUUCUUGGUUGAAGGGGAUAGAAAGAAUGUACUUAACAAAGUACCAUUGUUGUUAAAUAUUGAAAAAGAUCCAAAGACAUUUAGCGAGGCUAUGUCUUCUAGAGACGCUUCUUUUUGGAGAGAGGCAGUAAAUGAUGAAAUGGAUUCGAUUAUGUCGAAUCAAACAUGGGUCUUGGUUGAUCUUCCUCCAGGAUCUCAACCAAUUAGCAGCAAAUGGGUAUUUAGAAGAAAGUACAAUAAUGAUGGUUCUUUGCAAACUUUUAAGGCUAGAUUAGUAGCCAAAGGGUUUAAGCAAAGAAAUGGUAUUGACUAUUUCGAUACAUAUGCUCUGGUAGCUAGGUUAACUUCUAUAAGAGUGCUAUUUGCAAUUGCUUCAUUGAACAAUUUAUAUGUGCAUCAAAUGGAUGUUAAAACAGCUUUUCUUAAUGGUGAUCUUGAUGAAGAAAUCUAUAUGGAACAACCUGAGGGAUUUGUUUUGCCUGGAAAUGAGAAAAAGGUAUGCAAGUUAAUCAAAUCUCUUUAUGGCUUAAAGCAAGCACCAAAACAAUGGCACGAGAAGUUUGAUUCGGUAAUUUUAUCACAUGGUUUUAAGCAUAAUAAUGCUGAUAAAUGUGUAUAUUUUAAAUAUACGAAUGAUUUUGGUGUGAUUAUAUGCUUGUAUGUUGAUGACUUGCUUAUCUUUGGAACAAAUAUACAAGGAGUAGAUGAUACAAAGAAGUAUUUAACUUCACAAUUUAAGAUGAAAGAUCUUGGUGAAGUAGAUACUAUCUUAGGUAUCAAAGUGAAUAAACAUAGUGGGGGUUACUCGUUGUGUCAAUCUCAUUAUAUAGAGAAAGUGCUUCUUAAAUUCAAUUAUUUGAAAUUUAAAGAAGCUAAUACCCCAUAUGAUUCUAGUAUUAAAUUACUAGAGAAUUCAGGCCGAAUAGUAGCUCAACUAGAAUAUGCUAGUGCUAUUGGUAGCUUGAUGUAUGCUAUGCAUUGUACGAGGCCUGAUAUAGCAUUUGCAGUUUGCAAAAUGUCAAGAUUCACGAGUAACCCUAGUGUUGAACACUGGAAAGCAAUUGGUAGGAUACUUGGUUAUCUUAAAAGGACCGUUAAUUUGGGUUUGUUUUAUAAUGAUUAUCCUGAAGUACUGGAAGGAUAUUCAGAUGCUAGUUGGGUAACCAAUACAAGAGACAAUAAAUCCACUUAUGGUUGGAUUUCUACAAUCGCUGGAGGAGCGGUUUCUUGGGCUUCAAAGAAACAAACGUGCAUAACUCAUUCAACAAUGGAAAGUGAGUUUAUAGCACUUGCAGCUGCAGGCAAAGAAGCAGAAUGACUGAGAAAUUUGUUGUUUGAUAUAAUGUUGUGGCCACAACCGAUGCCAUCUAUUUCUUUGUACUGCGAUAGUGAAGCUACAUUGUCUAGAGCUUAUAAUAAAGUGUAUAAUGGAAAGUCUAGACAUAUUAGCUUAAGACAUGAAUAUGUGAAACAAUUAAUAGCAGAUGGUGUUAUUAAUAUUGUUUAUGUUAGGACUAAUAAAAACCUAGCAGAUCCUUUAACAAAAGGUCUUUCAAGAGACUUAGUUAAGGAUACAUCUUUUGGAAUGAGAUUGAAACCUUUACACAAUAAAGUCACCAACGACGGUAACCCAACUAUGUAGUAGUUAUACCGCUACUCCAUAGUUAAAUGGGUAAUAACAAGUUGUUGUUAUGUGACUGGAUUGGCACCGAGUAAUAAAUAAUCCCAUUCGAGAUAUUCGGUGCAAAUAGCUACGAGGUUGAGGUUGAGUAUUUAUUCUUAAUGAAGUUCAAGUCUUAUAGUAGCUAAAGACAUGAUUUGAAACUUCACCUAAGUGAACAUAAGAAAUGGUGCUGUUUCUAACAAGGUCCUGGUUUAAUCUUGUAAAUGUUCAUGAAUCCAAGAUAGAGCACAAGGCCGGAAUAGUGCUAACUAUUGGAACACAACUUUGAAAUCUGGGAUAACUUAUAUGUGAUGUAUCUCCGGUAUUUACUUAAGAGACAAAGUUUAAUGCUUAGCACACUAUUGUCUUGUAAAUGCUUUGAAAUACACUCACUAAUUAAAGGUUAAAAUCGAAAGAUACAUUUUUGUAUGUAUAAGUUUAUUAUUAAUAAAUCUGAAAAAUAUUACAAUCUAGUGGGGAUUGUAAGAGAGAUUGUAACAUCUUUCAAGUUUUUUUUUGGUUUGAUAUUCUGGACGAAAACGGUUUGCCGUUUAUUGAGAAAACGGCUAACCGUUUAAGUCCAGAGAGCAUGUUUUCUGUUCUGGGUAAAACAGCGUACCGUUUAUGGAGAAAACGGCUAACCGUUUAACUCCAGAGAGCAUGUUUUAUGGUCUAGAGAAAACGGCUCACCGGUUAUUGAGAAAACGGUUAACCGUUUAUGUACAAAGAGCAACGUAUUUGACAUUCUGGAAUAAAACGGCUCACCGUUUAUUGAGAAAACGGUGAACCGUUUAUUUCCAGAAAGGCGUCAACUAGAAACGGUUGACAAGCUUGAAAAUUUCAAGUGUUGAUCGUUGCAAAUUCAAACCAAAAGAGUUUUUUGAAGAAGUACCAUUUCGAAUGGUUGCAUUCUUUUGAAUUAACAUCUUCUUCAUAAAGGGAAAGAUAUACAAUUAGAAAUAUCAUCAGAUUUUGCAAGUUUCAUAUAUGUUCUGGAAAUACAAUCUUAUUUGCUAGAGAUUGUAUUCAGGAUUUGAUAUAUCUUGGGGGUAAUUUGCCAUUAAUACUCUAUAGCAAACCAAGAUUGGAGAGGGCAAAUAAAACCUUAAAGGAAAGUGUGCAAACACGUCUCAAAUCCUAAGAAAUUUUCUUUGUUCUUUGCCUCCAUAUUCUUAAUAUUCUCUAACAGGAAUAGUCCCAAAGCCGAAGGAGGUGGCUGAGAAAUGUAACAGCAACUAUAUUACAUUUUACAUGUUAUUAGGUUUAUCGGUUUCUUUAACUUUAAUACAGAUGGCCGGCUAGAGAGUGAGACCCACAUGACUAACUGAGGAUUAUUCCAAAUUAGAGUUAAUUAUAAUAAUACAGUCUUUAAUUCAACAAUGUUAAUUGUUAAUAGAUAAUGUUAGGUCUGAGUCACUUUGUUGAGUUUUUCAGGGAACUUUGAUAUGGAGAAAGAUGUGCAGUUGCUGGCCCUGAUUAAUUAAAUUAUAUACUACUAAAUAUUUCCUUCCCCCACCUCCAAAUUGCAUAUAUGAUAACCAAACUACUAAUUAAUAAUAAUUAUAAACGAAAACAUUGACAAUUUUAAAGGCUGUCAUUUUCUUCGAUCAAAUUACCUCAGCCGGAAAAAAAUUGAUUUGGAAAUUAAAAUAUAUAGUCAAUACUCCUCGAAAAAUAAUUUUACAGUAUUUCCAUUAUUUUUAAAUAUACUUUUGUUCAUAUUUAUUAUAAAUUAAAUAAAUCAUAUAAAUAGAAAUUAAAAUUAAAAAUUUGAGAAUUAAAAAAAAAUAAGUUUCGGUGUGAAUAAAAAAUAAUAAUAAGAUAACUCUUUCUUGUACUUUUUGUUAUUUUUUAAAUAUUUUUCUUAUAACACACACACACACACACACACACACACACACACACACACACAUAUAUAUAUAUAUAUAUAUAUAUAUAUAUAUAAUUUUCAAGAUAAAUUACCAAACAAAUGACUUAUUUUCUUCUAAAUUUUUGGUGCCGUGGGAGUUUUUGAAUUGUAUAAAACAACAAGUUAUAUGUGAUAUAUAUAUAUAUAUAUAUAUAUAUAUAUAUAUAUAUAUAUAUAUAUAUAUAGAUUUUAAUAGGGCAUGGGAAAUUGACAAUCCUCCCAUAUCAAAUCUAUUUGCAGUUCUUUUUAAUUCUUAUAUUUAUAUGCAUGAUUUUCUUUUCUUUUCUUUUAUUAGCAAAUCUGCGUUAAGGGAAGGAAUUUUUUUUUUUUUUUUCACUUACAACGAUACCCUUAAGAUGCCUGCUGCUUACAUAUUUAGUUAAGAGUAAGCGCAAGGCCUUAGGACAACCUUUUUAUCCUAUCAAUGUGACCGCAAUAAUCUCUCAGAACCCGUAAAUCAGUACGGAGAUAUAAGAGAUGUGAAGGAAUUAAGCAUCUUUAAAAAAGAAAAAAUAUUUAAUGCAUUAGUUCUUUUGGAUUUUCAGCAACUUGCAUUGCCCAAAUCAUUAUCUCAAUUUACCCCCCUCGUUAACAAUAUAAGCUUUCGCACACGAUCCAAAGUUAUUGAUGAUUGACCAGCAUACAUAUCUGUUUUCUUGAAAACUUUUUCUGAAUGAUGGAUUUGAUCCUACAACGCAUCAGUUCAUUACCCUUCCCCAUAAGCUACAUGGUUUUAUCAUUUGAUGAUGACAUUUUAAUAUGUAAUUUCUUUCUUCCAAGACAUUCCUUUGCGACUGAUACUACACAAUCCAUAAUUGCAUUCCCAUCAUACAAGGGUCAUCCACCCUUAAAAAGAGGAAGGGGGGAAAAAGUAUAUGAAACUUAUUAAAUGUUUAAUUAGUAGAAAAUCUUGGGGAAAAUACUUGAAAAAGCAUAAAUUGUGUAUGACAAGAAACAACCAUGCAUGUUUAAUCUUUUGCAAGCAUAGCUCAUAUAACAACUUUAAACAUUUUCCUUGCAAAAAUAUGAAUGAAUCUACAAACACCUGAAAAGUUCAACCAAUCAGCGCAGUUUACUGAUGUUAAAAGAGACAUUCAAUCAAUUUGCCGGACUUCCAAACUUCAAUUUAAUGCAAUCACAGUCAUCACCCUUCUAUCCUUACAAUAGGAUUAGAAUUUCUAUUUAUUGUAUAUUUAACUGCAGUUCUAGACUCUGUCUGCAAAAGUAAAACAGAUAAUUCUUGUUAAUUUCCCUGGAUGAUCAGUAUGCUCUCAAUCUCUAUGCUUAGUCAUAGAUAUACAACCAUGUCAAAAGCUAGCCCUUCCCAACUAAGUCCAAACGGAUGACAAAAAGUGAACCUUGUCCCACUGACAAGAAACUUGGUCUUCCCUCUUAUCUUCAAAAAUGCAAUCUUGCCGAGUAACCCAAAAAGGAGCUAGAGCCAGAGAACCUUAGCUUUCUAUCCUUGCCCGAAAGCAAAACCAUUUUUCAUUAGCAAAGAGCUACAAGAACUUGGAGCAUCCUAAAACCAAUAACAUAAUUGAGAAUCAAUGCAUGUAUCCGUAAGCAUAGUACCCAAACCAAUUUUAAAUUUCUGAUAGGCUUACUUAAUUGCCCAAAUUCUACCAAGCUUUUCAGUUAACCUGCUCAAAAUACAAUCCGCAGGUACAUUUAAAUAAAUUGGGUUAUUUAACGCCUAUAAUCUUUGAAACCUCAUCAAAUUGCUACCAGAAGUAAUCCAUACCAAACAAUCAACACAUGAAAUACAGGACCUUCAGACAGAAGAAAGAUGGCCGAAGAAGAAAUUAAAAACCCAUAGAAGCACUAAAUACUUCUCCUAUUACUAAUAAUGGAACAAAACAACAUCAAAAUACGCUCAAUAUACCACUAGAGGAAUAAAUCCACACCAAUGACAAGCUAAAUAUGACAUCUUUCUAGAAUUAAUAAUUCUGCAACCAAAAAAGCACAGUAAUUAUCUGCAUUUUAAAUAAUCCUAAAAACAGGACAAUGACUUAUUUAUGUCAUAUAAAGGACCUACAAACACUUAUCUUUUUAUCUAUUUUAUUUCCAAGCAAAAACAACAUUUUUCUAUUCUUUCUUCAACUGGAAAACAGGUUAUGUUACGGUAGUCACUAGACAGUAGGCAAAACACUUGAUAACUAAAUAUAUAAAAAGAAAUAAAAAAGAGUUAAAAAAAAUUACAAAAGUUAAAAUCGAAAAAACAAAAAGAUUAAAAAUGAAACUGCUUGUGAAAAAUGAAAAUAUCAAACCCCCUUCUUCAGAACAAUUCAAAGAGGGAGUUGCUGGUUCUUAAUGCAACAGUAAGUAACAUGCCACUGAAACCCCAACCUUUAAACAUAGAACUUGAACUCAGGAAGAGAUAAAAGAAAAAGACAUAGAUGACUGACUGAGUCCGACUGAAAGAGAGUUAAAAAGAAAUAAAAAAGAGUUAAAAAAGAAAUAAAAAAGAGUUAAAAAAAUUACAAAAGUUAAAAUCGAAAAUACAAAAAGAUUAAAAAUGAAACUGCUUGUGAAAAAUGAAAAUAUCAAACCCCCUUAUUCAGAACAAUUCAAAGAGGGAGUUGCUGGUUCUUAAUGCAACAGUAAGUAACAUGCCACUGAAACCCCAACCUUUAAACAUAGAACUUGAACUCAGGAAGAGAUAAAAGAAAAAGACAUAGAUGACUGACUGAGUCCGACUGAAAGAGAGUCGCCAAUAUACCGUACUGGUCAGCUCCCAGUUGAAUUUGCAAGGUUGGGUUCGAGUCCCAGUCCCACAGGUAGUGAAAGUAGGUAGGUAUCGUAAGUUCCUACUAACCAGCUGGAGUAUCAAAACCUGUUUGUAUAAGCCUGCACAAUACAAGUUAAUCAUCAGCAAAUGAGGGGGCUGCAGCGAGAAACACAGAUCAUGUAUUAAUUAUAAAACAUGUAAAAUUAACGUAUAAUAUAAGUCAUAAAACCCUUUUUCUUUAGAGAUAAUCUCCCCAUAGCAACUAUAAAUAUGGAAAAAAAAAAUGACCAAAGAGUAGAACAGUCCCCUCCUUUUCUCCAAACAAAUACAACCAUUUCAGUUCACACCUAAGCUGAGAACCAUUCUAGUUUCAAUUUUCAACCAAUGAAACAACCAUAGUAUUCUUAUAUAAAAAAAAUGAAAUAACCAUAGAAUAAAAUAAUUAUACUCUAAUUCAAAUAUUGCUUCAGAAUAUAGACUCAAUUGGUCAAACCUAUGGAAUUGGAAUGAUGCAUUUAUUUAACCCAAAAGGUGAAAAUCAAGCUUAAGGUUCUUACAUAUCGAAAUGAUAAAAUUUCAUUCAUUCUGAACACGAGAUGCAACUUUUCAAGUUAUUCCAAGAGAAAACAUUAAAAGAAAUUUGUCCAUCCGACGUAGGCUAAAUCAUACGGAUUAUUAACAUUGAUAUUUUUUAUUAGCUGAAUUGAUAACUUUUGCACCCUAACUUAAGGGCACAUGUGAUAAGAAAUUUUUUUCUACAUCAGGCGCAAGUAUAAGCUUUUAACAAUUAAGCUUUGACUGUUUGCUUACAAGAUCAAACAUAUACUAAUAGAGAUGAAUAAAAUCCAGCACUUCAAGAAAAAUUUGACAUUAUAUCCCCUAAAAUGUGGAUAUUAUCCAAUAUAUCAAACCAGCAAUUUUUAUACUCAGCUGCUUAAAACUUCAAAAACAAAAAAUAAAAUAAAAUAAAAUAAAUAAAAUAUAAUAAAACAUAACCUUCUCAAGUCAACUCUACUAACCUUCUCAAGUCAACUGUACUAUGACAAUUGGUUAAUACGACAUUUGGGGCCUCCAGGACCCUAUUACUACAACACUAACAGAUAUAAGUGCAUCCUACCAACGUAGCUUAGUCAUUCUAAAUACAUGUAUUAAAAAGCAUAAUAUCUACAAAAAGGUAGCUUACUAAGUUUACUAGGCCAGCAAUGCCAAAGCACAACCAGAACAGUAACAAAAAUAGACGAAGACGGUUCUUUAUUACAGAACACAACUUUCAAAAGAUGCAAUCUCCAUGUUAAACCCCAAAUCAAAAUCAAUCCUCCACUGACCACAAUACUUUUCACCAUCAUUGCCCAAACCUGAAAAGUAAGGGGUGAGCUAACGCACAGUAUGUAGUUACACACAACAAAGGAUCGUUUUAUUUUUUUAUCUUUUAUUGUUUUUAAACACCCAAAUAAUUCACACAACUUUGGUACAUUUCUAACAUAGACCAUUUAUAUGUAUAUAAAUAUAUAUAAAAUAUUUAUUUCUUAAACUUUUUAAGUUUGAAAGUUGGUGUUCAACAGAAAUGUCAUAAGACAAGAUCAUAACAACAUACACACAUACAAAUAUCAUGUUGCUCGGUAGUUACGUGUAAAGAAAUCCUAAAAUUACUCUUUCAAUAAUACAAAAUAAAAACAUGCCUGACAAGUCAGUAAGAUGUAAAUCCUCAGCAAACAUUUUCCCCCAAUAUUAAUUUUGAAAAGAUAUACCCUACAUGCUUUUGGAGCAUUAUUCCCAAGGCCACCGCCCAUGAUUUCUUUUGUAGACUUUCACCGCGGGAUAGAAAUCUGACAAAGGUCAAUCCAGCACAGCAUACUUUUGGGGCAUUAUUCCCAGGGGCCAUCGCCCAUAAUUUCUUUUGCGGGCUUCACCGCGGGACAGGAA
RNAcentral lists this long non-coding RNA (89333 nucleotides) under Citrus x clementina. RNAcentral describes it as "Citrus clementina (C. clementina) long non-coding RNA (CCLE_LNC000163)". Lineage: Eukaryota; Viridiplantae; Streptophyta; Magnoliopsida; Sapindales; Rutaceae. The record is from RNAcentral.